UUCCUGAAGGAAUUGAUAUAUAUUUUGAAAACGUUGGUGGAAAAUUGCUUGACGCAGUGCUACCCAACAUGAAAAUCCGUGGUCGAAUUGCUGCAUGCGGUAUGAUCUCACAGUACAAUCUUGACAAGCCUGAAGGUGUGCACAACUUGAUGUAUCUUGUUUCGAAACGGCUUCGAAUGGAAGGAUUCAUUGUUCUGGAUCACUAUCACCUCUAUCCAAAGUUUCUGGAAAUGAUCAUUCCUCACAUCAAAGAAGGGAAGCUUGUAUACGUCGAAGACAUGGCUGAAGGUCUGGAGAGUGCUCCGGCAGCUCUCAUCGGUCUAUUCUCUGGCCAGAAUGUUGGGAAACAGGUGGUUGCUGUUGCUCCUGAAUGAAGAACAAGUUAGUGUUGUGUGUUCUUUUACCCUUUGACACAAAACUUCAAUGUUAAAGAGAGAAUGCUGCUCAUACUGCUUUAUAAAAUAAUCAAAUGAGUGCAAGUUUCAUGAUAUGUGCUGAAUAAAAAUAUUGGAAAUUAAGCAGCUAGCCUAGCUCCUUCUUGUAGUUGCAGUUUGAAUGAUGCUGCUGCACAACUGCUGCCGAAAAAAUCCUUAAUAGAUGAUUAGCAAGGUUUCAAAAAUAAAAAUAAAUGUUUGUGCAAUGUGCCGAAUAUGACAGCCACAAAGAAAGAGCAUACAAAUUGACUGGUUUUAUGUCUUCUCUAGGAGAAAGCUACAAUACAAGAAAUUGUAUUGAUGCCAUGGACCAAAUUUCUUAUUUAAACUUUUAAUUUUUUUUUAUUAAAAUUACUUAUGUUAUUAUGGUUUAUAUUUUUAGAAAUUCUUUAGAAAUUAAUACAGAACUAGUAGCAAGUUGAGAAAUCUAAUGAAUGGUCGAGAUAUGAUCAUGUUUAUUGAAUUAAAUUGACAAUCAUCAUUUUGAUAAAUUAUUGUUAGGAUAUUUGAUUCAUCACAGGUGUAAGUAACUAAAUGUGCUAAAAAAAAAGUUAAUGAGUUGUGAGUGUUUGAUAUUCGUUUGUUGUAAUUCUUUUAAUAAUUGUUGUGGGAAAAAAAUUAUGGUAAAAAAAUUAUAAUUAUAAAAUAAAAAUUAAUAAUAUAUUAUAAAUAAAAUUUUUAAAUAAUAAUUUUAAUAAAAUAAUAAAUAUAUUAUGAAUUUUUCAUUAUAAAUUUUUAAGUUAAAAUAAUAAAUAUUUAUUAAAUAUUUUAAUAGCACAACUUUUAAAUUAUAACAGUACAAUGUAAAUACCAGAGGUCUUAAAAAAUAAAAUUACAGUCAAGUUUUAAAACUGUUAAUAAUGCUAUUCAUAAAGGCGCUCGUCGUGUAAACAACACAUGGGACCCAACCAAUAAAUGUUUAUGAUCCUCAACUUUCCUCCUCACCGUCCCUGCAAACAAUUCUGAUUUUCUUGUCUGAGAAAAAAACUGAGAAACAAUGGCGGCCGAACAAGAAGCUGUGAGCAAUAAGCGGGUGAUUCUAAGCAACUAUGUGACAGGUUUUCCAAAAGAAUCGGACAUGAAGAUAACAUGUGGAUCAAUAAAACUGGAGGUAGCAGACGGUUUAAAAGACACGGUGCUUUUGAAGAAUCUUUAUAUUUCUUGUGAUCCUUACAUGCGAGAGCGUAUGAGCAAGCUUGAUAGACCUUCUUUUGUUGAUUCAUUCCAUCCUGGUGAGGUUAGUUCAUCACGACCCAUCUCUUGAUUUUUUUUUUUUUUCAUUUGCUUCAAGUUUUGAUGAGUUUCUGAGGUCAUUUGUACGGUUUUGGAAUGUGAACACUAUUAGUGAUUUUGGGGCUGUAACUGUCAUUAAUGAUAUGUAGUAAUUCAAUCAGAAUUUGGAUUUAGUGCUGAUAUGAUCUCUGCUCAUUUUUUAAAAUCUUGUGUCCAGAUGCAUUUUUAUAAUCUUGUACGGUUGAGAUUGUAAGUAGAUUAAUCUACGUGCAGUAUUCUUGUCUAAUGACUACUAACCACAACCUUAUGAGACGAUCGAAACCAAGCUCAGAUCAAUAAUCCAAUUGAGAGAGGGUCCUAACUCAAGCUUAUCGUGUGUAGGAAUAUUUCGGUUAAAUUGUAAUUCUUUUAAUAAUUGUUGUGAAAAAAAAAAAGUUAUGAUAAAAAAAUUAAUAAUUAUAAAAUAAAAAUUAAUAAUAUAUAAUAAAUAAGAUUUUUAAAUAAUAAUUUUAAUAAAAAAUAAUAAAUACAUUAUCAGUUUUUCAUCGUUAAUUUUUAAGUCACAACCACAAAUAUUUACUAAACACUUUAACACCAUAAUUAACACCACAACUAUUGAAUUAUAACUGUACAAUCUAGACGCCAAGAGGCCUUAGUAUGAAAAAAAAAAAUUACAGUUAAGUUAAAAUUCAUCAUACAGAUGUGCCACUUUCAUACUAUACCGGGAUCCUCGGUAAUGAUUUUUGUUACACAAUAAGAUUUGCUUAUAGUAAUAUCAAUACAUAUGCUGCUUAAAUGCUUUCUGAUUUUUUGCCGGCCAUUGUCCAUUUUGCCAGGGAGUCUAUAAUUGAAGGAAUUUACUGAAGGAAUGCUGAUUGUUGGGAAUUUGAUUAUUCUAGGUAUGCCUGGUGUAACUGCAUACGCUGGUUUAUACGAAGUUUGCUUUCCGAAGAAAGGAGAGUAUGUCUAUGUAUCUGCAGCAUCUGGAGCUGUUGGUCAGCUUGUUGGACAGUUUGCAAAAUUAGCUCGUUGCUAUGUUGUUGGAAGUGCAGGAAGCAAAGAAAAUAUAGCACCGUGCCUUCUAGCAGAAUUUUACUUGCUUUAUGUUCCAACUAAGCAUCCAUAUUUGAUCAUGAUAAUUAGCAAGGUCAAUAAUUUUUUUUUGACUAUUUUUUCAACGUAAGGUCGAUUUGUUGAAGAACAAGUUUGAACGAUGCUUUUAACUACAAGGAAGAGCCUGAUUUGGAUGCAGCACUCAAAAGGUCAGCUGCAACAAACGUUUCAACUCUAAUAUUUCAUUUUAAUAUUACAGAGCUUUGGUUGAAGUGUGUGAGUUGAUCCCAGAAACGUAACUUCAUCAGUGUCUCUGUUUUCAAAAAACAGGACAAAUAGAAAUCUGAUUUUGCUUUAAAAUUUCCCAGAUGCUUCCCUCAAGGAAUCGACAUAUAUUUCGAAAAUGUUGGGGGAAAGAUGCUGGACGCAGUGCUACUCAACAUGAGGCUCCGGGCCGCAUUGCAGUAAGCAGUAUGAUCUCACAGUAUAACCUGGAAAAACCCGAAGGCGUUCACAACUUAGAGCAACUGAUCGGGAAACGGAUUCGCCUGGAAGGAUUUCUAGCUGGUGAUUACUAUCACCUCUAUCUGAAAUUCUUGGAACUGGUCAUUCCUCCAAUCAGAGAAGGAAAGAUGCUGUAUGUGGAAGACAUGGCCGAAGGACUCGAGAAAAUUUCUCGUAACUGCUACACAUUAAACGCGUUUCACAUUUCCACUCUCUUUCUAUAAAUAAAUACGCACAUAAAAUUUCUCACCAUCCAAAAACAAAAUCUACAUAAAAAAUGGCGGGUGAAGAAGCAGUGAGCAACAAGCAGGUGAUUCUGAGCAACUACGUGACAGGGUUUCCCAAGGAAUCAGACAUGAAGAUAAUAACAGGCUCAAUAAACCUUAAGGUGCCAGAGGGUUCAAAAGACACAAUGCUUUUGAAGAAUCUUUAUCUUUCUUGUGAUCCUUACAUGAGAGGACGUAUGAGCGAGCUUGAUAAGCCUUCGUUUGUUGCCUCAUUCGAGUCUGGCGAGGUCAGUUACUUCAAUUCCCAUCUCUUGGUUUCAUAAUCUUUUAUGGUUUUAGAAGGUGUUUUAGGGAAACAUUGUGGUUUUGGUUAGUGGGCAUGAGUCUUUGAAGAGAUUAUAAUGUGUAGGACUAUGCAUGCAAUAAUAAGCAUAGGGGAUCUUGUUAGGAGAAGAUUCUCUUAGCAAAAUAAAAACUUUUAUCUUAUCAAAACAUAUGCAGGGAACUUAGUUAUGAUGUCAUGUUAGCAUUAUCUCUGAGGAUUUGAUUUCUUGAUGGGGAAAGGGGAAUUUAAGGUUACAUUAUUCAGCAAUGUUUUUUUUUUAAAAAAUUAUGUUCAAAUUAUGCAGCCUUUAAGCGGAUAUGGAGUGUCCAAAGUGUUGGAUUCCACGCCUCCAAAUUAUAAGAAAGAUGACUUGGGUGGCGUUUGUUUUUUAACUUAAUGACUUAAAGUGACUUAACUUAAUUAAUUAAGUUAAUUAGAGAUGUUUGUUUUUAUAACUUAAUGUGACUUUUUAAAUAAUUUUGACUUAAUAAAAUAAGCCAAUUUUAUUUACUUUUUACUUAAUAGAGACAUCUGAAUUAAGUCAAGUACUUUCUAAUGUCAAAAAUAUACAUGCUUUAUAAUUUAUUUUUCAUGUCUAUCCCAAAACUCACCCAUAGACAUUUACCCCACAUAAUAAUCUCAUCAUUAUUUUUUUAGCCGUCAUGAAAUCCCUCCUCACUUUGGUAUCAACUCCUCAACUAUUGAAGAUCAAAAUUACAUGCGACAACUUCGAGAUGAAUGGCAAAUCAACUGUUUCAAGCAUCUUAUUCGUUUUUUUUCUUUUUUAUAUUAUAUACGAUAAAAUUUGAAAUUUAUGGUAUUUUAUAUAUUAAAAUUCCAAAAUCAUUAUAUAUUCACUUGAAUAUAGUUUUACUUAUAAAUGUUAAAAUAUUGUGAUAUUUAAUAUAUUAUUUAUUUGACAUUCAAAUUUAAUAAGGAUACAAAUGUAAAAGUACAUAUUUUUCAGUUUUUUAAGUUGAAAAAAGCAAACAACUUAAUAAUUAUUUUUCGAGAUUCAGACGAAAAAACAAACAUAUUAUUCAGAUUCAGACAUUCAGAUCUAUUCAGAAUUUAGACUAAUUCAGGUCUAUUCAGAUUUCAGAUAAAAAAACAAACGCCACCUUGGUCCGGGGCUUAACCAGUUGGGAGGAGUUCAGUCUCAUCCAAUCACCACAACUUCUGAUUAAAAUUCUGGAUACAAGUGUGCCUCUGCCAUAAUUAAUUGACAGGUUGCUAUGUUGUUGGAAGUGCCGGAAGCAAAGAAAAGGUGAGUUUGCACCCUUAACCCUUACGCUCUAAAUAAAAACAUAACACCUUCUGAAAGAAUUGUGCAUAGAGAAUUUUGCAUGUCACAUUAUUUGUGUUCUAACUAAUCAUGGAUAUUUGAUCAUUAGUCUAACUAAAACUGACAUAUUACCACCUAGUUGACUGGUCUUUGAGAAAUGUUAGUUGAUAUAUGCUUGAAAUCAUACUUGUUUUAUUAGAUGAUUAUAUUAACCUGCUUCUUUUUCUUUGUGCUGUUUCUCGUUUGAUUACAUUUUCAACAUUAGGUCGAUCUAUUGAAGCACAAGUUUGGGUUUGAUGAUGCCUUUAACUAUAAGGAAGAGCCUGACUUGGAUGCAGCUCUUAAUAGGUUAGCACGAAUGAAUGCUUUAACCAUUUUUCUCACUUCAUUAUUACAAUGCGCUGAUUGAAGUAAUCAGUGUUGGCUCUGAAAAUGUAACGUAUACUUCUCUGUUUUCAUAAAACAGGACAAACAGUGAUCAGUGAUCUCAUUCGUUACAUUGAUAUUUUCUACCAUUGCCAUACAUAGUAUAAACUAGGAAUUCAGUUGCUUAAUAGAUAUUCAUUUCAGAGGGAAAUUUUCACUUGCAGCUAACAGAAUCAUGUUUGUGAUGUAUGUUUAUUUGGGAAAUGAAAGGAUUUGUUGCAUUAUUUUAUUCCAAGUUUGCUGAAAUCAUAUUUGUUUUCCCAGGUGCUUUCCUGAAGUUAUCGACAUCUAUUUCGAAAAUUUUGGAGGUAAGAUGCUUGAUGCAGUGCUACUCAACAUGAGAAUUUGUGGCCGCAUCGCUGUAUGCGGAAUGAUCUCACAGUACAACUUUGAGAAGCCUGAAGGUGUACACAACUUGAUGCAAGUAGUUGGAAAACGAAUUCGCAUGGAAGGAUUUCUUGCCAGUGAUUUCUACCACCAAUAUCCAAAAUUCUUGGAACUGGUUAUGCCGGCAAUCAAAGAAGGAAAGUUAGUAUAUGUCGAGGACAUAGCUGAAGGCCUCGAGAAAGCUCCAUCAGCCCUAGUUGGGAUAUUCACAGGUCAAAAUGUUAAAAAACAACUGGUUGUAGUUGCUCGGGAAUGAUAUGAUUACUAUAUGCUUUAAAAAGUGGACUUUGCCAUGCACUUUAAAAGCUUAGUGAAGAUGCCUUUGUCUUAUUUUUGAUACAUGUUAUGUUUGUUUGAUCAAGUUGUACUCAGCUAUAAAUCAAAGAUUCAGAACAUGUGUAUGAUACUGGUUUCUAAAUCAAUGAACGCGUUGAAAUGUUAGUGUUUUCACAGGAGAAUGCAAUUUAAUUCAUCAACAAUGUCCCAACAAGACCCUCAGAGCUGUAGCUUGUAAAGUUAAUUACGAUAUUUUUUUGUAAAGUAAAUUACCAUAUUUUUUUCUUUCCAAUAUAUUGCUUAUUUCAUAGAAAGUUUACAUUAAAGUCUCAUGUUUCUUUGAAAGGUAAGCAAGUGUGAACGUUUCAAUCUAGAGCUGGAAAAUGCAUUUCCGGGCAACUUACUUGAUACAUGAAGUUUUCAUCUCUGACCUUGAUGUUUCCCAUAGUUGCAUUCAUUUCAGCUGAUCUAUUUAAUUUUGUUUUCGAAGGAGUGACACAAAAUCUCCUUUGUUAAGGGGAGAAUUUAGAGUGGCUUUGACUGUUAGCAAAUAGCCUAAUGUAAGACUUAACCAACUUCCUGCCCUGUUGUAUGCUUAUGAAUUUUGAUAGAGCUAAGAGUUUGCAGAAGCUACUGUAUUAUUUGUCGUUAGAGGCUGUAAAAAUCAAACACAUUUAAAUUUCAAUGAAAAUUUACUGGAAGUAAAUUUCCUAUGAUCCCACAGGUGACUAAUUAAUGAGAACUUGACAAUGACAAAAGAAAGUCUAUGAACUUUGCAGGCUGGCAUGCCAAUAUUGACUGGGUGGCACCAUCCACCAUCUGCAAGUGAAUAUCAUUGUUGUUUAAUCAACAAGGUGGAGUCCACUGGGACCACACCACAUCGUCAGCCUUAUCUCUAUUCCUCAAUUUUCAGUAUUCCAUACAUCAAACCAAUUUCAGUUUUGUUAUCAAUUAUAAUUUUAUUGUUGGUGACGAUUCUGAUUCCUUUCUGACAAAAGGGAACCAUGGCUGCUGCUGGAGAGAUCUUACUCAACGCCUUCUUUCAGGUACUGUUCGACAGGUUGGCUUCUCGUAAUUUGCUCAGCUUUGUGCGUCAACUCCAAGGCGGGGUUGAUUCGGAGCUCAAAAAGUGGGAGAAAAAGCUGAAGAUGAUUCGGGCUGUGCUCUGCGAUGCAGAGGAGAAGCAACUGACUGACGAGGCUGUGAAGAUGUGGCUGGACGAACUCCAAGACUUGGCUUAUGACGCUGAGGACACUCUUGAUGAGUUUGCUACUCAAGCUUUGGAAAGCAAGUUGAUGGCGCAAAAUCACGAUAGUUCUGGCCAGGUUCUCAGUUUCAUCCCGGCUGGUUUGAAUCCGAAUGCUAUUAUGUUCAAUUAUAGCAUGGGGUCCAAGAUGAAAGAUAUUACUAGCCGGCUGGAGCAACUCUGCCAAGAAAGAAUUGAACUUGGACUGCAACGGAUUACCGGAGAGGCAUCAUCAACUGCUGCUGCUGCACACCAGAGGCCACCCAGUUCGAGUGUCCCAACAGAACGUGAAGUAUUUGGAAGAGAAAAAGAUAAGGCCAAAAUUCUUGAUAUGUUAUUAGCCGAUACCAUAAGUGAUCAUGCUAACUUUGUUGUAAUACCCAUUGUUGGCAUGGGUGGGAUAGGAAAAACAACUCUCGCUCGGGAGGUUUACAAUGACAAAGCCGUUGGAGGUUCCAAGUUUGAUGUAAAAGCAUGGGUUUGUGUAUCUGAUGUCUUUGAUGUUUUGGGCAUCUCAAAGGCACUUCUCGAGUCAAUCACCCGCAGGCCUUGUCUUCUAAACAGUUUAAAUGAAGUGCAGGUUGAAUUGAAAGUAGCUGUGGAUAAGAAAAGAUUCUUGCUGGUCUUAGAUGAUGUUUGGAACGAGGACUACAGCUUGUGGGUAGACUUAAAAGCUCCGUUCCUGGGUGCUGCACCAAACAGUAAGAUGAUCGUCACCACACGCAAUUCAAAUGUUGCAUCAACAAUGGGACCAAUUGAACAUUACAAUCUCAAGAGUCUGUCAGAUGAUGAUUGCUGGUCCAUUUUCAUAAAGCAUGCAUUUGAAUCUAGAGAUCUUAACGCACAUCAAAUUUCAGAAUCAUUCCGCAAGAAAGUUGUUGCCAAGUGUGGAGGCUUGGCCCUGGCAGCAAAAACACUCGGAGGCCUUCUGCGUACGACGAGGCAUGAUGCGUGGGAUGAUAUAUUAGAGAGCAAAAUAUGGGAUUUACCUCGACAAAGUGGGGUUCUCCCAGUAUUAAGAUUGAGUUACCAUCAUCUUCCUUCUCAUUUGAAAAGAUGUUUUGCUUUUUGUGCCAUCUUUCCAAAAGAUUAUGAAUUCACUGAGAAGGAGCUGACUUUCUUAUGGAUGGCUGGAGGUAUUAUUCGACAGUCAAGAAACAAUGAGCAGCUGGAAGAUUUGGGCAGCAAGUGCUUUGGUGAUCUAGUGUCGAGGUCAAUUUUUCAGCAAACAGCAAGCUCUGAUAGUUCUAAAUUUGUAAUGCAUGACCUUAUUCAUGAUCUUGCUGAAUUGGUCUCUGGAGAAACCAUAUUCAGGUUAGAGGAGGCCAAUACUCUGUCAAGAAGAUUUGAAAGGGUUCGCCAUUCUUCCUAUGCUUGUGGUGGAUGUGAUGGUAAAAAUAUGUUCGUGGUUUUCAAUGAAAUUGAACAUCUACGAACAUUCUUGCCAUUACGCUUACGCAUAAGAGGUGGCUCUAAUACUAGUUACAUAACUCGUACGGUUCUAUCUGAUUUGCUGCCGAAGUUCAAAAUGUUGAGAAUGCUAUCUUUACAAGGAUACCGUAUUGGUGAGUUACCAAUUCCAUUUGAAGAUUUGAGACUACUAAGGUUCCUCAACCUUGCUGACACUGACAUAAGAAGUUUACCUGAGUCAACAUGCAAAUUGCUGAACUUGGAAAUUUUGAUAUUAAGAAAUUGUUCCUAUUUGAUAAAGCUUCCGCAGAAAAUGAGGAAUUUGAUCAAUUUACAUCACCUCGAUAUAAGAGGUGCGAAGUUGCUGAAGGAGAUGCCAUUCGGAAUGAAAGAGUUGAAGAAGCUUCAAACAUUGUCCAAUUUCAUCGUGGGCAAGGGCGAAACUGCAUCUGGUUUGGAAGAUUUAAAAUGUUUAAACUUUCUUGGUAAUGAACUUUGCAUUGCUGGAUUAGAGAAUGUGAAUAAUCCACAGAAUGCAAGAAGAGCCGCAUUAUGCGAGAAGCUCAAUCUUGAAGCAUUGACUCUAGAAUGGGGGUCUCAAUCUGACAGUCCUCGAGAUGCAGUACCAGAAGAGAAUGUACUUGACACUCUACAGCCGCAUAAACGUAUAAAAGAGCUGGCAAUCAGACACUAUGGUGGUGCAAGAUUUCCACUUUGGAUCGGAGAUCCUUCAUUCUACGAGAUGAAGGUCCUUAAAUUGGAGAACUGUGACAAUUGUGUAUCUUUGCCGUCGCUUGGCCUGAUGAGUUCACUUAAGCACCUUGCUGUUAAAGGGCUGAAGAAACUAAAAAGCAUAGAGUCUGAGGUUUAUGGGGAGGGUUUCUCAAUGCCUUUUCCGUCACUGGAGAUUCUAAGUUUCGAGAAUUUGCCAGAAUGGGAGCAUUGGGACACCGAGAUCAAAGGAAAUGCGCCUGUUGAUUUAUUUCCUCGUCUCCAAGAACUUUCCAUUGCAGAAUGUCCCAAACUCUCUGGACAACUGCCUGAGCUCCUGCCUUCCUUGAAGACACUUGUUGUUAGUAAAUGUGAAAAGUUGGUAGUUCCAUUGUCUUGCUAUCCAAUGCUUUGCAGAUUAGAAGUUGAUGAGUGCAAAGAACUAGUCUGCCGGACUCCGAUUGAUUUUAAGUUGAUAAAGUCCAUGACUAUUUCAAAUAGUUCAUUAGACAUGAAUGGACGCAAGGGGAUGUUAUACGAUGGUCCAGCUGGCUCUUCACUGCCAAACCCCAUGACUACUACAAAUGUUUUAGAGUUUGGAAAAUUAUUGAAGCCUGGAUUUCAGAUAUUCGAAACUUUGGUAAUUGGCAAUUCUGAACAGCUCAAGUUAUGGAGGCAGCAUGGGGAUUUUCCGAAAAAAUACAUGGUCACUGACCAUGGGUUCAAGAAACCAGUACGAGGGCUGAAUAUGCUCGCUUCCCCUGAAGAGGUAACAAUUGAAGAAAGUUGCGUACGUCUUGUUUUGAUUCCAGAGAUCAAUUUCCUUCUCAGAAAUCUGCGCUCUCUUAUAAUUAACAACAGCACUGCUUUCAAAUCCUUACCCGAGGAAAUGAUGGAAAACAAUUCACAACUCGAAAGAUUGUAUAUCAGAGAUUGCGACUCUCUAAUAUUCAUCGCAAGACGGAGGCUACCAGCAUCUCUUAAAAGGUUUGAGAUAGGAAAUUGUGAGAAAUUGCAACGUCUGUUCGAUGAUGAAGAGGAUGCUUCUUCUUCUUCUUCUCCUUCAUCCUCGUCUUCCCCAGUGAUGCUGCAACACCUGAGUAUAGAGAACUGCCCAGAGCUCACCAGUUUAUCAUCGGGUGUCCAAUUCCUUGAGGCGCUUGAAGACCUCGUGAUACAGCAGUGUCGAAAGCUGGAGUCAAUACCGGAUGGCCUGCCCAAUCUUAAAUGUUUACAGAGCAUUAAUAUACGGGAAUGUCCAAGUCUUGUUUCCUUAACAGAAAGAGGGCUUCCCAACACCAUUUCAUUUGUUUACAUUUGCAGAUGUGACAAGCUCGAAGCCUUGCCCAAUGAUUUGCACAAACUCAGCUCUCUUCGAGAAUUAUUCAUACAGCUCUGUCCAAAUCUUGUAUCGUUUCCAGAAGAAGGUUUUCCUACCAAUCUAACAACACUUGUAAUUGGAGAUUUCAAAAUGUAUAAGACACUCGUCCAGUGGGGGUUGCACAGGCUUACCUCUCUUAAACGCCUCUGGAUUGCUGUACGUGAUGAUGAAGCAGAGUGUUUUCCAGACGAGGAGAUAGGAAUGACGCUGCCCACCUCUCUCACUGAUCUGCACCUUUUUGAUUUCGAAAAAUUGAUAUCUCUGUCUGCGACGGGUUUUCAGAGUCUCACCUCUCUUCAGAGUUUGUGGAUCGGGAAUUGCCCGAAUCUCACAUCAUUUCCAGAGGUGGGCCUUCCAUCCUCACUUUUGGGCUUAGACAUUAGAUAUUGUCCAAAGCUUAAAACAGCGUGCAAAAGAGAUGAAGGAAAAGAGUGGUCCAAAAUUGCUCACAUCCCUCACGUUGAGAUAGACGGUAAAUUCAUAUACGAUCCAGAAGCAGAGGAGUAGGUUCUACUAUUAAGGUCAGUUGAUUUGUAUUAUCCGCUAUAACAAGCUCCUCCUUUUUUAUUUUUUUUAAAAAUAAUAAUUUUGCAGUCACUCACGUGAUUCCGUUUUCACAAGUCAGAUUGUAUGUUGAGGCUAUUUGCCUUUUAAUCGCAGAUUAAAUUAUAACACUUAUCUUAAAAUUUAAUACCAUACACAGAUAGACGAUUUUUUAAUCCAAAGUUUUUUUUAUUCACUUCAGUUAGCAUUUUUUUUUUCCCCAAAUCAUGCAAGCCGAGAGUUUCAAUCAAGAAUUGGAGGAUGUGAAUGGGAUUUUUGUGAAAGAGUAACAUAAUGGAUGAACGAACAUUUCAUAUGUGAUCUCAAAGUCAACAGAAUUUUAUUCACUCGUUGACUUUUCAACUGCUGUGGUUAUUUAUGGGUGAAAGAUAAGGGCAAUUACAAAAAAUUUGCAAAAUUUGUCAAUUUCUUAGAUGGUAGAAAUUGGAGUAUAAUAUUUUGGAGCAAGCAUACUUGAAAUUUCUGUCUUCAAUAUUUUGAUGCUUUCUUAUCCCAUGCACAAAAGUACUAGAAAAAACUAAUAACAACUAACCGAAAAUCCCAGGCGUCAUAUUCCUUUUUACCGCGUUUUAAAAUGCACAACAAUGAUAUUCUUACAAAUUUGCAAAAUUUGUCAAUUUCUUAGAUUUCAGAUAUUUUAAUGCUUUUUUUAAUUUUUGAUCUAGUAAAAAUACAUAGCCUUCACCGGCAGGAUUCUAGUCUUGGCUUUCACCUCUCUAACUCAUCUGUUCCCAUUGGGAUUCCAGAAGCUAGAAAAAUGUGUAGUUUUCAGAUAAGGAGGCUUGUCAGUUCUCUAGUAAGAAUCCAAUGAUUUGCUUUUGAACGUCCAUCUAAUUUGUGGAUCCUUGCAUCAGAAUUUGAUCAAUCCAAAAGGAAUUGCUUUUAGACAGAAGAAGAAUAGCAGCACCUAGCCUACCCGCAAACCUGAAACUAUUAGAUUGAGGUAAAAAAAUCAUUGACCCUCACAUGUUAACUUCUUCUAGUUACUUUCGUUGGGAAAAAAAAAAACAUUUAAGGAAUUUGCAAUUUGUUGUUAGUUAUGGUAUCUGAUGUUCUUUUCUGCUUUAGCAUUUGUAGAAUCUACUGUAUUAUGUGUUGGCAGUUGCCGUAUCUGAGGUAACUUGCCUUUAUUUGUUUGCUUCUGACUUAAGGACACCAACAUUUGCCAGAGAUUUAGAGAAUCAUCUCAAAACACUUAGCAAACUUGACAAACUUCAAGAUGCACUUGCCCCCACGCCUUAUUCUCAACAACGCAAAACUUGUGAGUACACCUAUGCCUGCAAUUAUUGUGAAGUGUUCGCAAUUCUGAUGCAGAGAAAUGGUUUCUUGAUGCAAAGUAUUAAACUGUUAAGAUUUAUCCUGCAGGCUUGUUAGAUGCUGGAUACGCGAAAAGCCAACAACAUCAAGAACUGCAACUCCAAGACCAGCUUUGCGUUAAUUCAGUCAGCUGUAAUAAUGAUGCAAAUGACACUAUAUCAAGCUGGACUUAGAGACUAGUCAGAUAAAUCAUCCAUUUCAUCAACGGUUAAUGUCAUGAUGGUGGCUAUCAGAGGAAACAAAAGAUGUGUCGGAAUCUAUACAAACAUUGAGAAGCAUGAGAGGAGCUUUGAUUUUGAGUAGGGUCAAUGAACUCAUAUUGGUAAGUGGUAAUUAAAGAAACUUUGUAAGCUUAGUAGAGUUUCAGUAUUUUCUGUUUGGAGUAUAGUUGAUAAGUUGACUCUGUUUAAGAAGCCCGAUUAUAGUAGCUGACUGUAUUAACCUUUUUUUUUUUUUUUUUGGGUCUGCUGUUGUUUUUGGUUUCGAUUAUUUUUUCAACAUUGGGUUGAUCUGUUGAAGAACAAGCUUGGGUUUGAUUAUGCUUUAACUACAAGGAAGAGCCAGACUUGGAUGCAGGCGUUAAGCUUUUAAUGGGUAAGAACAAAUGAAUGCUUUAACUAUGUUUCUCACUUAUUAAAAUGCACGGAUUGAAGGCAUCUGGGUUGAUCCUGACAAUGUGAUGGAAAUACUUCUCUGUUUUCAUAUAACAGGACAAAUAGAGAUCUCUGAUCAUGCCUGAAUUUUUGUUGCAUUGAAAUUUCUACCAUUAUCAAACAUAGAAUGAACUAGGGAUACAUUAGCUUAAGACUAAAUUUUGAGAAGGAAGUUUGUACUUGCAGCCUAUAAAAUCAUGUCCAUGUUGUACGUUUCUUUGGGAAAUGAAAGAUUCUGUGUGUUCUUUUAUUUCAAGUUCACUGAAAUCACAUUUGUUUUCUCAGCUGCUUUCCAGAAGGUAACAACAUCAAUUUCAAAAAUGCUGGGGCAAGAUGUAUCAUGCAGUGCGACUCAACUUGAGAAUUCCUGGCCACAUUACCCGUAUGUCUAAUGAUCGCACAGUACAACCUUGAGAAGCUUGUAAUGAGUACACAACUGGGUGCAAGUAGUUUUGAAAUGAAUUUGCCUCAAAUGAUUUCUUGCCGGUGAUUAAUAUAACCUCUAUUCCAAAAUUCUUGGAACUGGUCAUACUAGCAAUGAAGGAUUGCAUACAUUGAAGACAUAGCUGAAGGCCUUGCGAGAGCUCUGUCAGCCCUUGUACCGGAAAACAGCUGGUCGUAGUCGCUUGUGAAUGAUAUGAUUAAUAGAUACUGCAAAAAUGAAUUGUGCCAUACAUUUUCAGCGCUCUGUGAAGAUGUCUUGGUCAUUUGUUUGAUGCUUGUUUGAUUUAUGUUGUAUUCAGCCAUAAAUCAGAGAUUCAGAACUUGGGUAUGUUUCUGGUUUCCAAAUCAAAAAAUUGCCUUGUGAUGUUAGUGUUCACUGUUUUCACAGGAGAUCAGGUUCCUUGUUAAUGAAUCAAGAAGAAGGCAAGCGCAUCCAUGUCCAAGUUCAAAUGUGUCUCCUCUAUUUUCUAUUACCCACUCAUUUAUUUUGAUUUCUUCAUUGUAAUUGAAUUAGUUUUUUAUUCCAAAUUAGUCAAAACCUCGUAGAGUCAUUAAGUUCUUUUAGCAUUUAAAGACAGAACUACGAACCAAAUGAUUUAAGUUCUUCGUUGUAAUUGAAUUUGCUUUCCCAUCUUUAAAGAUAUUAUGUUCUUUUUCACUUUUUCGAUUUGGUUAGUGGUGAUUUCUUAAAGACUCAAUCCAUUUGCGUUAAUACAUUUUUCUUUUGCCUUGAUUUCUGUUUCUUGGGGAGUUUAUACAUAUUCUUAUUUUAUGCUACACAUGCCAUAUACAGAUUCUUAUUUUAUGCUUCACAUGCCACAUGAAAGGUCAAAGCCUUGUGUGUGAUUAGAAUUUACUGGCAUCAUAGUAACUUUAAACCAUUGUGACGUUUUAGUAAUAACAGUCUGAGCUCUCCCUGAAGGAUUCAAAGCAUUUUAUUUUAUAUUAUACUCCUUUAUAUGGUUUGGCUGGUCUCUUUUAAGGCAAUUCCUGUUUAAAGUAAUCAAAAUUUUGAUUUCGAAGUGUCUUUCAACACUACCGCUAGUUCUUUAAGAAAAGUAAAUCGAUUUUGAGUCUUCUGUAUCAUCUGAUUGAAAUACAUGAAAGCACUCUUAGCUGCAAAAGUACACUUGGAGUUAUAAUAGCAUUCUGAAAUCUCCUUGAAGGAUUCAAAAGCUCUUUAUUUGCUAGUCUUUGCUUGCAAUAAACUCCUUUAAUAUACAUUGGUUGAUCUUCUUUAAAGCAAUUACCAUAAGUUCUUUAAAUAAUAAAACGAUUUUGAGUCUUCUGUAUCAUCUUGUUGAAAUACAUGAAAGCACUCUUGGCUGCAAAAAUGCACUUGGGGUUAUAUAUAAAGUCUUCAACAGAAUUUUAUUUCCCCCUUUAUCCUCAUGGUGGUUUUUUUAGUUGUUUUUUAAGAAAUCGCUUGAAGGUUCUCUUUAAAAAUAAUUUUAACAUAAGCAUUCUUUAGAAGCACUUUAGAUGUCUGGCAUUUAGAAAAUUUUGUUCCUGUGUUCACAUAAUAUAAUAUAUAUAUAGAAAGCUGACUGUAGAAUAGAGGAGAACGAGUUGGUGUUGGUCUGAACUCUGAUCUUUGAACCUCAUGUGACUCCACUACUUUUUACUUGUUCUGUACAAGGUCUUUUAGCUUUUCAAAAAGUUUUAGCUUUAUGGAUAAAAUACUGUUAAUUGUAAUCUAUAAAUAAUGAAAGGAAUUAAUAAAAUAUUAGGUAAAUUUUAUUUUCUAAAGUGUUAUGAGUUCUAAAACGGCUGUAUGUAUAUAAAUUUAUUUACACAUAUAUUUAUAAAUAUGAUUAUAUAAUAAUAUUUUAUGUGUACAUAUCAUAAUUGAUAACUAAAAUAAAUAUUUUUAUUUUAUUAAUGGUUUUUUCGUCUCAAUGUAGUUGGUAAUAAUAAUCUCUUUAGAUGUAACGAUUUUAUUUCCUAACUGAAUAAGGAAAAUUUUAGAUUUUUAUAAUAAAUGUUAAAUAUAUUUAGAAUUACAUUAAGUAUGAAAUAAUCCUCAAAAUUAGAUUUUGAAAAGUUAUUCUUUUCUUGCUUUUAAAAAUAUGUCAUAUGAUGAGAUGAUUUUACUAAAAGUGAUUUUUUUAAAAAAAAUUACUAAACAUCAAAAUUAACUCUUAACUUUUUAAAAUCAUUUCUAAUCUUCUCAUCCUAAGUUCUUUAUUGUUUUGUACAAAAUCCAAGGUUUUGACUUUUAUAAAAUGCCCACUCAAAAAUAAAUUAUUUUCUAAUUAAGAUUUGUUGUUAAUGUAUAACUCGAAGUAAUAUUAGAUAUUUGUAAUUUUAUUUCAAAAAUUUUAUUCAAAUGAUAUGGCAAGCAAUGAACAAUAGUUGAUAGCAAUUUGUUUUUUUUUUUAACAAUGUUCAAAUCAAUCAGUUGCAUUAUCUCACCAUUUUUAUGAUGUCAUGUUAUUUUAAAUGAUUUUUUUAAUUUUUAUAUAAAGCAUACGACGUGUUAACAUCAUUUGCAUAACUUGACCUUUUUUUUUUCCUACAAAUAGUAAGUCAAAUUUACUCACCCUAUUUGUACCUAAAAUCUACCUAAAACUCAUGCAUCACUGUAAAGCAAAUCCAAAGAUUGCGGUACGUUUUUCUUGGUAAGAAAUCAAUAAUUAGGUCAAGUACCGCUACUAAGCGUGCUCAAUUAAUUCUAAAAUACGGUGAUCAAACUCAUACUUCACGCAAGAGGAUAAGGGCUAAACCUCAAUUAGGCAUUAUUCAUCCAAAAUUCAUUGACUGGGCAUUCUUUGCAAGUGGUAGCAUGGGACAGCUAAGAUAAUUAGCAAAUGAUAUGGACCAUACGCACCCGUAUGUUUGUGACAUGUGAAUCUUGGCAUUAAAGGAAAGGUAAUGUGUUAAAAUUUAAUAGAGCCCAACUCUUCAUUGAAUGAUUAUCAGAUCCAACGAGCAUCCUUUGAUGGGAUUAUUUUAAGUCAAUUAUUGGUGGAUUGGGGCCCACUUGACUCUACCAAAUCGGGCUCCACCAUAUCACCUAUUAACGACCACCUGUCCUUAUCAUAAAUAGCAAAUGUCACUUGUUUUAUUUUGUAUUUUACCAAAAGCAAAGUCACUACGAGCACUAAUGAAAGUGACCCCAAUUUUGGGGGUCAUGAACUUGGGAUUAUUAUGGACACAAGAGACAAGCGCAAUGUUUCUCAUUUCUCACUAGAUAAGAUUUAAGUUAUCAACCCAAUAUUAAUAAAUUCUGCUUGAAAAGUAAAGUUUGAAGCUUCAUUUUGCGAAUAUUCAAUGGUUAACAUUUAAGGGUGCGUUUGGGAUUGAGGUUGGGCAGCUGUAGCUUAAAAGCUACAGUACUAAAGUGUUUGGUAAACACUAGCUACUGUAGCUUUUAAGCUAUGUUGAUAUAAUUUUUCACUUGUAUAAUAUAAAAUUUAUUAUAUCUUUAAUAAUUUUGAUAAAAUUAUUAUUUAAAAUUUAUAUUUACUAUAUAUUAUUAACUUUUAUUUCAUAAUUACAGCUUUUUUUUCACAGCAGCUGUAGCUUAAAAGCUACAGCACCUCAAUCCCAAACACACCCUAAGUAAUUAACCUGAUAUUAAUCCAAUUAAACUUUUUAUGUAAUCCAAGUCAAACAUAUAUUGAUAAACCUAAAUUAAUCUAAUUGGACAUAUUAUUUCAACUUGAAAAGGUGAAUCUAUCAUUUUUCAAUUAAUUUUGAAUCAAGCUAUGUAAAAUAUAAGCUUAUUAAGGACAUAUUUGAAAAAUUCAAAUUGAAUUAUUUGACAAUUACAUUUCAACUAAGUUGUACUGCUAAUUAACUUCCUCAACUUAAAAUGUAUUUUUCUCAAUUAAUUCGUAACAAAGAAUGUUAGAUGUUUUGUUCGAAUAAUAACAUUCAACAUCCUUAUUCUUUAUGAUUAUUGCAUAAAAAAUAUAUUUUAUCCAUUUACGUCACAUAUGUUCCUAAAUUGUAUAAGAAAAUCACUAAAUUUACUCUUGUAAGUUACUAUAUCAAUGAACAUGAAAUUAACUAAUCAUUAAAGUCUCGGAAUGACAUCAUGAGGGGGAUUCAGUUACAUUUAUUGAUAGGAUUAUAUAUAUACCUUCUCAAAUAUUAGUAAGAGCAAUUAAACAGAUGCAGCAAUUAAAAAUAUGGAAUUACUUAUCUCGUCAAUAACUAACGAUAUUUUUUAUCUAUGCUCGAUAGGCGUCUGAGCUAUAUUAUAAAUUGUAAUAUUUGUAGAUUGUAACAAUUAUUAAAAAAAAAAAAAAAAGCUCCCUAAGACUAAAUGACAAAAGGACUGUUUUGAAAUAGAUAGAUAAAAUAUGCCCUUAUUUGAGAAAAGGUAAAACACUAGGGAUCUAAAUGUUAUUAUAAUCCCAUGCACAAAAAUACCAGAAAAAACUAAUAACAACUAACCGAAAAUCCCAGGCGUCAUAUUCCUUUUUACCGCGUUUUAAAAUGCAACAAUGAUAUCACUACUACAAAAAUGACAUUUACUGACACUUUGUUUCUGACACUUAGUAAAAAGUGUCAGAAAUGGUGUACAUUUGGACCAUUUUCCUCCUUUAACAAGUAUGUAUCAUAAAUCAUUGAUACUAAGGUGUCAGUAGCUUAAAACUCAGUGAUUAUUGAUACUAAAGCAUCAGUGAUAAAAAAAUAAUAGUAUUAAUUUUGUUUUAAUUUGAACUCGAACUCAAGAUCUCUAAACUUAAAAUUUGUAAGUUUAGAGUGCAAACCAUUGAUGCAAGUGUUUUUAAAUUUUCAAUUUGAUUAAUUUUUUUAUUUAAUUAAAUUUUAUACAAUUACUUUGUGGACAAUAAUAAUAAUAAUAAUAGUUUUGAGAAUAAUAUUUUUUAUUUUGCCACAUGUCAGCUUGUAAUUCGUUGUUAAUAAUAAUAAUUUUACUUGACCACGUGUCGACUUAUAGUUUGUUGUUUUAUUAAAUUACAAUGCGAACAACUACACUAUAUAAUUUUUCAAAGUAUAAAAUGAAAAUAAGAAACCCUAAAUCUAACCUAAUCAAACACACCACUUCUUAAGUUGCUGCCGCCGCUCCCCUGCUCCUUGACUUUCACUGCUGCCGGCCGCUGCUCCUCGACUUUCACUGCUGUCGGCUGUCGUUCCUUGACGUCACUGCCGCCUUUGCUCUGCUGUUGCCAAGCUUCAGCCACCGACGACUAGCUAGCCACCUUUCAGUACGUCGCUGCUACCACUUUUAUGCCGUCACAUCAACUUCAGCUCAGCCAGCCACCGUUCCUUUACCGCCGAGAUCAAGAACCAUUUCUUUCUCUUCUCUCUUUUGGUACAGGUAUGAAAAUAUUGCAGAGGAGUUAAUCUGUUAAUUACCUUUCUGUACGUCGCUGCUGUCAUUCGUGUACGUCAUUGCUGCUACUCAUCUUGGUCACUGCUGCCGCUCCUCUGCCGCCACGACAAGCUUCAGCCUUUUUGACAAAACAUUUCACUUGGAAUUAUAAGCAAACCCUUUUGAGACCAUAAAAAACUAAGCCAAUUUCUUUGGUUUCAAGGCCUUGUUUUUUCACUUUGAAAUCGGAUCAUACAAUGACAAGCCAAUUGAAAACUUCUGUUCAAGAUUUCAUUGUUAAAUUCAGCUUUAUUUUUAUUAUUUGUGUUCCUUUCAUUUUCUUUCCCUUUUUUUGAUUUUUAAUUCAAUUUGGGAUUUGACAGAUAUAUUUUUUAAUUUUUAUAAAAAUUUAUCUUAUUUGCAGGAUGCUAAGGGACAGGAUGUUGAUCUUAGCAUCUACAAGGGAAAGGUUCUUUUGAUUGUCAAUCUUGCAUCACAAUGGUGUGCCUCAGCUCCUUUCAUUUUUAAUUUUUUUUCCAUAAUGAUUUAUUGAUUAUUGUUGAUGCUUCCAUUUAAUUAAUGCUAAUACGUGUUAUCUAUCUAUCGGGAGUCUAAAUUUUAUAGAAUUAUAUCAUACUCGGAAGUAUGCAUGCUCCCAAUACAAAUAAGUGUUUAUAAGAGAGGAUUUCACCCAAAAUCUUUAAUUCUUGCAAAAUGCUAGUGGCUCCGUUUGCACAAGUUUAGUUUUCAUCCAUGUUCGUUCCUUUACCAUAGCGGUUCCUUUACCACUGAGGUCAGACACCAUUUCUUUCUCUUCUCUGUUUUGGCACAGGUAUGAAAAUACUACAGAGAAGUUUCUCUAUUAAUUACCUUUUAUGAAAAUAAUAUAUAUAUAUUAUUCACAUGUUUAAUUGAGAACAUCUAAUAAUAUAGUAAUAAUAUAGUGGGCAAACUAUAGGAAGGUUGUUAGUAGACAAUUCUAAUUUUAGCUUUACUUUGCAAAUGAAAGAUUAGAAAUAUUCCGUCGAACCCAUUUUACUAUAUUGGAGGUUUGGGCUAAUCUUGUAUAGAUUUUUGCUCAGAAGAAGGAUGGUUCUCCAAGGGCGGUGGGUUGGUUUUUCUAUAGACUAUUCCCCUAUUUUCCCAUUUUGCUUUUCUUUGAGGAAACCUGGUCCAUUUUUUUUGUGUUUUCUUUCUUCAAUCAAAUAUGUAUUUCUCAAUCUCCUCUCAAAAAAUACCUAUCUCAUUUUAUUAUAUGUUUAUGAAUUACUAAUUGUAUUUUGUUAGUAUUCCAUGUUCGAAGAAGAAUAUUAGAUUGAAGAAAGAAGAAUAUUAGAUUGAAGAAAGAAGAAGUUGUUCCUUUGCUAAUCGUUUGAAACCCAGGUUUGCACUGAAUCUGAUUUUUAUCUUUAACUUUUUUACUUGACCCAUACUUGAAUCAAAUUUUUGCUCCACUUUCCUUUCUUUCGUCAAUUUAAUUAUCAAUCCACUUCAAACCUAAAAAGAUUUAGUAAUUGGGAAACCCUUUUUUUUUUAAAGAAUUGCAAAGUACUGUAAUUGGAAACUGGGUUCAUGUCUUAAAAAGUAACCUGAUUUGUAAUGUUUGGCUUAUAGUGGCCUUCUAUUUCUGUUUUUCAUCUCGGCUUGGUUAAUUUCUUUACUAGUCGUUUAAAUUUUGUUAAUUUUUAUUUUUCCUCUUUAAGCUCAUUAAAUAUCUUUUUUUUUUCAAUUUAUGGCUUUCGGUCCAACUGAUCAUCGUUGAAUGUGGGCACUAUAAAUGUUAUAGUGCUUGUUAACUUAAUGUAUUUGAUCAUAUAUUAUAGUAUUGUUUACUUUAAAUUUAGACAAUGAAAUAGAUUACAAAAAAAAUAACUUAUGCUUGUCAAGUUGUAGACACCAUCGUUCAUGUCAUCAUUACUGAAUAUUGAUGUACUUAUUAAGUGUUCUCUUUAAUACUUGAUAGAAUACUUUUGGUGAAGCAAUUUUGGUAUCAUGAUUGCAGGCUGUAAUUAACUUGGGAACGUGUAGAUUCUACAAUUUCUUUUUCUGAUUCCUUAACUUGCUUCUUUUAAUCCUACUCUUCUAUGUUGAAGUAAUUUAUGAAUAUUUUUGCUUCAAAAUAACUAAGAUAUAUUUUUCACAGUAUACUAAUUGAUUUUAUGCAUUUGUAGGUGGGAAAAAAAUGAAGCCGUGGAUGGAUAUUGAGUGACCUUGUGCUUUUUUUUUUUUUUUUUUGGGUUGGAAACUUAAUUGAGUAGUAGUUAGCACUUGUUGUUUAGAGAUUGUUGAAAAUUUAAUUUGAUACUUAUGUUAAGUCUUUUACAUAUAGUGAUGUAGUUGAAUUGUGUGAAUUUAUGUGAUGUAUUUGAGAUGUUUAUUAUAUGAAUUGUGUUGCAAGAUAUUUAAUAAUAAAUAUAUUUCGUGUUUUCUUUUGGUUGUACAACAAACACGAAAAAUAUAAUUAAAAUAAAAAUAUACUAUUAACCAAAAGCAGUAUAACAUUACUAAAUACUGACACUACAUAUUUAAAAUAACAAUAAGAAUUUUUUAUAUUAUCGAGUCAGUUUCUGAUACUAUAGUCACAUAAAUUACUGACAUGUAAAUAGUAUCAUUAAAUACCAACAUCAUCGUGUCAUUAUUUUAGUGAUACUAUAGUGAAACAAAUUACUGACACAAAAAUUACUGACACCAAAAAUUAGUGUCAGUGUGUUCUGGCUUGAGCAACACUGACACAAUUAACAAGUGUCAAUAAAAGUAAUUACUGACGCUAAAUUAGUGUCAGUAAAACUCAUUUUUCUAGUAGUGUAUUCUCACAAAAGUUGGUACAAAGGUUUGUACAACCAGGGCCUCUUUGUAAAUUAUUUCAAAGUUUUGUGUUAUUUUUUAAAUUUAUGAAUUUUGUUAAUUUUGAUUGAUUGGAGCAUUUCUCCUUCCAUCUCUUCUACAUCUAUCUUUAAAUUUCUUUAAAAUUUUGACUAUAUCUUUAUAGAGUUCUAAAUGAUUAUCUUUUUCAUAAAAAUCUAUACUUAAAUUAAUCCCUGAAUUUAUAAUCAUUUGUCUUCUUUGAGUCAUAGACCAAAUUUUUUCUUCUAACAUAUCUAUAUAUACUCCUAAGCUAUCUUUGCAGCUUAGAUACAUUCUAUCAAAGCUUUCGCAUAUAAAUUGUAAUUUGAGAUCUGCAUCUUGAAUCAACAUGUCUAUAUUAUCCAUUGUUUUACGCUCGAUUUUGAGUUCUAUUAUUAGUCUUGCACAUGUCUUGGAUUAUUUCGAGGGUAGUUAAAAUUGAUUCUAUUAAUGCUAUCCUGUUUUCUUCUUCAAAAGAAUCAAAUAUUUCUGAAUCAUUAAUUUCUUUUAUUUCUUCAUACAAGCGUUUGUUUGUCGCUAAUCUUGUUUUAAUCAAGGAAACUGUAUAAGCAGCUUGAUAUUCUUGACAAAAGUCUAAAUGAUCUAUUGCAUCUAGAAAUUUAUUAAUAGAUCUUUCCAUUUUUAAGAAAUUGAGUUACUCUUAUCACUUCCAAUCUUUUAACAUCUCAGAAAACAAACAAGGCCCAACAUGCUUCCGUUUGUAGCUAAAAUAAAAGAAGAGUUCAUAUCACUAACCAGUGUAAUAUCUCUCGGAAUUCUGAGAUAGACUCACUAAUUGCCUCUAACCAUAGAGAGGUCCAUGGUUAGCACCACUAUAGCUCCACAUAUCAUACAAAAUCACUUCAACGACUGUUCCAUAUGGCCCAAAGCAACACACAGCAGACUGGCCUAAUAGGAUAUGUUUAAGUGAUUUUCUUGCAGUUGUCUCUGGAAGAGUGCUUAGUAAUAGAAAAUCUUCUUCGUUUAGUACAAGUAUUGGCAUGUAAGGUUCUUGGUUAAUUUUUAAAAGAUGUAUAAGAUAUCUAGAAGAUGAUAAUUUCACUCAAAAGAGUUUUAUUUAUUCCAUCAUUGAAAUUGUUUACAGAGGAAGGUUACAGAGAAUACAGAGGUAAUUGAAGGUUAGACAUCUGAUAUAUUUCCUUUCUUACAUGCUUUCAUUUAUAUAUCUCUCUAGAGAUAAGAUUAUUUCUUUUACAUAACACAUGUUCGAUCCUUGUGGUGGAAUCUCAAUUUCCUUUUGAUAAGGUGACCCCUUCUUUAUCAUUGAAGCUAGUAGUUGUCUUCUUUUCAUGUUGGCAGACAUGAAAUAUCUGGUUCUGGUGAGCUUUUUCUUUUUUGGAAUCUGUCUUUUUGAAUUAUUGAUACUUUUUGGAUAGCACCUUUUAUCUUUUUCAGUGGUCCUCGUCACGUGCCAAUUAUCAGAUCUUCAUCUAUAGACAUGUCUUCCCCACUAGAAUCUCUUUUUUUGAUCCUUCGUAGUAGUAGCCACAUGAUGAUUGAUGCUUUAGCACCUUAUAUAUCUCGUGGUGUGUUAGCAAGGUGGAUUCCACGAGAUUUUCGAAUAUGCCCUUUUUCUUUUCUAAUAUGUUAUCCUCAUCUUUAUCAAAUUCACAUUUACAAUAUAAUUCUUUGAAGCUACAUGUAUAUUCUUCUAAAUAACAUAUAUUACAUAUUUCAAGCCUUGUUAGCUUCAUUAAAUUUUCUAUCUGUUUUCUUUUUAUUUCUUGUUGAAAAUCAAUUUCCUAAUCUUCUCCCAAGAAUUUUUUUCUUAUUUCAUUUUUGAAUCUAUUUAAAACCUGAUCAACACUUUCGUUUCGAUUAUUAUUUUCUCCAUACAAUAUUCUAUUUUUAUGGUUAUCAUUUAAUCCCAUAAACCAAUGAGAAACAAUUCCUAUAAACGAAAUUUUAAGGAAUUCUAUACUAUUAUCCCUAUCAAUUUUGUGAAAUGCAAAAGCCAUUUUCAUAGAUUUAACCCAAGCGGUAAUCGUUUUAUCUCUAUCUUUGAUACAGUCUAAAUCUAACCAUACACCAUCAUGGUUGAUUGGUCUUUCUCUAUAUUCUCCUGGAGUUUUAUAAUCUUUUUUAGGCUUGUUAAUCCUAAAAUAUUGACCUUGUAAUCUUUCCUGAGUUGGUAUUUCUUCCCUAACAUAGGAAGCUCCAUUACUAGUUUCUCCUUGUUAAAAACCAUUUGGCUUUGAUUCAUUCAUUUUUAGAUGUUCUAUUCUAUUUUCAAUAUCCUGCAAAUUAAUGACUAUAUCACCUUCUUCUUCGGAUUCAGAUUCUUUAUUAGAUAUCUCUUGAUUAGGUAAUUCUAUGUUUUCACUUAGCAUUCUUAGACUUAUUAAUUUUUUGUCUUUGUUUAUUUUGUUAAAUAUCGGUUUAGAUAUUGUUAUCAUUUCUUUAUCUUUAAGUUCAUUAUAGUAAAUUAUGGUAUCUUGUAAAAUUUUGUUUUGUUUAUUGAUCUUCUGUACUUCAAUCCUUUUGUAAUUUUCCAUUUAUGCUUAUAGCGAAUUUAUUACCAAGUUGUUCAACAAUUUUUUCAAAUUUUUGUAGUUGGAUUUCAAUCUUGUUUGAAUUUAUUUUCAAUUGAACUUUUGUUCAUAAUAUUAAAGAUUUCUUGUUUUAAUCUAUCUUGAUCUUCAAUAUUAAAGUCUUUUAUUAAUAGCUUAACAAAAUCAAAUUCUUCACUCAUUCGCUCUCCUAUCAUUUUGACUUGUCUUAUAUUUUCAGCAUCAAAGCUUUUAAUCUCAAGUAUCUCAUUUAUACUUUCUAUAUCAUCUAUGGUUAAAUUAGGGUUUCCUAAUUUAUUUAAUAAAUAUAAUGAAAUCCAAUUUAAUUGAUUAUUUCCCCACAUAUCGGAAUCAUUUACUAAAUCAAAUGGUUGAAAUCUUCCAUAAGUAAAUCCUCUAUGCCUAUAGCUAGAAGGUGGUAAUAUGUUGGUUUCAAUAUUUUGAGAAAUUAACAAUGGUUUUGGUAAUUUAUUCAUAGUACCAUCUGCAUAAUAUCUCAUUAUAUUCUAAUAAGUAUUUAUGACAUAUAAUAUUUCUUAUAUCCUUAGGGAUAUUGUUUUAUGUUAAUCCUUUAUGUAUAUAGCAAAGUUUAUACAUAAUUAAAUCUUUAUAUCCUAUUAGCAUGUUGCUAGAAGGAUAAUAUUUACUUCUGAUUCUUUUAUUUUUCCAAUUGUAUUCACCUCGUUGUUUAACAUUUAAAAAUCCGUUGUAAUCUAUUAUAAGAUCAUCUACAUAAUCUUCAAUAGAGUUAAUAUUCCAUUGUUUCCAUGAAAAAUUAUUUCUAUAUACUUCUCUCCUGAUCCUAAAGAGAAGAAUAGGAUCAAUAUUUAAAUUUCUAAUUUUUAUUAUGAUGAGUUCUCCAAUUUUAAAUUCAUGAACUCUAACUAAAUAAAACUGUAUUAAUUGUUUAUCAUCCAAUAUAUUAACUUCUGAAUAAUAAUAUUGUUUAUGUUUUGUUAUAUUAUCUUUAAUUGUAUUUCUAUCUAUCAUUAAAUUAUAUCUUCCAUUAUUAAUGGAAUAAAUAACUGUUUCGUCUAUUUUUAUAUUUUAAACCAAAAACUUGGCUCUAAUACCGUUUUGCAGAAAUCAACUAAACCCAAAAUCCAAAUGAAUUCAAAUAGGGAUGUAUAUGAUUAAUUGUUAAGAUUUUAUCUAAAUUUUGUAAUUAUAAUUUUUCAAAACUCACAGUUUUGUGCAAUCAUUUGUGUAAUCCGUUGUGAGAAUGUCUUUUUCCUUGCAUCUAAGGCAACAAAGUGGAAAACGCGUACCAACGACUCACAUAACAAUAUAACAUCUGUCCCGGAUGGAGCCGGUUGUUCAUGUCAGCAACCUACUUUGAAACGACACGUGGACCGCAAUUUGUUCUUGUUCUCAACGUUGCUAUGAAAGAAAGCAUUUUUUUCCCCUUUUCUUCUUCAUUUUUUAAAGAAAUAUUUUACUAUAUAUUUAAAAAAAAAAAUCGUUGCAAUCUGAAGAUAUUAAAUUGUGGAUCUUGUAUUGUGUGAUAAGUCCGGCAUGCAAUUUUGGGCCAGCAUACCGCGCGCAUGGGAGCAUUCACAAAGAAUCUCUCGUCACUAUCGAAAACUUUUAAUAGUCAAUACAAAUGCUUCCGUUUCAUCCCAUAAACAGAUAAAAUUCACAUCUGUACACAUCUACUUUUCUUUGCUAGAUAGAGUUCCUCUGCAUUUCCCAAUUGCCUAAAGAGAAGGGGAAAAGAAAAAGAGGGCCAAAAAAUGCCUGAAAUGGUAAGGAACAAGCAAGUGAUAUUGAAGGACUAUGUGUCUGGUUUCCCAAAAGAAACAGACAUGUACAUGACCGAAAGUUCCAUAGAAUUGAAGGUGCCAAAAGGUUCAAAUGGGGUUCUUUUAAAGAACUUGUUUGGGAGAAAUACGUCGACGAGACCAGGCAUGGUGAGCAUAUAUCUGAUGGCAGAGUUCUGCGAACCGGUGUGUUCCGUAAAAGCCUGGUGCACGGGGGAACAGGAGCAGAAGUAUCCUGCUCGUCCACGAGCACGUCAUCCGCGAGGCCAAUUUCCUGUAAGAGGCAUAAGGUCAUUCCGGCUAGAGGUCGAGAGGCGAGGAGACCCGGUCGACGGCAGUUGGCAAGACAUGCUCCCCAGCCCGAGAAUCUAGGCACGACAGCCACGCUUUCCCCAGAACCGUGGCGUAACACGCAAGAUCUCACAGAACCACGACAGCCACGCUUUCCCCAGAACCGUGGCGUAACACGCAAGAUCUCACAGAACCACGACAGCCACGCUUUCCCCAGAACCGUGGCGUAACACGCAAGAUCUCACAGAACCACGACAGCCACGCUUUCCCCAGAACCGUGGCGUAACACGCAAGAUCUCACAGAACCACGACAACCACGCUUUCCCCAGAACCGUGGCGUAACACGCAAGAUCUCACAGAACCACGACAGCCACGCUUUCCCCAGAACCGUGGCGUAACACGCAAGAUCCCACGUUUGCCCAUAACGCAGCAGUCAGAGUCCCAUACCGUCUCGGAAAAAGCGGAAAACUGGGAUUCAGGGGAAGCCUAUAAAAAGGUAGCCAACGAAGGUAAAAGGGUUGGCAUUUUUGAGAUUAUAAAAGAAAUGAAAAAAGAAGAGAAAACGACGAGAAAGCCAUAAGAUCUGUGGCAAGUGUCCCCCGAACCUUCAUAUCUGACUUGAGCGUCGGAGGGUUUGCGCCGGGAAAACAACCGGCGUACUCUGACUUGUCUGUGUGCGCAGGAACCUCUGGAGAAGAAGCCUCACGUGGAGACCUCCUGGUCGUGAAGAAGUUGAUCGGACAGAGAUCCUGGUCGUAGAACGAGGAGAACCAGAAUCCCGCAUCAACAUUUUGGCGCCGUCUGUGGGGAGUGGAGCAAAAAGCUUCUGUUGAUAGCAAGAAGAGGGGUGAAGCAAGUGAAAAGCAAUGGAGACAGGAGGAAGUAGUGCACAAGGGGGUGAUAGGAUUAACGAUUCCGUGACGCUGAGGGAGAUAGUCAGUGAAGCACGGGAAAAAGUCAUGUUCGACCGGAUGGAACGGAUAGAAAAGCAGAUGGAGACCUUGACAACCAUCCUGCAUGAGCUGCGGAGCGAGCGAAGUAUAAUCCAAGAGGGAAGGGUGAGAGGCGGUGGAGUGGCACCAGGUCCCGAUAGUGCGGGGAGAAGUCAAACCACCGGGAGAUUUGGUGGUGAGAGAGGUAACGUACCUCUGCGGGGAGAAUUUCAUAGAGAAAGAGAGCAGUCCCCGGCAAGACAGACUGGCGACGAGGACGACGGGGUGGUGAAUGCAGAGGAAACAGAGUUGAGGCAACACUUGCAUGAUGUAGAGCAAGAGCGGGAUUAAGUCGCAGCACGUGACCCUGGUCGUGCAGUGCAGCUGGAGGAGGAAGUGCGCAGACUAGCGCAGAUAAUCGACGACAUGCAAGGAAGGAACAGAGCCCCUGGUUGGAGGAUAAUGCUGGAUGGAGAAUCACCGCUCGCAGCAGAGAUCAUGAGGGCAGUUAUUCCGAGAGAUUUCCGCCUCCCAGACCUCAGAUACUCGGGAAGAACUGAUCCGUUGGUGCACAUAGAGCGCUUCAACGACAUAACUAGGGUACAAGGAUUAUCUCAAUCCCAAAGGUGCAGAGUGUUCCCACUAUCCCUUGAGGGACGUGCACGAGAAUGGUACAGGAAACUUCCUCGGGGCAGCAUUAAAACCUUCGAGCAGAUGUGCUAGGAAUUCGCGGAGCAGUUUAGUGGGGCAAUGGCGCCGGAAGAUGACAUGAUGGAGCUGAAAAGCAUGAAACAGGGGGAGCAAGAAACCCUUCGGGAAUUCAUCAAGAGGUUUCAUCGGGCUGUCCUCGACUUGGGAGCCUUCAACCACCCUCAGGCGUUAAGGGGAUUGAAAGAAGGGGUGAAGAUAGGAAGGCUGUGGUACAAUUUGAGAAGCCCAGCUAUUCAAACGUAUGCAGCCGCAUACGAACAGGCUAAGAGAGACAUCGAGAUUGAAGAGGAGAAGGCUGCACGGAUUAAGACAGACCAGUUAGAAGGGCUGGGGAGGAAAGAGAAGAAAGCAUUACCGGGGAAUGGGCCGAUCAGGAGGAGGGACCACCAGGCCUCCGGUAGUGGAGCAGGAGGUCGGGUAGCCGCUUACCAGCCUCAUCAAAGGCCACCACAGUAUCAGCGCAGCAGGGCGCAACCUCCUCGUUCCCCAGCUAGGGAGCCUUGGAAAAGGCAUGAGUCGGCAUCUGGUGGUCUCCAACAACACCCCCACGGUAUCAGAGCGAGCAGACCAGAAGUACUUCCACCGCCCCCAACUCAGAGCGGGGCAAACAGGGAAAGAGCAGUGCACCUGAUCGACCAGAACCCGGACUAUGGGCGGUACACUUCCUUGAAGAUGUCCCUGGAUGAGGUGUACGAGGCCAUAAAGGAUCGAGGGCUGCUACACCUCCCUACACCAAUAACAAAGCUACCUAACAGGAGGGAUAGAGGACGUUAUUGUAAGUUCCAUGGCACCCAUGGCCAUACCACAGCAGAGUGUAGAGAUCUCAAGACCCAGGUCGAAGAUUUGGUGAGAAAUCGGUACCUGGACGAGUUUAUGGAUGGGACUUUCCCGAUGGGGGCCACAACAGGUGAAGGGGAGCAGAGUGGCGGAAACGUGAGGCGCGAGCAGCCCGCAGUAAGGGUGAUAGCUGGGGGCCCGACAUUGGCCGGAGAUUCCAACAGAUCGAGAAAAAAUUAUGCUAGGUACGCCAUGACCAGUAAAGAGGUACUCCUCAACACCCCAGCAGCCAAACGAGCAAGGGUCAGGCAAGUGCCAAUCAUGUGGACGGAUGAGGAUGAGGAAGGGAUUCUAUACCCCCAUGAGGAUGCUUUAGUCAUCAAGGCUACUGUCGCUAGCAAGAAGUUUGACCGGAUACUGAUUGAUACAGGGAGCUCAGUUGAUGUGUUAUUUAAGUCAACCCUGGAAGAGAUGGGAAUAGCCGACCGGAAGUUGGAAUAUACCAAUACCUCCUUGAAGGGGUUCGGAGGAGGGAAGCUGGUCCCUCUGGGCGUGGUCGAGCUGCCUAUCACAAUUGGGAGCUCCCCGACAGAAAGAACAAUGAUACUGGACUUUGUCGUAGUGGAUGAGGAAGGUCCUUACCAGAUGAUCCUAGGUCGGCCAUUUUUAAGGAUGAGCAAAGCGGUGUUGUCCAAUCAUUAUCUGGCUCUGAAGUACCGGGUGAACGGGGUAGUAGGAGUGGUACGAGGAGACCAGAGGAUCGCAAGAAGCUGCUACUCCUCGGCAGCAAGGGAAGCAAUGCAGAUAACAUCCCUCGAUACCCGAGUGGAAAACAAGAAGGGCAGACAAGAACCUGUAGAGGAUCUGGAAACAGUAAGCCUGGGACCAGAGAACCCGGGAAAGAUGAUCAGAAUCGGGUCGAGACUUAAGGGAGAGCAAAAGCAGGAGUUGGUGAAAUGCUUACAGGCUCAUGCUGAUGUGUUUGCUUGGACACAUGAAGACAUGCCAGGGAUUGACCCUGAGGUAGCAUGUCAUAAGCUGGCAAUAAAGAAAGGUGCUCGGGCAGUAAGGCAGAAGAGGAGGUGUUUCAACCAGGAGAGGUAUGAGGCUAUAAAUGGCGAGGUGGAGAAGCUCUUGAGAGCAGGGUUCAUUCGGGAAGUCAGUUACCCUGAGUGGAUAUCGAAUGUGGUGUUGGUAAAGAAGGCAAACGGCAAGUGGAGGAUGUGUGUGGAUUUCACAGACCUCAAUAAGGCGUGCCCAAAAGACAGCUUCCCUUUACCAAAGAUCGAUCAGCUAGUAGAUUCAACGGCUGGACAUGGUCUGCUUAGCUUCAUGGACGCGUUCUCGGGAUACAACCAGAUCCCCAUGUACGAGCAGGAUGAGGAGAGCACGGCUUUCAUCACUAACCAAGGUUUGUUCUGUUACAGGGUAAUGCCAUUCGGUCUCAAAAAUGCCGGGGCCACCUAUCAAAGGCUGGUGAACAAAGUCUUUAAGCCGUUGAUUGGGAAAACCAUGGAGGUGUACGUGGAUGACAUGAUCACCAAGUCCAAAAUCCCGGAGGAACAUGUCAGACACCUCGAGGAGACAUUCGAGCUUUUGAGGAAGUAUAAGAUGAAGCUCAACCCGGAGAAGUGUGCUUUUGGGGUCGAGUCGGGGAAAUUCCUUGGAUUCAUGGUGAGCCAUAGGGGGAUUGAAGCAAAUCCCGAGAAAAUCCAGGCGAUUGUGCAAAUGACGUCUCCCCGUAACCUGAAGGAGAUGCAGAGCCUCACGGGGAGGUUGGCGGCGUUGAGCAGAUUCAUAGCCAAGGCUACAGAUAAGUGUCAGCCGUUCUUUCAAGUGAUGAGGAGGGGAAAGAAAACAGAAUGGACCUCAGAAUGCGAGGAAGCCUUCCGGAACUUGAAGCAAUACUUGCAGCAAGCUCCGCUGCUGUCCACACCGAGGGAUGGGGACAAGUUAUAUCUGUAUUUAGCGGUAUCGGCUCGGGCCGUCAGUUCUGUUCUGGUGAGAGAGGAAGAAGGAGUUCAGUAUCCGAUAUAUUACACCAGCAAGGCCCUGCUCGACGCUGAGACCAGAUACCCACCGUUGGAGAAAUGGGCACUUGCCCUUGUGGUUGCUGCUCGGAAGUUGAGGCCAUAUUUUCAAGCAUUCCCGGUCUUGGUAAUAACAAACCAGCCAUUGCGUCAAACUCUGCACAAGCCAGAUGCCUCUGGUCGGCUCGUCAAGUGGGCUGUAGAGCUGAGCGAGUUCGACAUAGACUAUAAGCCCCGCGCAGCGAUAAAAGCCCAGGCAAUGGCCGAUUUCGUAGCUGAAUUCACAGAGCCCGAAGUAUGCUUAGAUCAACAAGAGGCAGAUAUAGGCAAUGACGAAACUCAAGUAUGGCAGAUGUCUGUGGAUGGGUCAUCAGGGGAGCGGGGUUCAGGAGUAGGGAUUGUCUUGGAAGGCCCAGAGGGGGAGGAGAUCUCUUAUGCUGUAAAAUUGGAAUUUGCAGCCACGAAUAACCAGGCAGAGUAUGAAGCCUUGAUAGCAGGUCUGGAAUUGGCUAAGGCCGUGAAAGCAAACAAAGUUAAGAUCAGAACUGAUUCCCAGCUGGUAGCGAAUCAUGUCAGUGAAAGAUUCCAACCAAGAGAGGAGAAGAUGGGGCAGUACCUGAAGAUAGUCAAGCAGAUGAUGGGGAAGUUCGAAGCAGUGGAGGUGAUACAGAUCCCCAGGGAGCAGAAUAGUCGAGCAGACAUUUUGGCUAGGAUGGCAGCAGUAGCCGACCCAAAAAUGCCAAAGUCGGUCCCUCUGGAGGUGAAGUCCGGCCCAAGUAUCGAUCAGAAUUUGGGGGUGAUGCGGAUAGAACAAAAAUGCUCGUGGAGGGACCCGAUAGUUUCAUACCUUAGAGACGGGGUAUUACCACCAGAUAAGAUGCGAGCUCGCAAGCUUAGAGCCCAGGCCUCGAGAUACACGAUGAUUGAUGGGGUACUGUAUCGGCGAGGAUAUACACUACCGUUCCUUCGGUGUUUGGAUGAGGACGACGCGGAUUACGUACUAAGAGAAGUACACGAAGGAAUUUGCGGAAAUCAUUCUGGCGGGAGGUCCCUGGCCCAUAAGGUUCUAAGGCAGGGAUAUUUCUGGCCGACAAUGCACCAGGAUGCGCAAGAGAAGACCAGGAGUUGUGUAAGUUGCCAGAGUUUUGCAAAUUUCUCUAACCAACCACCAGAGAAGCUUACCUCCAUGACCUCCCCCUGGCCAUUUGCUCAAUGGGGAAUUGAUCUGAUCGGCCCAUUGCCAAAGGCACGGGGAGCAGCAACACAUGCAAUAGUUGCUAUAGAUUACUUCACGAAGUGGAUAGAGGUAGAAGCCCUUAGCAGGAUCACAGAGAAGAAAACAACAGACUUCGUGUGGAGAAACCUGGUCUGUCGAUACGGGAUCCCUUAUGCCUUGGUAACGGAUAAUGGCAGGCAGUUCGAUAACCACAGCUUCAGGGAUUUCUGCCAGAACCUCGGGAUAGAGCUGAAGUAUUGCUCGCCUGCUCACCCUCAAUUGAAUGGACAAGUAGAAGCAGCCAACAAGACCAUCAAGAGGCUUUUAAAAACCAGGCUUGGAGCAAAAAAGGGUGCGUGGGUUGACGAGCUGUCAGGUGUGCUAUGGGCAUACAGAACAACCCACAAAACCGCAACUGGGGAGACACCGUUCGCUUUGGCUUUCGGACAUGAAGCGGUCGUGCCGGCUGAGAUAGGAACGACCACACACCGGACAAAUCAUUUCAAUGAGCAGGAGAACGACGAGCAGAUAUGUUUGAAUCUUGAUCUGCUAACGGAAAGGUGGGAGCAAGCAGCCGAGCGAUCAGUCAUUUACCAACAGAGGGUUGCUCGGUAUUAUAACCAGAAGGUGAACAUACGGCAAUUCAGGGUCGGAGACUGGGUACUGAGAAGAGUGAAUCAGAGCACCAAAGAUUCGACUCAAGGAGUGCUGGGACCGAAUUGGGAAGGGCCAUAUAGAGUCAAGCAGAUAGCGGGACCCGGAGCUUACAGGCUGGUUCGCACGGACGGCCACGAGGUGAAACGCCCAUGGAACGCAGCACACCUCCGAAAAUACUUCCAGUAAGACUUGUUCACAUGUGAAAACUAUUUUUGCUCAUGUUCAUUACCGUUUAUCUUUCACGCUUAUUGUCCAAACAAUUUCAUGUAAGUCGAAUCCUGCCAUUAAUGGAACGUCGAGGAAUUUCUUUCGCUUGAAACCGAGAAAAUUUUCCAAGGCAUGCAAAGGCUCACCAAGUCUCAAAGCCUGUCUUAUGGCGAGACAGAAGCCAAGCAUGCCAGGAUCUGCUCGGCCACGAGAAGGCAAGCAGAAUCCCAAUCCUCGAAGAAUCCAAGGCAUGCAAAGGCUCACCAAGUCUCAAAGCCUGUCUUAUGGCGAGACAGAAGCCAAGCAUGCCAGGAUCUGCUCGGCCACGAGAAGGCAAGCAGAAUCCCAAUCCUCGAAGAAUCCAAGGCAUGCAAAGGCUCACCAAGUCUCAAAGCCUGUUUUAUGGCGAGACAGAAGCCAAGCAUGCCAGGAUCUGCUCGGCCACUAGAAGGCGAGCAGACUCCAAAGCAUUCGAAGAAAUGCCCAAGGCAUGCAAAGGCUCGACAAAGUCUCAAAGCCUGUUUUAUGGCGAGACAGAAGCCAAGCAUGCCAGGAUCUGCUCGGCCACUAGAAGGCGAGCAGACUCCAAAGCAUUCGAAGAAAUGCCCAAGGCAUGCAAAGGCUCGACAAAGUCUCAAAGCCUGUUUUAUGGCGAGACAGAAGCCAAGCAUGCCAGGAUCUGCUCGACUACUAGAAGGCGAGCAGACUCCAAAGCAUUCGAAGAAAUGCCCAAGGCAUGCAAAGGCUCGACAAAGUCUCAAAGCCUGUUUUAUGGCGAGACAGAAGCCAAGCAUGCCAGGAUCUGCUCGGCCACUAGAAGGCGAGCAGACUCCAAAGCAUUCGAAGAAAUGCCCAAGGCAUGCAAAGGCUCGACAAAGUCUCAAAGCCUGUUUUAUGGCGAGACAGAAGCCAAGCAUGCCAGGAUCUGCUCGGCCACUAGAAGGCGAGCAGACUCCAAAGCAUUCGAAGAAAUGCCCAAGGCAUGCAAAGGCUCGACAAAGUCUCAAAGCCUGUUUUAUGGCGAGACAGAAGCCAAGCAUGCCAGGAUCUGCUCGACUACUAGAAGACGAGCAGACUCCAAAGCAUUCGAAGAAAUGCCCAAGGCAUGCAAAGGCUCGACAAAGUCUCAAAGCCUGUUUUAUGGCGAGACAGAAGCCAAGCAUGCCAGGAUCUGCUCGACUACUAGAAGGCGAGCAGACUCCAAAGCAUUCGAAGAAAUGCCCAAGGCAUGCAAAGGCUCGACAAAGUCUCAAAGCCUGUUUUAUGGCGAGACAGAAGCCAAGCAUGCCAGGAUCUGCUCGACUACUAGAAGGCGAGCAGACUCCAAAGCAUUCGAAGUAAUGCCCAAGGCAUGCAAAGGCUCGACAAAGUCUCAAAGCCUGUUUUAUGGCGAGACAGAAGCCAAGCAUGCCAGGAUCUGCUCGACUACUAGAAGGCGAGCAGACUCCAAAGCAUUCGAAGUAAUGCCCAAGGCAUGCAAAGGCUCGACAAAGUCUCAAAGCCUGUUUUAUGGCGAGACAGAAGCCAAGCAUGCCAGGAUCUGCUCGACUACUAGAAGGCGAGCAGACUCCAAAGCAUUCGAAGUAAUGCCCAAGGCAUGCAAAGACUCACCAAGUCUCAAAGCCUGUUUUAUGGCGAGGCAGAAGCCAAACGUGCCAGGAUCUGCUCGACCACUAGAAGGCGAGCAGUCUCCAAAGCAUUCGAAGAAUCUCCAAAGGCAUGUGGCAAAACCAUGAGCCAAGCCGGAACCUGCUCGUCUAGACAGAGACAAGCAGAUUCUCAACCGAAAAUUAAUUCAUAAUUACAUCACAAGAAAGUAAUCAAAAACCAUUUUUAUUAAUUUGUUAAUAAUUAACAGAGGGGAUAAUCUUCAUGAACAUUGUUCAUUACAAUACAAGAAAUAUAUCAGGAAGAUGGUGGACCAGUAAGCCCGGCAGCAUCGGUUGGCUGGACCUCCUCAGGUGCAGGAGGGGUAUCACCAGUUGCGUCCGGGGGGUGCUCGCCUCGCCAACAUCAGCAGGGACUGCACGAGCAGGAGAGUCUUCCUCCUCAAUCACGAUCGGCUCUACCCCAUCGGCAUCUUCCUUGGCCGCCUCCUCAUCCAUAUGUUGAGCAACACCAGCUGCAAGGUCAUCCAUCUUCAGAUCAGGGUGUUGCUUCCCGAGGACGGCCAUGAUGCAACGAUAGGAAUGCCGAAGUCCCUGGUCGUACUGGUUGUCAGCCUCCCUCUCCAAGUUCUCGACCUGAGCUCGGUGGGAGUCGCGGAGAGAUUCGAGCUGAGCCUCAUACAUAGCCUUCUGCCUUUGCAGAUCCUCCUUGACCGUGGUAAGCUCCUCCUCGAGGGAAAUGGCUUUUGCUUGAGCAAGUGAUUCUUGCUCUAUUAACUUCAGAUUCUCGAGAUUCAGCUCCCCUGCUUUCUUCUCGGCAACGUCAGCUCUGGUCGUCGCCGAUUGAAUAUCCUCCUUCAUCUUCCGGUCGUAGCGGCCAACCUUAGCCUUGUAAUAGGUGGUCAUGCAGCUGAGGUGGAAAGCGCUAUGCUGCAUGGCCCCCACCAGCUCACCCAAGGUGCGGCCGUCAAAGUCCUCCAAGUCCUUCUUGCUCAUGAGUUUAGUUAACUCAUUGAGGUAGGGGACCAGGUGUUCUGCUCGGCUGUCAGGUAAGCGAGAUCGAGGCCCGACAGGAGGAAAAGAGGAAGCAGGAUCUGUAGCUGCUCCACUAGCUUCCCCGACUUUUACAGGAGCAGGAGGUAAAAUCUUCAAGGGUGGGACCUGCUGCAUGAUGUUGGCCCGCUUUGCAGCAGGGGCAUUCUUAUUCUGGUCCCUCUUCGUGGUGGGAGGUCGGGAACGUUUUCGGGUCAGAGCCCCAAUCACAGCGUCCUCCAUCCUAUGGCCAGGAAGUAUCAAGCGAGACUCGAGCAAGUUGUAUGUAGUUAGCAGUUCUCGGCUCGAGCAGGAAUUGGCUAGUACAGCCUCGACCCGUUUGAGCUGGUCAGGUUCAAGCGGGAAGUGGACACCCCAAGAAACUACAACACAAACAGACACUUGGUUAGAGACAAGCCAAUAAAGCAAGAACAAUUAUGGAUGCAAGACAUCUAGAGCGAGCAGGCAACCUGGGACCGUGAAACGGGGUGGGACGCGACAAUCCUUCCCGCCUAUUUGUGCAACUUGACCCCAAGGACCCCCAGCAAAAAAGAAUUUCCUCUUCCAAGCCCCACCACCACCGGUUGGAAGAUCGGUUAUGGAUUUCCGGCUCUUGGUGCUAGAUUGGAAGUAGUACCAGCCGGCAUCUUUGGGGCUGCUCUUUAGCUGGUACAAGUGCUUCACCUCGUCAACCGUGGGCUCGCUUUGGCAACAUCUGUCCCACAAUAUGAACAGACCAGAGAGCACUCUCCACCCAUUGGGAUUCAGCUGACCAGGAGCUAGAUUUAGCCCGUUAAGUAUCCGGGCAAAGUAGGGUUGCAAGGGACACCUCAGCCCGUACUUAAAGCUCUCUAGAAACAGGGUAACGUAUCCCCUAGGAGGCCGGCUGGGAGCAUCCUUCUUUCCUGGGACCUUGAGAGGUAUCUCACCAGGAAUGCUAUACCUAAGCUGGAGGUCAUUGAGCUCGUCAAACAAGGUCGUGCACGUCAUGUAAUCAAUGGCAUAAUCGCGCGACAAGGCUCUGCCUCCUACUGUACCCCGUUCCUCUAGUCGUGAUGUUCCAGAUGGAGACACCUCACCAGAGUCACCUUCCCCAUUCUCACUUAAGGUGUCCUCAGAGCCAGAAGGUCCCCCCUCACCAUUGCUUCCGCUCGUGGAGGUUGUUUGGGGGGACAUCCUCCUAGCACUAGUCCCGACACUAAACCUAAUGGGUUCUAAGGGGAUCCCGGGGUCAAAAGCCGGAUCAGUGAGCAGACUAGGCAGGAAACUUAGUUCGUCGUCAUCAAUCUCAACGACUUUCUCCUUACCUUUCGACAUUCCCUAAGCCCUAACCACAACACCACCAACUACUACCUAAACAGAAGAGAAGAGAAAUUAUCUACAACUAUCCGAGACCAAGGAGAUAGAAGAAAUACCUGAAGUAAUGGUUCAGUCGGUGAAAGUCAGAGAUGGAGGCCUUUUAUGCCGGAACUUCUUUGCCGGAGAAACAGAGACGGAGACGGAGUGAAUGAUGAAUAUGCCGUUCGAGAGGAUUUGGUUUUCCUAAUGAAGACGGACUCUUGGGUUGCCAGCAUUUAACGGCGCCGAAUCCCGAGGGUCUCAUAACCGUCGGUUUGAAAUUCAAAUGAAGGGGGGGAUUUCUGCCACGUCACCUCGUCCGCAAUUAAAUGCGACAUGACUCUUGGCAGCCUUUUCCAAUCCCACGCGGGCGAGUACUAACGAGUUUCUACUGCUGGUCCACUACAUUACCCAACACCAGAAACUGGGGGACCGGUGUUUGGGAGAAAUACGUCGAUGAGACCAGGCAUGGUGAGCAGAUAUCUGAUGGCAGAGUUCUGCGAACCGGUGUGUUCCGUAAAAGCCUGGUGCACGGGGGAACAUGAGCAGAAGUAUCCUGCUCGUCCACGAGCACGUCAUCCGCGAGGCAAAUUUCCUGUAAGAGGCAUAAGGUCAUUCCGGCUAGAGGUCGAGAGGCGAGGAGACCCGGUCGACGGCAGUUGGCAAGACAUGCUCCCCAGCCCGAGAAUCUAGGCACGACAGCCACGCUUUCCCCAGAACUGUGGCGUAACACGCAAGAUCUCACAGAACCACGACAGCCACGCUUUCCCCAGAACCGUGGCGUAACACGCAAGAUCUCACAGAACCACGACAGCCACGCUUUCCCCAGAACCGUGGCAUAACACGCAAGAUCUCACAGAACCACGACAGCCACGCUUUCCCCAGAACCGUGGCGUAACACGCAAGAUCUCACAGAACCACGACAGCCACGCUUUCCCCAGAACCGUGGCGUAACACGCAAGAUCCCACGUUUGCCCAUAACGCAGCAGUCAGAGUCCCAUACCGUCUCAGAAAAAGCGGAAAACUGGGAUUCAGGGGAAGCCUAUAAAAAGGUAGCCAACGAAGGUAAAAGGGUUGGCAUUUUUGAGAUUAUAAAAGAAAUGAAAAAAGAAGAGAAAACGACGAAAAAGCCAUAAGAUCUGUGGCAAGUGUCCCCCGAACCUUCAUAUCUGACUUGAGCGUCGGAGGGUUUGCGCCGGGAAAACAACCGGCGUACUCUGACUUGUCUGUGUGCGCAGGAACCUCUGGAGAAGAAGCCUCACGUGGAGACCUCCUGGUCGUGAAGAAGUUGAUCGGGCAGAGAUCCUGGUCGUAGAACGAGGAGAACCGGAAUCCCGCAUCAACAGAACUUGUACUUGUCCUGUGAUCCGUACAUGCGACCACGAAUGACCUACAUCGAAGGAUCUUACGUUGAAUCCUUUAAACCUGGCUUGGUUAGUGCACUCGCUCAUGGCCACGCUUUUCAUUUCCAUGGCUUCUUGCUCUUUUGUUAUAGAAAAUUUAUUUUUGGUUGCAGUUUGAUUCGACUGCUAAAAUCUCGUGCGAUAAUUGUAUAAGAUAUCUAGAGUUUGAACUUCUUUCACAUUAGGGUUCAAGGAAGUUAACUUAAAUGAUUUUCAAAAUUUUAAAUGUGUACCAAAGAAUUUAAUUUCAUAGCUUAAACUUAUAUUUUGAUCAUACUCUAACUUUGGACAGGAAAAAUUAUAUUUUUCCUUUAGUUCUUUGCCUUGGUGUAUGUUGUGUGAAGUACUUGUGCUUGAAAAUGAAUUGCUGACACAGAAAUUUCUAUGAAUGCAUGCAGCCCAUAAGUGGAUAUGGGGUGGGUAAAGUUUUGGAUUCAGAGAAUCCAGAGUUCAACAAAGGUGACUUGGUUUGGGGAAUGACUGGAUGGGAAGAGUAUAGUCUCAUUACGGCUCCACACUUGUUUAAAAUUCAACACACAGAUGUGCCUCUUUCUUACUAUACUGGAAUCCUCGGUAAACUUUUUGUUUGCACAAUUUAUGUGAGCAAAUUGUGUCUUCUUUUUCAUAUGUAAAUGUUUUUGAUAUCUUGAUGUGAAGGUAGAAAAUUGCAUGUUUUGAGUUUUUGCAUAUUUGAUGGAAACACAGAACUGUACCUGAAUCUUUCAGAACCCCCUUCUCUUUGAAGUUUGAACACUUUUCUUGAAUGUAUCAACUUUAUUUAUGGGAUAUGUUGCCAAAUUGGAAAAUCUAUUCGUUAUAAAACUUUCCUUUGACAGUUUAAUCUAAGCAGAUGUUAAUUCUGCAAAUAGAGUGUGCCUUAGAUUAGUUUCAUAGAUUUGUCUCCUUCUGUACAGUAAAAACUUUGAGCAUUUUCGCCAUAUUCUGAUCAAUACACUCCAACUAGUUAGUUCUUGAGGCGUUUUAUGGUUUCGUGGAGUGAGGCAAGAUGUAUACGUUUGCAAAUUGGCAAUGUCUUUCUCUUGAUGGGUUGAGAGUUGUGAGUGUCAACAGGAAACAAGACCUCUGUUUUAUGAACUCCAAAAAGUUAUUCUGUUAAAAAGAUCGAGACAGAGGCCAUACUAUAUUUAUUAUUGCUAUAAAAGUGUGAAAAAAUAUUCUUUAUUUAAUAUUCUAAACGAUUGAGCCAUUUAGUUAUGAUACUCUGCUGUAUUGGGGCUAAUAAUCUAAGUCGGUUCAAAGUGGUAAAUUUAUAAAUUGAUAGGUAUGCCUGGUAUGACCGCUUACGUUGGAUUUUAUGAGGUCUGCUCUCUUAAGCAAGGAGAGUGUGUCUUCAUAUCCGCAGCAUCUGGUGCAGUUGGACAGCUUGUGGGGCAGUUUGCAAAGUUAUUGGGUUGCUAUGUCGUCGGAAGUGCUGGAAGCAAAGACAAGGUAUGUAAAAUUAGAAUUUGAUCAACAGAUUUGGAGUGUUUGUUUACAGAGAAAAUCUAAGAGAAAAUGUAAGAAACUUUAGCUGAGAAUAUUCAUUUUGUUCAACUUAAUAACAGAAUGAGAUUACAAAGCUUAUAUACUGCUAUCAAGAAUCAUCUUAACACAUACAUCAUUUUCACGUGUAUUUAUCUUUGAAAGAAGCUAAAUAACCAGCUUAACAAACUCACAACUACUUUGCUGACUGGACUGCCACGUCACCAUAACUAACUUAACUAAUCCAAUCAGUUAAUCACAGUUAACACAUAUUCUUAUCAUCCCCCCUCAAGCUUAAGUUCGGGGAAGGACAUUAAGCUUGGUACGAAGAUAAGCAAACUGAUCAAAAGAGAGGGGCUUGGUGAGAAUGUCUGCAAGUUGUUCUGAACUGGAAACAUGACUGAUCGUGAGUUGCUUCUGGGCAAUAUGCUCUCGAAUAAAAUGAAGAUCCAACUCAAUGUGCUUUGUUCGAGAGUGAUACUUAGGAUUGCUAGCUAAUGCCUCAGCACUCUGAUUAUCACAUUAUAGAACAGGACUUUGAGUUGGCUGAAUUUGCAGUUCUUGAAGCAAAUAAGUGAGCCAAAGAAUUUCAGAGGUUGCCGAAGCAAGAGCUCUAUAUUCAGACUCUGCUGAGGAACGAGAAACAAUGGUUUGUUUCUUGGAGGACCAAGAAAUAAUAUUGUUUCCUAAGAAUACACAAUACCCUCCAGUAGACUUUCGAUCAUCAGGAUCAGCUGCCCAAUCAGCAUCAGAAAAUGCUGUUAAAGUCACAGAGCCUGAAUUGAAGAAUUGAAUCCCAAAGUGUGAAGUAGCUUGAAGAUAUCGAAGAACCCUUUUACAAGCUUGCCAGUGUGCAAUGGUUGGAUGAGCUAGGAACUGACUAAGCUUGUUAACAGGAUAAGCUAUAUCAGGUCUUGUUAGCAACACAUACUGAAGAGAGCCCACAAUACUUCUGUAUAAUGAGGGAUUAUCAAAAACUUCACCACUGUCCUUUGUAAGCUUAUCACCUGGACUCAUAGGAGUAUUAAAACCUUUGCUGUCAAGCAUAUUUACUUUUCUAAGGAUAUCACCAAUGUAUUUGGUCUGAGAUAAAUGCAGUCCCUGAACAGAGGGUGUUACUUCAGUACCAAGAAAGUAGUUAAACUCUCCUAGAUCUUUGAGUGCAAACUCUGAAUGAAGAUAUUGAAUAACAGCCUCAAUAUGUUGAGAAUUAGAACCAGUAACUAAAAUAUCAUCAACAUAUAUAAGAAUGAGCACAAUAUCAUGGUCAAUAUGCUGAAUAAACAUGGAUGUAUCAGAUUUUGAGGAUUGAAAACCUUUAUGGAGUAAGGACCCUUUCAACCUCUCAUACCAAGCUCUAGGAGCUUGCUUGAGACCAUAUAAGGCUUUGUUUAACUUGCAAACAUAUGAUGGAUUUGCAAAGUCUAUAAAACCUUGUGGCUGAUGCAUGAACACAUCCUCUUCAAGCAUACCAUUGAGAAACGCAUUAUUAACAUCCAGCUGUCUAAUCUGCCAAUGAUGCAACACUGCUAGACUGAGGACAACUCUGACUGUGCAAGGUUUCACAACUGGGCUGAAGGUCUCAAAGAAAUCCACCCCUUGAGUUUGAUGAUAACCCUUGGCAACCAACCUAGCUUUGUAUUUGGAAAUGCUGCCAUCAGGGUUAUACUUCACCCUAAAUACCCACUUAUUACCAACUAUUUUAGCAGCACUUUCAGAGGGCACUAGAGUCCAGGUUUGAUUUCUUUGCAGAGCAUCAAAUUCCUCUUUCAUAGCACAAAACCACUUGGAGUCAUGCAAGGCACUUUUGACACUAGUUGGCUCAAGAUUUUCAGUAGCUGCUAGAUAUGACUUGGGUUUGAAGAUACCAGCUUUAGCUCUAGUAAUCAUUGGGUGAGAUGGUAAUGAAGAUGAGUGAGUUGGUUCAGCUGAAGGAUGAGAAUAAGAAGGUUGUGCUGAACUGGAACUUGAUGGAGGAGACAUUGCUGAAUGAAAAUUAGGAGAUGAUGACUCUACAUUGCUACUGUCAACCUGAGCAGAAGUUUGAAGAAAAGAAAGUUGUACUGGUGAAGAAGGGACAUCAACAUUGGAGACUUGUGAGGUAGAGUGUUUUAGAAACAAUUCUGUGUUAGGAAACUCAGUUUCAUUAAAAACAACAUGUCGAGCAACAAACACUUUACCAGAUGAAUUUAAACACUUAUAACCUUUAUGAAGUGGACUGUAACCAAUGAAAAUACAUUUUUGAGUAUGAAAGUCAAGUUUAUGCUGGUUAUAAGGUCUGAGGAAUGGAAAACAGGAGCAACCAAAAACCUUUGGAAACUGAUAGUCAGGCAGAUGAUUAUGUAAUUUCUGAAAUGGGGAUAGAUUGUUUAGAACUGAUGUGGGCAUUCUGUUGAUAAGGAAAGAAGCAGUGUGGAAUGCUUCCCACCAAAAGGAGAGAGGUAACUGUGAUUGAGCUAGAAGUGUCAGACCUGUUUCAACAAUAUGCCUGUGUUUCCUCUCAACAACACCAUUUUGAUGGUGUGUAUAUGGACAACUAUACCUAAAACAUAUACCCUCUUGCUGAAGAAAGGUUUUAAAAGCUAUAAAUUCACCCCCCAUAUCUGACUGUAGUGUUUUGAUAGACAAGGAGAACUGUUUUUCAACAAGAAGUUUGAAGUGUUUGAAGGUUUCUAAGGCUUCUGACUUUGCUGUGAGAGGAAAAAUCCAAGAAUAUCGAGUGAAAUCAUCCACAAAAGAGAUAUAAUAUCUGUAUCCACUCAUUGAAUAUUCAGGAGCUGGUCCCCAUAAAUCUGUAUAUAGAAGCUCAAGUGGUGCUUUUGUUUUAAUGGUAGUGACAGAAAAAUGAAGCUGAUGCAUUUUGCCAUGUUGACAAGCAUCACAGAAGCUAAUGAAUUUAUUUGAAAAGCAAUGUGUGGGAAGACUUUUAAUAAUUGUUUGCAAAGCAUGUUUAUUGGGAUGACCAUAUCUAUUAUGUAACAACUGAACUGAUAUCUUUCCAGCUCUAGAAGAAUUUCCAGAAACAGAACAUGCAAAAGCUUCAGACAUAUUUACAUUAUCCAACUUUGACACAUGAUUAUUUGACUCUGGUAAAGAGUUUACAACUUUAUUAUCAAAACAAAAUGACAACAUGGAACUUGGUUUAAAAAGAUUUGGAUUGCAAUCUGCAGAGUAAGGAGAGAAGACAUCAAGUGACAGUAGCUUGUAAAGACCACCUUUAACAAUCCCCUGUGCCAGCAAAGUUCCCUCCUUCUUGUCCUUAAUAAAGCACAUGGUGGAACAAAAUUCAAUGAUUAUGUUAUUAUCCAAAAGAAGUUUAGAUAUACUGAUGAGGUUUUUGGUUAUUUUAGGAACACACAAAGUAUUGGUUAAGGAUAAACAUGUGCCAAAAGAAGUAGAAAGAUGAGUGCAGCCAAUAUGUGUGAUAGUAAGACCUUGUCCAUUUCCAACAAACAACAGUUGAGUACCAUUAUAAGGAUUACCUUCAACCAGGUUUUGCACAUUGUUGGUGAGAUGAUGAGUGGCUCCACUGUCCAGAUACCAUCCCUGAUCAGCAACUCCUUCUGAGGUAGCCAUAUAAGCUGUUCUUGGCCCUGGGUUCUGCAUUGGAGAAUUUGAAACAAAAUUUCUGUUAAAUCUGUUUCUACAAUCAACAGCUGAAUGGUUUGGUUUAAAACAUAUUUGGCAGGUAAUAUUUCCUCUGCCACCUCCUCUACCAAAGCCACCAGAGGACCCUGGAUUUCCACCAUUAAAACCACCAUUUCCACUAAAUCCACCAGUAUUUCCAUUAAAACCACCAGAGUUUGAACCUCUUCCUUGGUUUCCAAACCAGCCUCUCCCUGAGUUUUGAUCCAUAAAGCCACCUCUGCCAGAUCCAUAACCUCCUCUAUUGUUGAAAUUUCCAUUUCCAUUUCUAUUCACAAAAUUAACAUUCCAAUUACCCUGGUUAUUAGUAUUCCAAUUAGCAUUGCUUCCUGACUUCUUCUGAUUAUUACCAGUCUGAGCCACAUUAGCACUAAAAUUCACCUUAGUUUCCUUAGCUACACCAGAAUGAUUACUCUCAAGCCUAGCUUCAUGAGAUAGCAACAUAGAAUAAGCCUCAUUGAUGCUCAUUUUAAGAGCAUUUGCCUCAAUAUAAACUACAACAGGAUAGUAAGCCUGACCUAGCCCUGAGAUUAAAUGUGUAAUGAAGUCAAUAGAGCUAACUGAACUUCCAGCCAUUGCUAAUUCAUCAGUUACUGACCUUAGUUUACAAAAAUAUUCAGUAAUUGACAUGGAUCCUUUCUUAAGAUUGUUUAGCAGCAUCUUUAAAUGCACUUUCUUAGCUGCUGUUUCAAAUCCAAACUGUUCCUCUAAGCUUAUCCAAAGUUCUCGAGAGUUUUUAGAAUUUACCACAAUGCUUAAGAUCUCCACACUGAUUGAAGAUAGAAGCCAGCUCAAGAUCAUCUGAUCUUGCCUUUUCCAAGUAGUGUAGGCAGGAUUUUCUGAGAUGACUGCCGCAUCUGUGCUUGUUGAUUCACCAGUCAGCAGCUGGUUUGGACAGGUACGUGAUCCAUCAAGAAAACCUUCCAGAUCAUUUGCUCGAAUGGCUGAAAGGAUCUGAGAUUUCCAUAUAGUAUAAUUCGAUCUGUCAAGCUUGAUUGGUGUGGCGAAAGUAAAUGUUGAGAUUGCGGAAGAAACAUUUGUACUAAGACUUGAAGAAGCCAUGAUCAAGAAGUGAUUCAAGGCUCUGAUACCAAAUUAGAAUUUGAUCAACAGAUUUGGAGUGUUUGUUUACAGAGAAAAUCUAAGAGAAAAUGUAAGAAACUUUAGCUGAGAAUAUUCAUUUUGUUCAACUUAAUAACAGAUUGAGAUUACAAAGCUUAUAUACUGCUAUCAAGAAUCAUCUUAACACAUACAUCAUUUUCACGUGUAUUUAUCUUUGAGAGAAGCUAAAUAACCAGCUUAACAAACUCACAACUACUUUGCUGACUGGACUGCCACGUCACCAUAACUAACUUAACUAAUCCAAUCAGUUAAUCACAGUUAACACAUAUUCUUAUCAUGUAAUCUGUGUGAAGUACUUGAUUGUUUCCAUGUUACUUUCAAACAUUUAAAUUAAAAAGGAAAUUUUCAUAAUCUUGCCUUUUCUAUGAUUUUCAAAACCAAGGUUGAUCUACUGAAGAACAAGUUUGGGUUCGACGAGGCAUUUAACUAUAAAGAAGAAGCUGAUUUGAAUGCAGCAUUGAAAAGGUUAGCAUCAAUAAAUGCCUUAGCUUGAUGCAGCUUGAUGAAGUAUGAUACACAUUUCUGACCAAUAUACUGCGUUCCCUGAUCUCUUACUUGAAAUAUCUUGGUUUGAGAACCUCAUGCCAAUGCCUUUAACAUUUUGGCAGGUACUUUCCUGAAGGAAUUGAUAUAUAUUUUGAAAACGUUGGUGGAAAAACGCUUGAUGCAGUGCUACCCAACAUGAAAAUCCGUGGUCGAAUUGCUGCAUGCGGUAUGAUCUCACAGUACAAUCUUGACAAGCCUGAAGGUGUGCACAACUUGAUGUAUCUUGUUUUGAAACGGCUUCGAAUGGAAGGAUUCAUUGUUCUCGAUCACUAUCACCUUUAUCCAAAGUUUCUGGAAAUGAUCAUUCCUCACAUCAAAGAAGGGAAGCUUGUAUACGUCGAAGACAUGGCUGAAGGUCUGGAGAGUGCUCCGGCAGCUCUCAUCGGUCUAUUCUCUGGCCAGAAUGUUGGGAAACAGGUGGUUGCUGUUGCUCCUGAAUGAAGAACAAGUUAGUGUUGUAUGUUCUUUUACCCUUUGACACAAAACUUCAAUGUCAAAGAGAGAAUGCUGCUCAUACUGCUUUAUAAAAUAAUCAAAUGAGUGCAAGUUUCAUGAUAUUUGCUGAAUAAAAUAUUGGAAAUUAAGCAGCUAGCCUAGCUCCUUCUUGUAGUUGCAGUUUGAAUGAUGCUGCUGCACAACUGCUGCCGAAAAAAAUCCUUAAUAGAUGAUUAGCAAGGUUUCAAAAAUAAAAAUAAAUGUUUGUGCAAUGUGCCGAAUAUGACAGCCACAAAGAAAGAGCAUACAAAUUGAUUGGUUUUAUGUCUUCUCUAGGAGAAAGCUACAAUACAAGAAAUUGUAUUGAUGGAGCCUUGGACCAAAUUUCUUAUUUAAAUUUUUAAUUUUUUUUAUUAAAUUACUUAUGUUAUUAUGGUUUAUAUUUUUAGAAAUUCUUUAGAAAUUAAUACAGAACUAGUAGCAAGUUGAGAAAUCUACUGAAUGGUCAAGAUAUGAUAAUGUUUAUUGAAUUAAAUUAACAAUCAUCAUUUUCAUAAAUUAUUGUCAGGAUAUUUGAUUCAUGUCAGGUGUAAGUAACUAAGAGAGCGUUUGGGACAGACACCACAGUUGCUCCCGAUGCUUUAUUUUAGGGAAAUAUCCCCUGGAAUAAUGCAUAGGGCGCAGCCCCAAACGGACCCUAAAUGUGCUAAAAAAAAAUUAAUGAGUUGGGUGUGUUUGAUAUUCAUUUGUUGUAAUUCUUUUAAUAAUUAUUGUAGAAAAAAAUAUGAUAAAAAAUUUAUAAUUAUAAAUAAAAAUUAAUAAUAUAAUAAAUAAAAUUUUUAAACAAUAAUUUUAAUAAAAUAAUAAAUAUAUUAUCAAUUUUUCAUCGUUAAUAUUUAAGUCACAAUAAUAAAUAUUUAUUAAACACUUUAAUACUAUAACUAACACUACAACUUUUGAAUUAUAACAGUACAUUCUAAAGACCGUGGAACAAUAGUACAAAAGGUGCUCGUCGUGUAAACAACACAUGGGACCCAAGCAAUAAAUGUUUCUGAUCCUCAACUUUCCUCAUCACUGUCCCUGCAAACAAUUCUGAUUUUCUUGUCUGAUAAAAAAACUGAGAAACAAUGGCGGCCGAACAAGAAGCUGUGAGCAAUAAUGUAAAGCCACAAAUUUUCAUAAUAUUAAAUUAUGAAAAUUGGGCUUUCAUUGAGAAUUAUGGGUGGCCUAUAACCCUUAUUAAGAAAGGGAUACUAAUUAUAAAUACAAGUUAUUUAUGAGAUAGUUUUGAAAAAAUGUUAUUUUUCCUUAUUAAAUAAGGUUUCUUAAGACUCCCUAUAAAUUCAUACUUUUUCCCUUCCAUGACCCUAAGUCCAUGACGUUUAUUCUUCUUCUCUGCUGCUCUUUACGCUCCUACCCAAAUCAUAGGAUUCAAACCUUUGUUUAGGAGAGAAUCAAAGCGACGAGUAAGUUAUUCUCCCUAUUCUCAACAGAUUUCUAAUCACUCUAUCUAGGGUUUAUAUUGGCACGAUUCUAGAUGGUUAUAGAUCAUAAUGCAUGAUUUAGAAUGUAUUUAGGCUUUGUUUAGGGUUUUGAUUUAUUAUGAGUUUAGUUAAUCAAUCCUUGACGUAUUAAGCACAGGAUAAUUCUGGACAAUAUGAGUAUCUCGAAUUUAAACCUAUAUUUUCUGAACGAGUUUUAUUAUAAAAUUUAUAUUUCUGGAAACUAGACAUGUAGGGCUUCUUGAGUAAAUUUUAUUUCAUUAAAUUCGACUUCGUUUUCAAUUUUAUAUUUAUUUUCGAAAUAGAAACCACUGCACUGGAAAACUGCGAUUCCAGCAUUGCGAUCGGAUUCACAAGACUAUUUGUACCACCAAACGAACUCGGAAAAUUCUGAAAGUUUAUAUGUAGGUUAAUAUAUGUGUCUAGGAUUACCAGUUUUAAUUUCAUAAUUUUCUGAUUAGUAUUUUAUUUUAUAAAAAUCACAGAACCCGUUCUGUUUGGUUUAGAUUAUGUGAAAACAGUUUCGAAUUUGCUGAGAAAUAAAUAGUUUCGAAAAUGUUUUUGAUAUCGGAUCCUCUUGCAAAUUUUACAUAGGGUACUCAUGGAUGUCCAGAAUAGUCCCAUAGAAUAUUAUAUCAUUCUGAGUCUUAGAUUAAGAGUUAAAUUCUGAGAAUCAGACCUGUACGGGUAUGAAUUAGAAAAUCAGAUUCUUAGAAUAAGUUAUUAAUUGUCAUAUCUUGUAUUUGUUUAAGGUGUUGAAGGUGAUUGAGGUUCUUAGAAGCUUAAAGGUGUGUUAAUUCAAAUUCAUUUGUCGAGGUAAGUUACUUCAUUCCUACUAUAUUGGAUAUGUAUAAGUAUUUUGAUAUUAUCAUUAUAAGUAUAAAUGUUUUCAUACUAUUUAGAAGAUUAAUGGAUUUUCAUAACAAAAUUAGCUUAUGAAAAUGUUUUCAAAACCUAAUUUCUUUUUAACAAAGCAUUUUAUAAAUACUUUUUAAAUAUGUAAGUUAUUUUGUUACAUGCCUACUUUUAUGAUUUUAUUUAUAAAAUAUUUUGCAAGCCUAAAUUAUUGUUAUGGACUUUUAUGAAUCCGAUACGAAUGUUUUAUGCCUAUGCAUGAUUUCAAUUAUAUAUGAUUGUAUGGGGGCCACCUCUUGGGACUAUAUGGGGGCCACCUCUUGAAGGCCAAAGUGUCGCAAAGUGCCACAUAUAGUGCAAAGUGCCACGUAUAAGUCAUUAUGUUUUGGCUCAUUGUCCGUAGUCAUUUUGAUUCUGAUUCUGAUCAUAUAAUACGAUAUAUGUCUGUUUUGGACCAGUACUGGGUUUCUGUUCUGAGUGUGCACACGAUAUUUUGAUUCUGUUUCUGGCCGGGUCACUGGGACUAUAGGUGACACUAUGUGACAAGAGCUAACCUUUUGUUUUCUGUAUACGUAUUAUAUGAUUUACUUCAUAAGUAAAUAUGCUUUUGGAUAUUCGGAAUUAUUAAGAAUUUAUGUUAUGUUAUCGUGAUAUAUUGUUUUAUGAAAUUUAUGGAUUAUGAUAUAUGUUUUAAACAAAAGAAGGCUUGCAAUAUUUUUGUAUCGAUAGGCCCAGUAUGUUAGAAAUUGUUUUACUUACCGAGUUGACGGCUCACCCCUCGUCAUUACUUUUUGCAGAUUAAGUUUCUUUUGAGAGGUGCGCUUAGCUUUGGAGUUAGUAAUUUUCCGUUUCCAUUUGCCAUUUGAAUAAGAGGAGGAAUAAACUCGUGUUUCUAUUUAGUUAUUUCUAUUAUGAACGUGUAAUUUGGAGUUUGAGACUUUUGUUAUUAUUUUUAUGUCCUCGGGAGAGAUUAUUUAGUAUUAGACGUUAGAAUUUGUGGAUUUAUUUGAAUAAGAAUUGGAGGUAUUUCAGUUUGAAACUUAUGAGUAAAGAUUAUGAUUUGUGAGUAACCUCCUUCUUCACGUGCUCCGCACGUGUUAGAUUUGGGGUGUUACAAAUAAGCGGGUGAUUCUAAGCAACUAUGUGACAGGUUUUCCAAAAGAAUCAGACAUGAAGAUAACAAGUGGAUCAAUAAAGCUGAAGGUAGCAGACUGUUCAAAAGACACGGUGCUUUUGAAGAAUCUUUAUCUUUCUUGUGAUCCUUACAUGCGAGAGCGUAUGAGCAAGCUUGAUAGCCCUUCUUUUGUUGAUUCAUUCCAUCCUGGUGAGGUUAGUUCAUCACGGCCCAUCUCUUGAUUUUUUUUUUUCAUUUGCUUCAAGUUUUGAUGAGUUUCUGAGGUAAUUUGUACGGUUUUGGAAUUUGAACACAAUUUGUGAUUUUGGUGCUGUAACUGUCAUUAAUGAUAUGUAGUAAUUCAAUCGGAAUUUGGAUUUAGUGCUGAUAUGAUCUCUGCUCAUUUUUUUAAAUCUUGUGUCCACAUGCAUUUUUGAAAUCUGGUACGGUUGAGAUUGUAUGUAGAUUAACCUACGUACAGUAUUCUUGUCUAAUGACUACUAACCACAACCUUAUGAGACGAUCGAAACCAAGCUCGGAUCAAUAAUCCAAUCGAGAGAGGAUCAUAACUGAAGCUUAUCGUGUGUGGGAAUAUUUCGGUUAAAUUGUAAUCAUGAUCAUGAAUCAUGCAGGGAAAAGGGAAGUUGAGGUCAAUUUAUGCACUUGAUGGAAUUAAAGAACCAAUAUUUGAUUUUGGUUUACAUUAUUUCUCAGUAAUGGUGACUUUGUGAUGUUAAAUUUAUGCAGCCUAUAAACGGAUAUGGGGUGGCCAAAGUUUUGGAUUCUACACAUCCAAAUAAUGCAAAAGAUGACUUGGUUUGGGGCUUUACCGGGUGGGAGCAGUACAGUCUCGUUACAGCUCCGCAGCUUUUGAUUAAAAUUCAUCAUAAAGAUGUGCCACCUUCAUACUAUACCAGGAUCCUCGGUAAUGAUUUUUGUUACACAUUAAGCUUUGCUUAUAGUAAUAUCAAUACAUAUGCUGCUUAAAUGCUUUCUGAUUUUUUGCCGGCCAUUGUCCAUUUUGCCCGGGAGACUAUAAUUGAAGGAAUUUACUGAAGGAAUGCUGAUUGUUGGGAAUUUGAUUAUUCUAGGUAUGCCUGGUGUAACUGCAUACGCUGGUUUAUAUGAAGUUUGCUCUCCGAAGAAAGGAGAGUAUGUCUAUGUAUCUACAGCAUCUGGAGCUGUUGGUCAGCUUGUUGGACAGUUUGCAAAAUUAGCUGGUUGCUAUGUUGUUGGAAGUGCUGGAAGCAAAGAAAAGGUGCUGUUAUAUCAUUCUUAAGUAGUAAAUAUAGCACCGUGCCUUCUAGCAGAAUUUUACAUGCUUUAUGUUCCAACUAAGCAUCCAUAUUUGAUCGUGAUAAUUAGCAAGGUCAAUAAUUUUUUUUUGACUAUUUUUUCAACGUAAGGUCGAUUUGUUGAAGAACAAGUUUGGACGAUGCUUUUAACUACAAGGAAGAGCCAGACUUGGAUGCAGCGCUCAAAAGGUCAGCUGCAACAAACGUUUCAACUCUAAUAUUUCAUUUUAAUAUUACAGAGCUUUGGUUGAAGUGUGUGAGUUGAUCCCAGAAACGUAACUUCAUCAGUGUCUCUGUUUUCAAAAAACAGGACAAAUUAAAAUCUGAUUUUGCGUUAAAAUUUCCCAGAUGUUUCCCUCAAGGAAUCGACAUCUAUUUCGAAAAUGUUGGGGGAAAGAUGCUGGACGCAGUGCUACUCAACAUGAGGCUCCGGGGCCGCAUUGCGGUAAGCAGUAUGAUCUCACAGUACAACCUGGAAAAACCCGAAGGCAUACACAACUUAGAGCAACUGAUCGGGAAACGGAUUCGCCUGGAAGGAUUUCUAGCAGGUGAUUACUAUCACCUCUAUCUGAAAUUCUUGGAACUGGUCAUUCCUGCAAUCAGAGAAGGAAAGAUGGUGUAUGUGGAAGACAUAGCCGAAGGACUCGAGAAAAUUUCUCGUAACUGCUACACAUUAAACGCGUUUCACAUUUCCACUCUCUCUCUAUAAAUAAACACGCACAUAAAAUUUCUCACUAUCCAAAAACAAAAUCUACAUAAAAAAUGGCGGGUGAAGAAGGAGUGAGCAACAAGCAGGUGAUUCUGAGCAACUACGUGACAGGGUUUCCCAAAGAAUCAGACAUGAAGAUAAUAGCAGGCUCAAUAAACCUCAGGUGCCAGAGGGUUCAAAAGACACAGUGCUUUUGAAGAAUCUUUGUCUUUCCUGUGAUCCUUACAUGAGAGGACGUGUGAGCGAGCUUGAUAAGCCUUCGUUUGUUGCCUCGUUCGAGUCUGGCGAGGUCAGUUACUUCAAUUCCCAUCUCUUGGUUUCAUAAUCUUUUAUGGUUUUAGAAGGUGUUUUAGGGAAACAUUGUGGUUUUGGUUAGUGGGCAUGAGCCUUUGAAGAGAUUAUAAUGUGUAGGACUAUGUAUGCAAUAAUAAGUAUAGGGGAUCUUGUUAGGAGAAGAUUCUCUUAGCAAAAUAAAAACUUUUAUCUUAUCAAAACAUAUGCAGGGAACUUAGUUAUGAUGUCAUGUUAGCAUUGUCUCUGAGGAUUUGAUUUCUUGAUGGGGAAAGGGGAAUUUAAGGUUACAUUAUUCAGCAAUGGUUUUUUUUUUUUUUUUUUAAUUAUGUUCAAAUUAUGCAGCCUUUGAGCGGAUAUGGAGUGUCCAAAGUGUUGGAUUCCACGCAUCCAAAUUAUAAGAAAGAUGACUUGGUCUGGGGCUUAACCAGUUGGGAGGAGUUCAGUCUCAUCCAAUCACCACAACUUCUGAUUAAAAUUCUGGAUACAAGUGUGCCUCUGCCAUACUAUACUGGGAUUCUUGGUAAGUUGUUACUAAAUUUAUCAAUGUCCAGUUCGCAUGAGCUGAAAAUCAUGUUUUAUUUAAUGCAAUGAGAGAGGGAAAUAGUAUGCUGCUUGAACGUCUAGCAUUUUGAAUUUUCAAUGAUUGUACCCUACGUAUUGGCAUGUAACUGAAGGAUUUCUCUUGAGGAAUUUACUAUUUUUUCUGAUUGUCGGGUAUUUUUCUGUUGACUCUAGGUAUGCCUGGUUUGACUGCAUAUGGUGGUUUAUAUGAGCUUUGCUCUCCUAAGAAAGGAGAGUAUGUCUAUGUAUCUGCAGCAUCUGGAGCUGUUGGUCAGCUUGUUGGGCAAUUUGCGAAGCUGGUAGGUUGCGAUGUUGUUGGAAGUGCCGGAAGCAAAGAAAAGGUGAGUUUGCACCUUUAACCCUUACGCUCUAAAUAAAAACAUAACACCUUCUGAAAGAAUUUGCAUAGAGAAUUUUGCAUGUCACAGUAUUUGUGUUCUAACUAAUCAUGGAUAUUUGAUCAUUAGUCUAACUAAAACUGACUUAUUACCACCUAGUUGAUUGGUCUUUGAGAAAUGUUAGUUGAUAUAUGCUUGAAAUCAUACUUUGUUUUAUUAGAUGAUUAUAUUAACCUGCUUCUUUUUCUUUGUGCUGUUUCUCGUUUGAUUACAUUUUCAACAUUAGGUCGAUCUAUUGAAGCACAAGUUUGGGUUUGAUGAUGCUUUUAACUAUAACGAAGAGCCUGACUUGGAUGCAGCUCUUAAUAGGUUAUCACGAAUGAAUGCCUUAACCAUUUUUCUCACUUCAUUAUUACAAUGCGCUGAUUGAAGUAAUCAGUGUUGGCUCUGAAAAUGUAAUGUAUACUUCUCUGUUUUCAUAAAACAGGACAAACAGUGAUCAGUGAUCUCAUUCGUUACAUUGAUAUUUUCUACCAUUGCCAUAUGCCCAUACAUAGUAUAAACUAGGAAUUCAGUUGCUUAAUUGAUAUUCAUUUCAGAGGGAAAUUUUCACUUGCAGCUAACAGAAUCAUGUUUGUGAUGUAUGUUUAUUUGGGAAAUGAAAGGAUUUGCUGCAUUAUUUUAUUCCAAGUUUGCUGAAAUCAUAUUUGUUUUCCCAGCUGCUUUCCUGAAGGUAUCGACAUCUAUUUCGAAAAUGUUGGGGGUAAGAUGCUUGAUGCAGUGCUAUUCAACAUGAGAAUUUGUGGCCACAUCGCUGUAUGCGGAAUGAUCUCACAGUACAACAUUGAGAAGCCUGAAGGUGUACACAACUUGAUGCAAGUAGUUGGAAAACGAAUUCCCACGGAAGGAUUUCUUGCCGGUGAUUUCUACCACCAAUAUCCAAAAUUCUUGGAACUGGUUAGUGGUUAUGGCGGCAAUCAAAGAAGGAAAGUUAGUAUAUGUCGAGGACAUAGCUGAAGGCCUUGAGAAAGCUCCAUCAGCUCUAGUUGGGAUAUUCACUGAGCAGAAUGUUGGAAAACAACUGGUUGCAGUUGCUCGGGAAUGAUAUGAUUAUUAUAUGACCAUGGACUUUAAAAGCUUAGUGAAGAUGCCUCUGUCUUAUUUGUGAUCCAUGUUAUGUUUGUUUGAGAUACAUGUUAUGUUUGUUUGAUCAAGCUGUACUCAGAUAUAAAUCAAAGAUUCAGAACAUGUGUAUGAUACUGGUUUCUAAAUCAAUGAACGCUUUGAAAUGUUAGUGUUUUCACAGGAGAAUGCAAUUUAAUUCAUCAACAAUGUCCCAACAAGACCCUCAGAGCUGUAGCUUGUAAAGUUAAUUACCAUAUUUUUUUGUAAAGUUAAUUACCAUAUUUUUUUCUUUCCAAUAUAUUGCUUAUUUCAUAGAAAGUUUACAUUAAAGUCUCAUGUUUCUUUGAAAGGUAAGCAAGUGUGAACGUUUCAAUCUAGAGCUGGAAAAUGCAUUUCCGGGCAACUUACUUGAUAAAUGAAGUUUUCAUCUCUGACCAUGAUGUUUCCCACAGGUGCAUUCAUUUCAGCUGAUCUAUUUAAUUUUGUUUUCGAAGGAGUGACACAAAAUCUCCUUUGUUAAGGGGAGAAUUUAGAGCGGCUUUGACUGUUAUCAAAUAGCCUAAUGUAAGACUUAACCAACUUCCUGCCCUGUUGUAUUCUUAUGAAUUUUGAUAGAGCUAAGAGUUUGCAGAAGCUACUGUAUUAUAUGUCGUUAGAGGCUGUAAAAAUCAAACACAUUUAAAUUUCAAUGAAAAUUUACUGGAAGUAAAUUUCCUAUGAUCCUACAGGUGACUAAUUAAUGAGAACUUGACAAUGACAAAAGAAAGUGUAUGAACUUUGCAGGCUGGCAUGCCAAUAUUGACUGGGUGGCACCAUCCACCAUCUGCAAGUGAAUAUCAUUGUUGUUUAAUCAACAUGGUGGAGUCCACUGGGACCACACCACAUCAUCAGCCUUAUCUCUAUUCCUCAAUUUUCAGUAUUCCAUACAUCAAACCAAUUUCAGUUUUGUUAUCAAUUAUAACUUUAUUGUUGGUGACGAUUCUGAUUCCUUUCUGACAAAAGGGAACCAUGGCUGCUGCUGGAGAGAUCUUACUCAACGCCUUCUUUCAGGUACUGUUCGACAGGUUGGCUUCUCGUAAUUUGAUCAGCUUUGUGCGUCAACUCCAAGGCGGGGUUGAUUCGGAGCUCAAAAAGUGGGAGAAAAAGCUGAAGAUGAUUCAGGCUGUCCUCUGCGAUGCAGAGGAGAAGCAACUGACCAACGAGGCUGUGAAGAUGUGGCUGGACGAACUCCAAGACUUGGCUUAUGACGCUGAGGACAUUCUUGAUGAGUUUGCUACUCAAGCUUUGGAAAGCAAGUUGAUGGCGCAAAAUCACGAUAGUUCUGGCCAGGUUCUCAGUUUCAUCCCGGCUGGUUUGAAUCCGAAUGCUAUUAUGUUCAAUUAUAGCAUGGGGUCCAAGAUUAAAGAUAUUACUAGCCGGCUGGAUCAACUCUGCCAAGAAAGAAUUGAACUUGGACUGCAACGGAUUACCGGAGAGGCAUCAUCAACUGCUGCUGGUGCACACCAGAGGCCACCCAGUUCGAGUGUCCCAACAGAACUUGAAGUAUUUGGAAGAGAAGAAGAUAAGGCCAAAAUUCUUGAUAUGUUAUUAGCCGAUACCCUAAGUGAUCAUGCUAACUUUGUUGUAAUACCCAUUGUUGGCAUGGGUGGGAUAGGAAAAACAACUCUUGCUCGGGAGGUUUACAAUGACAAGGCCGUUGGAGAUUGCAAGUUUGAUGUAAAAGCAUGGGUUUGCGUAUCUGACGUCUUUGAUGUUUUGGGCAUCUCAAAGGCACUUCUCGAGUCAAUCACCCGCACGCCUUGUCUUCUAAACAGUUUAAAUGAAGUGCAGGUUGAAUUGAAAGUAGCUGUGGAUAAGAAAAGAUUCUUGCUGGUCUUAGAUGAUGUUUGGAACGAGGACUACAGCUUGUGGGUAGACUUAAAAGCUCCGUUCCUGGGUGCUGCACCAAACAGUAAGAUGAUCGUCACCACGCGCAAUUCAAAUGUUGCAUCAACAAUGGGACCAGUUGAACAUUACAAUCUCAAGAGUCUGUCAGAUGAUGAUUGCUGGUCCAUUUUCAUAAAGCAUGCAUUUGAAUCUAGAGAUCUUAACGAACAUCAAAUUUCAGAAUCAUUCCGCAAGAAAGUUGUUGCCAAGUGUGGAGGCUUGGCCCUGGCAGCAAAAACACUCGGAGGCCUUCUGCGUACGACGAGGCAUGAUGUGUGGGAUGAUAUAUUAGAGAGCAAAAUAUGGGAUUUACCUCGACAAAGUGGGGUUCUCCCAGUAUUAAGAUUGAGUUACCAUCAUCUUCCUUCUCAUUUGAAAAGAUGUUUCGCUUACUGUGCAAUCUUUCCAAAAGAUUAUGAAUUCAAUGAGAAGGAGGUGACUUUUUUAUGGAUGGCCGGAGGUAUUAUUCGACAGUCCAGAAGCAAAGAGAGGCUAGAAGAUUGGGGCAGCAAGUGCUUCUAUGAUCUGGUGUCAAGGUCAAUUUUUCAGCAAACAGCAAUCUCUGAUAGUUCUAAAUUUGUAAUGCAUGACCUUAUUCAUGAUCUUGCUGAAUUGGUCUCUGGAGAAACCAUAUUCAGGUUAGAGGAGGCCAAUACUCUGUCAAGAAGAUUUGAAAGGGUUCGCCAUUCUUCCUAUGCUUGUGGUGGACGUGAUGGUAAAAAUAUGUUCGAGGUUUUCAAUGAAAUUGAACAUCUACGAACAUUCUUGCCAUUACGCUUACGCAUAAGAGGUGGCUCUAAUACUAGUUUCAUAACUCGUACGGUUCUAUCUGAUUUGCUGCCGAAGUUCAAAAUGUUGAGAGUGCUAUCUUUACAAGGAUACCGUAUCGGUGAGUUACCAAUUCCAUUUGAAGAUUUGAGACUUCUAAGGUUCCUCAACCUUGCUGACACUGACAUAAGAAGUUUACCUGAGUCAACAUGCAAAUUGCUGAACUUGGAAAUUUUGAUAUUAAGAAAUUGUUCCCGUUUGAUAAAGCUUCCGCAGAAAAUGAGGAAUUUGAUCAAUUUACGUCAUCUCGAUAUAAGAGGUGCAAAGCUGCUAAAGGAGAUGCCAUUUGGAAUGAAAGAGUUGAAGAAGCUUCAAACAUUGUCCAAUUUUAUUGUAGGCAAGGGUGAAUCCGCAUCUGGUUUGGAAGAUUUAAAAAGUUUAAACCUUCUUUGUGAUGAACUCUGCAUUGCUGGAUUAGAGAAUGUAAAUAGUCCACAGAAUGCAAGAGAAGCCACAUUAUGUGAGAAGCACAAUCUUGAAGCAUUGACUCUAGAAUGGGGGUCUCAAUCUGACAGUCCUCGGGAUGCAGUACUAGAAGAGAAUGUACUUGACACUCUACAACCUCAUGAACGUAUAAAAGAGCUGGCAAUCAGGCACUAUGGUGGUGCAGGAUUUCCACUUUGGAUCGGACAUCCUUUGUUCUCCGAGAUGAAGGUCCUUAAAUUGGAGAACUGUGACAAGUGUGUAUCUCUGCCAUCGCUUGGCCUGAUGAAUUCACUUAAGCACCUUGCUGUUAAAGGGCUGAAGAAACUAAAAAGCAUAGAGUCUGCGGUCUUUCCAUCAUUGGAGACUCUAAGUUUUGAGAAUUUGCCAGAAUGGCAGCAUUGGAACACCAAUAUCAAAGGAAAUGAGCCUGUUGAAAUAUUUCCUCGUCUCCAAGAACUUUCCAUUGCAGAAUGUCCCCAACUCUCUGGAGAACUGCCUGAGCUCCUGCCUUCUUUGGAGACACUUGUUGUUAGUAAAUGUGGAAAGUUGGUAGUUCCAUUGUCAAGCUAUCCGAUGCUCUGCAGAUUAGAAGUUGAUGAGUGCAAAGAGCUAGUGUGCAGGACUCCAAUUAAUUUUGAGUUGAUAAAGUCUGUGACUAUUUCAAAUAAUUCAUUACUCAUGAAUGGAUGCAAGGAGAUGCUAUGCCAUGGUCAAGCUGGCUCUUCACUGCAGAAACCCAAGACUAUUAUGAAUGUUUUGGAGUUCGGAAAAUUAUUGAAGCCUGGAUUUCAGAUAUUAGAAACUUUGGUAAUUGGCAAUUCUGAACGGCUCAAGUCAUGGAGUACUUUUAUUGAACCAGGGCUACAUUUGCUCGCUUCCCCUGAAGAGGUAGCAAUUGAAGAAAGUUGUGUACGUCUUGUUUUGUUUCCAGAGAUCAAUUUCUUUCCCAGAAAUCUGCGCUCUCUUCGAAUUUGCAACAGCACUGCUUUCAAAUCCUUACCCGAGGAAAUGAUGGAAAACAAUUCACAACUCGAAAGGUUGUAUAUCAGAGAUUGCGACUCUCUAACAUUCAUCGCAAGACGGAGGCUACCAGCAUCUCUUAAAAGGCUUGAGAUAGAAAAUUGUGAGAAAUUGCAACGUCUGUUCGAUGAUGAAGAGGAUGCUUCUUCUUCUUCUCCUUCAUCCUUGUCUUCCCCAGUGAUGCUGCAACACCUGAGAAUAGAGAAUUGCCCAGAGCUCACCAGUUUAUCAUCGGGUGUCCAAUUCCUUGAGGCGCUUGAAUACCUCAAGAUAGAGCAUUGUCCAAAGCUGGAGUCAAUACCGGAUGGCCUGCCCAAUCUUAAAUGUUUACAGAGCAUUUAUAUACGGAAAUGUCCAAGUCUUGUUUCCUUCUUAGAAAGAGGGCUUCCCAACGCCAUUUCAAGUUUUUACAUUUGCAGAUGUGACAAGCUCGAAGCCUUGCCCAAUGAUAUGCACAAACUCAACUCUCUUCGAGAUUUAAGCAUACAUGGGUGUCCAAGUCUUGUUUCCUUCCCAGAAAGAGGGCUUCCCAACGCCAUUUCAAGGGUUUACGUUUGCAGAUGUGAGAAGCUCGAAGCCUUGCCCAAUGAUUUGCACAAACUCAACUCUCUUCGAGGUUUAAGCAUACAGAUGUGUCCAAAUCUUGUAUCGUUUCCAGAAGAAGGUUUUCCUACCAAUCUAACAUCACUUACAAUUAGAUAUUUCAAAAUGUAUAAGACACUCGUCCAGUGGGGGUUGCACAGGCUUACCUCUCUUAAACGCCUCUGGAUUGCUGUACGUGAUGAUGAAGCAGAGUGUUUUCCAGACGAGGAGAUAGGAAUGACGCUGCCCACCUCUCUCACCGCUCUGCACCUUACUGGAUUCGAAAAUUUGAUAUUUCUGUCUUCAAUGGGUUUUCAAAACCUCACCUCUCUUCAAUCUUUGAGGAUCGAGAAUUGCCCGAAUCUCACAUCAUUUCCAGAGGUGGGCCUUCCAUCCUCACUUUUGGAAUUACACAUUAGAGAUUGUCUAAAGCUUAAAAAAGCGUGCAAAAGAGAUCAAGGAAAAGAGUGGCCCAAAAUUGCUCACAUCCCUCGCGUUGAGAUAGACGAUAAAUUCAUAUACGAUCCAGAAGCAGAGUAGAUUCUAUUAUUAAGGUCAGUUGAUUUGUAUUAUCCGCUAUAACAAGCUCCUCCUUUUUUUUUCAAAUAAUAAUUUUGCAGUCACUCAUAUGAUUCCGUUUUCACAAGUCAGAUUGUAUGUUGAGGCUAUUUGCCUUUUAAUUAUAACACUUAUUGGAGUAUAAUAUUUUGGAGCAAGCAUACUUGAAAUUUCUGUCUUCAAUAUUUUGAUGCUUUUUUAAUUUUUGAUCUAGUAAAAAUACAUAGCCUUCACCGGCAGGAUUCUAGUCUUGGCUUUCACCUCUCUAACUCAUCGUCCCCACUGGGAUUCCAGAAAUUGAAAUUUCUGUCUUCAAUGGGUUUUCAAAGCCUCGCCUCUCUUCGAUUUUUAUGGAUCGCUUCGAUUUUUGCACAAAUCUCACAUCAUUUCCCGAGGUCGAGGAAAAGAGCGGCCCAAACUUGCUCGCAUCCCUUGGGUUAUGAUAGAUGGAAAAUUCAUAUACGAUCCAGAGUCAGAGGUGUUGAUUCUCUUAUUAAGGUCAACUGAUUUCUAUUAUCCACUCUGACAAUCUCCUAUUAGUGUUUUUCCUUUUCUUUUUCAAAAUUUUGCAGUUCUGUAUAAUUGAAAAUGCCACUCACUUGUUUCCUUUUUCGCAGGUCAAAUAGUGCGUUGAGGCUAUUUGCUUUCUAUCGGUGUUUGUUAAGGUAAUUAGUGCUCCAUCAUAGGUAUGACUGGAUUUUUUUCACUUCCGUAAAUAUUGCAUUUCUAUCGGUGUUUGACUGGAUUUUUUUCACUUCCGAAAAUAUUGCAUUUUAGACUGGCAAAUUUAGCAGUAAUUUUAAUACAAUUUUGUUGGUGCCUUUUGUUCCAGAAGCUAGAAAAAUGUGUAGUUUUCAGAUAAGGAGGCUUGUCAGUUCUCUAAUAAGAAUCCAAUAAUUUGCUUUUGCACGUCCAUCUAAUUUGUGGAUCCUUGCAUCAGAAUUUGAUCAAUCCAAAAGGAAUUGCUUUUAGACAGAGGAAGAAUAGCAGUACCUAGCCUAUGUCAUAGUGUAUGGAACCGCAAACCUGAAACUAUUAGAUUGAGGUAAAAAAAUCAUUGACCCCCUCACAUGUUAACUUCUUCUAGUUACUUUCGUUGGAAAAAAAAACAUUUAAGGAAUUUGCAAUUUGUUGUUGGUUAUGGUAUCUGAUGUUCUUUUCUGUUUUAGUGUUUGUAGAAUCUACUGUAUUAUGUGUUGGCAGUUGCCGUAUCUGAGGUAACUUGCCUUUAUUUGACAAAGAUUUAGAGAAGCAUCUCAAAACACUUAGUAAACUUGACAAACUUCAAGAUGCACUUGCCCCCACGCCUUAUUCUCCACAACGCAAAACUUGUGAGUACACCUAUGCCUGCAAUUAUUGUGAAGUGUUUUCAAUUUUGAUGCAGAGAAAUGGUUUCUUGAUGCAAAAUAUUAAACUGUUAAGAUUUAUCCUGCAGGCUUGUUAGAUGCUGUAUGCUCGAAAAGCCAACAACAUCCAGAACUAGAACUCCAAGACCAGCUUUGCGUUAAUUCAGUCAACUGUAAUAAUAAUGCAAAUGACACUAUAUCAAGCUGGACUUAGAGACUAGUCAGAUCAAUCAUCCAUUUCAUCAACGGUUAAUGUCAUGAUGGUGGCUAUCAGAGGAAACAAAAGAUGUGUCGGAAUCUAUACGAACAUUGAGAAGCAUGAGAGGAGCUUUGAUUUUGAGUAGGGUCAAUGAACUCAUGUUGGUAAGUGGUAAUUAAAGAAAUUUGUAAGCUUAGUAGAGUUUCAGUAUUUUCUGUUUGGAGUAUAGUUGAUAAGUUGACUCUGUUUAAUAAGCCCGAUUAUAGUAGCUGACUGUAUUAACCUUUUUUUUUUUGGUCUACUGUUGUUUUUGGUUUCGAUUAUUUUUUCAACAUUGGGUUGAUCUGUUGAAGAACAAGCUUGGGUUCGAUUCUGCUUUAACUACAAGGAAGAGCCAGACUUGGAUGCAGGCGUUAAGAUUUUAAUGGGUAAGAACAAAUGAAUGCUUUAACCAUGUUUCUCACUAAUUAAAAUGCACGGAUUGAAGGCAUCUGGGUUGAUCCUGACAAUGUGAUGGAAAUACUUCUCUAUUUUGUUCCUGUGUUCACAUAAUGUUUGUGGGAUAUGCUUCGACGAAGACCAGCAAUGAUGAGCAGACACCUGGUAAUAGGGUUCCUCGAGCAGGUAUAUCUUGUAAGAGUAUGGUAUUCAGGGGAGCAGGAGCAGGAAUAUCCUGCUCAUCCGCGAGCACGUCAUCCACGAGGCCAAUCUCCUGUUGGAAGCAUAAAGCCAUUCCUGCUACAUUCCUGCUAAGGGUUGAGUCGAGGAGACCCGGUCAACGACAGUUGGCGAGGCGUGCUCUCCAGUCCGAGAAUCAAGGCAUGAAGGCCACGCAACCACCCACGACUACGGAAAUGGGGCAUCCACUUUCGAGAGGUGGGAGGAUAACGAGCGCGAAUGGAAGAAGGCCCGAGUUCAGAGAUGGCCUAUAAAAAAGUAGCCAACAAAGGUAAAAGGGUUAGAAUUUUUGACAUUGUAACAGAAAAAAAGAAAGCUCUAAAGAACUGAGACUAAAAAAGAAAAGCCAUAAGAUUUGUGGCUAGUGUUCCCAGAACCUUCAUAUCUAACUUGAGCGUCGGAGGGUUUACGCCGGGAAAACAACCGGCGUACUCUGACCUAGUUCUGUGUACGCAGGAACUUCUGGAGAAGAAGCCUUACGAGGAGAGAUCCUAAUCGAGGUGGAGUUGAUCGAGCAAAGAUCCUGGUCGUAACAAGAGAGCAACCAGAAUCUCGCAUCAACAUUUUGGCGCCAUCUGUGGGGACUUGAUCAAAAAGCUUCUGUUGAUAGCAAGAAGAGGAGUGAAGCAAGUGGAAAAGCAAUGGAGGCAAGAAGAAAUAGUGCACAAUGGGGUGAUAUGAGGCUUAACGAUUCCGUGACGCUGAGGGAGAUAGCCAGUGAAGCACGGGAAAAAGCCAUGUUUGACCGGAUGGAACGGAUGGAAAAGCAGAUGCAGACCCUGACAACCAUCCUACAUGAGCUGCGGAGUGAACGAAGGGGAACCCAGGAGGAAAGGGUGAGAGGUGGUGGAGUGGCACCAGGUCAUGAUAGUACGAGGAGAAGUCAAACCACCGAGAGAUUUGGUGGUGAGAGAGGUAACCUAUCUCUACGGGGAGAAAUUCAUAGAGAGGAAGAGCAAUCCCCGGCAAGACAGAUUUUUGACGAGGACGACGGGGUGGCGAAUGCAGAGGAAACAGAGUUGAGGUAACACUUGCAUGAUGUAGAGCAAGAGCGGGAUCAAGUUGCAGCACGUGACCUUGGUCGUGUAGUGCAGCUGGAGGAGGAAGUGCGCAGACUAGCGCAGAUAAUUGAUGACAUGUAAGGAAGGAGCAGAGCUCCUGGUUGGAGGAUAAUGCUGGACGGAGAAUCACCGCUCGCAGCAGAGAUCAUGAGGGCAGUUAUUCCAAGAGAUUUCCGCCUCCCAGACCUUAGAUAUUCGGGACGAACUGAUCCGCUGGUGCACAUAGAGCGCUUCAACGACAUAACCGGGGUACAAGGAUUAUCUCAAUCCCAAAGGUGCAGGGUGUUCCCACUAUCCCUUGAGGGACGUGCACGCAAGUGGUACAGGAAACUUCCUCGGUGGAGCAUUAAAACCUUCGAGCAGAUGUGACAGGAAUUUGUAGAGCAGUUUCGUGGGGCAAUAGCACCAGAAGAUGACAUGAUGGAGUUGAAAAGCAUGAAGCAGGGGGAACAAGAAACCCUUCGGGAAUUCAUCAAGAGGUUUCAUCGUGCUGUCCUCGAUUUGGGAGCCUUCAACCAUUCUCAGGCAUUAAGGGGAUUGAAAGAAGGGGUGAAGAUAGGAAGGCUGUGGCACAACUUGAGAAGCCCAGUUAUUCAGAUGUAUACAGCCGCAUACGAGCAGGCUAAGAGGGACAUUGAGAUUGAAGAAGAAAAGGCAGCACGGAUUAAGACAGACCAGCUAGAAGGGUUGGGAAAGAAAGAGAAGAAAGCAUUACCAGGGAAUGGGCCGAUCAGGAGGAAGGACCACCAGGCCUCAGGUAGUGGUGCAAGAGGUCGAGUAACCGCUUACCAGCCUCAUCAGAGACCACCACAGUAUUAGCACAGCAGAGCACAACCUCCUCGUUCCCCAGUUAGAGAGCUUUGGAGAAGGCAUGACUCGACAUAUGGUGGUCUUCAUCAACACUCCCACGGUAGUAGAGGGAGCAGACCAGAAGCGCUGCCACCGCCUCUAACUCAGAAUGGAACAAAUAGAGAAAGGGUAGUGCACAUGAUCGACCAGAACCAGGACUAUGGGCAGUAUACUUCCUUGAAGAUGUCCCUGGACGAGGUGUACGAGGCCAUAAAGGACCGGGGAUUGAUGUACCUCCCUGCCCCAAUAACAAAGCUACCCAGCAGGACGGAUAGGGGACGCUAUUGUAAGUUCCAUGGCACUUAUGGCCAUACCACUGCAGAAUGCAGAGAUCUCAAGACCCAAGUUGAAGAUUUGGUGAGAAAUCGGUACCUGGAUGAGUUUAUAGAUGAGACUUUCCCGAUGGUGGCCUCGACAUGUGAAGGGGAGCAGAGUGAUAGAAACUUUAGGCGCGAGCAGCCUGCAGUAAGGGUAAUAGCUGGGGGCCCAACAUUGGCCGGAGAUUUCAACAGAUCGAGGAAGAAUUAUGCUAGAUACGCCAUAACUAGUAAAGAGUUACUCUUCAACACCCCAGCAGCCAAAUGAGUAAGAGUCAGACAAGUGCCAAUCAUGUGGACGGAUGAAGAUGAAGAAGAGAUUCUAUACCCCCACGAGGAUGCUUUAGUCAUCAAGGCUACUGUUGCAAGUAAGAAGUUUGACCGGAUACUGGUUGAUACAGGGAGCUCAGUUGAUGUGUUAUUUAAGUCAACUCUGGAGGAGAUGGGAAUAGCAGGCCGGAAGUUGGAGUACACCAAUACCUCCUUGAAAGGGUUUGGAGGAGGAAAGCUGGUCCCUCUGGGCGUGGUCGAGCUGCCUAUCACGAUUGGGAGCUCCCCGACAAAAAGGACUAUGAUACUGGACUUUGUGGUGGUGGAUGAAGAAUGUCCUUACCAGAUGAUCUUAGGUCGGCCAUUUCUGAGGAUGAGCAAAGCGGUACUGUCCAACCAUUAUCUGGCUCUCAAGUACCGAGUGAAUGUGGUAGUUGGAGUGGUACGAGGAGACCAGAGAAUAGCACGAAGCUGCUACUCCUUGGCAGCAAGGGAAGCAAUGCAAAUAACAUCCCUUGAUACCCGAGUGGAAAACAUGAAUGGCAGACAAGAACCUGUAGAGGAGCUGGAGACAGUAAGCCUGGGACCAGAGAAUCCGGGAAAAACGAUCAGAAUCGAGUCGAGACUUAAGGAAGAGCAGAAGCAGGAGUUGGUGAAAUGCUUACAGGCUCAUGCAGAUGUGUUUGCUUGGACACAUGAAGACAUGCCAGAGAUUGAUCCUGAGGUAGCAUGUCAUAAGCUGGCAAUAAAGAAAGGUGCUCGGGCAGUAAGGCAGAAAAGGAGGUGCUUCAACCAGGAGAGGUAUGAGGCUAUAAAUGGCGAGGUGGAGAAGCUCUUGAUAGCAGGGUUCAUUUGCGAAGUCGAUUAUCCUGAGUGGAUAUCGAAUGUGGUGUUGGUAAAGAAGGCAAAUGGCAAGUGGAGGAUGUGUGUAGAUUUCACAGAUCUCAAUAAGGCGUGCCCGAAAGACAGCUUUCCUUUAUCAAAGAUCGACCAGCUAGUAGAUUCAACGGCUGGACACGGCCUGCUUAGCUUCAUGGACGCGUUUUCGGGAUACAACCAAAUUCCCAUGUAUGAGCAGGAUGAGGAGAGCACGGCUUUUAUUACUAACCAGGGUUUAUUUUGUUACAGGGUAAUGCCAUUUGGUCUUAAAAAUACUGGGGCCACGUACCAGAGGCUGGUGAAUAAAGUCUUUAAGCCAUUGAUUAGGAGAACCAUGGAGGUGUACGUGGACGACAUGAUAACCAAGUUGAACAUCCCGAAGGAACAUGUCAGAUACCUCGAGGAGACAUUCGGGCUUUUGAGGAAGUAUAAGAUGAAGCUCAACCCGGAAAAGUGUGCUUUUGGGGUCGAGUCAGGGAAAUUCCUUGGAUUCAUGGUGAGCCAUAGGGGGAUCGAAGCAAAUCCCGAGAAGAUCCACGCGAUCGUGUAAAUGAGGUCACCUCGUAGCCUGAAGGAGAUGCAGAGCCUCACGGGGAGGUUGGCGGCAUUGAGCCGAUUCAUAUCCAAGGCUACUGAUAAGUGUCAGCCAUUCUUUCAAGUGAUAAGGAGGGGAAAGAAAAUAGAAUGGACCCCAGAAUGUGAAGAAGCCUUCCAGAACUUGAAGCAGUACUUGCAGCAAGCACCUCUACUGUCCACACCGAGGGAUGGGGACAAGUUAUUUUUGUAUUUGGCGGUAUUAGAUCGGGCCGCAAGUUUUGUUCUGGUGAGAGAGGAAGAAGGGGUUCAGUAUCCGAUAUACUACACCAGCAAGGCUCUGCUCGACCCUGAGACCAGAUACCCACCGUUGGAGAAAUGGGCAUUUGCCCUUGUGGUUGCUGCUCAGAAGCUGAGGCCAUACUUUCAAGCAUUCCCAGUCUCGGUAAUAACAAACCAGCCAUUGCGUCAAACUCUGCACAAGCCAGAUGCUUCUGGUCGGCUCGUCAAGUGGACUAUAGAGCUGAGCGAGUUCGACAUAGACUACAAACCCCGAGCAGCGAUAAAGGCUCAGGCGAUGGCCGAUUUCAUAGCAGAAUUCACAGAGCCCGAAAUAUGUUUGGACCAGCGAGAUGUAGCUACAGACAGCAACGAAGCCCGAGUAUGGCAGAUGUCUGUAGAUGGAUCAUCCGGGGAGUAGGGAUCAGGAGCAGGAAUUGUUUUGGAAGGCCCAGAAGGGGAGGAGAUCUCUUAUGCUGUAAAGUUAGAAUUCGCAGCCACAAAUAACCAAGCAGAGUACGAAGCCUUGAUAGCAGGUUUGGAAUUGGCUAAGGCAGUGAAAGCGGAUAGAGUGAAGAUCAGAACUGAUUCCCAGCUGGUCGCAAAUCAUGUCAGUGAAAGAUUUCAACCGAGAGAGGAGAAGAUGGAGCAGUACCUGAAGAUAGUCAGGCAUAUGAUGGGGAAAUUUGAAGCGGUUUAGGUGAUACAAAUCCCCAGGGAGCAGAAUAGUCGAGCAGAUAUUUUGACGAGGAUGGCAGCGGUAGCAGACCCAAAAAUGCCAAAGUCGAUCCCUCUGGAGGUGAAGUCCAGCCCGAGCAUCGAGCAUAAUUUGGGGGUGCUGCGGAUAGAACAAAAAUGCUCGUGGAUGGACCCGAUAAUUUCAUACCUUAGAGACGGGGUAUUACCACCAGAGAAGCUGCGAGCUCGGAAGAUUAGAGCCCAGGCCUCGAGAUACACGAUGAUUGACGGGGUAUUAUAUCGGCGAGGAUAUACGCUACCUUUCCUUCGGUGUUUGGAUGAGGACGACGCGGACUACGUACUGAGAGAAGUACAUGAAGGAAUUUGCGAAAAUCACUAUGGUGGGAGGUCCCUGGCUCACAAGGUUCUAAGGCAGGGAUAUUUCUGGCCGACAAUGCACCAGGAUGCGCAAGAGAAGACCAGGAGCUGUGUAAGCUGCCAGAGUUUUGUGAGUUUCUCUAACCAACCACCAGAGAAGCUCACCUCUAUGGCCCCCCCCUGGCCAUUUGCUCAAUGGGGAAUUGAUCUGAUCGGCCCGUUGCCAAAGGGAUGAGGAGCAGCAACACAUGCAAUAGUUGCGAUAGACUACUUCACGAAGUGGAUAGAGGUAGAAGCCCUUAGUAGGAUCACAGAGAAGAAAACAACAGACUUUGUAUGGAGAAACCUGGUCUGUCGAUACGGGAUCCCUUAUGCCUUGGUAACGGAUAAUGGCAGGCAGUUUGAUAAUCACAGCUUCAGGGAUUUCUGCCAGAACCUCGAGAUAGAGUUGAAGUAUUGCUCGCCUGCUCACCCUCAAUCUAAUGGACAAGUAGAAGCAGCCAACAAGACCAUCAAGAGGCUUUUGAAAACCAGGCUUGGAGCAAAAAAGGGUGCAUGGGUUGAUGAGCUGUCAGGUGUCCUAUGGGUAUACAAGACAACCCACAAAACAGCAACUGGGGAGACACCGUUCGCCUUGGCUUUCGAACAUGAAGCGGUCGUACCAGCCGAGAUAGGAACGACCACGCACCGGACAGAUCAUUUCAAUGAGCAGGAGAACGACGAGCAGAUGUGUUUGAAUCUAGAUCUGCUAAUGGAAAAGAGGGAGCAAGCAGCCGAGCGAUCAACCAUUUGCCAGCAGAGGGUUGCUCGGUAUUAUAACCAGAAGGUGAAUGUACGGCAGUUCAAGGUCGGAGAUUGGGUGUUAAGAAGAGUGAAUCAGAAUACGAAAGACUCGGCUCAGGGAGUACUUGGACCAAAUUGGGAGGGGCCAUAUAGGGUCAAGCAGCUAGUUGGACCCGGAGCUUACAAGCUGGUUCGCUCGGAUGGCCACGAGGUGAAACGCCCAUGGAACGCAACACACCUCAGGAAAUAUUUCCAGUAAGAAUUGUCCAUGUUUUCAAGUUAUUUCUGUUCGUGUUUGUUGUUAUUUAUUUUAUGUCAAAACAAUUUCAUGUAAGUUGAAUCCUGCAAUUAAUGAAACGUCGAGGAAUUUCAUUCACUUGAAACUGUGAAAAAUCUACUAAGGCAUGCUAAGGCUCACUGAGUCUCAAAGCCUGUUUAUGGAAAGACCAGAAGCCAAGUGUGCCAGGAUCUGCUCGACCACGCGAAGGCCAGCAGAAUCCCAAAUCAUUGAAGAAUCUACCAAGGCAUGCAAAGGCUCGUCAAGUCUCAAAGCCUGUUUAUGGCGAGACCAGAAGCCAAGUGUGCCAGGAUCUGCUCAACCACGCGAAGGCGAGCAGAAUCCCAAUCAUUGAAGAAUCUACCAAGGCAUGCAAAGGCUCGUCAAGUCUCAAAGCCUGUUUAUGGCGAGACCAGAAGCCAAGUGUGCUAGGAUCUGCUCAACCACGCGAAGGCGAGCAGAAUCCCAAUCAUUGAAGAAUCUACUAAGGCAUGCUAAGGCUCACCGAGUCUCAAAGUCUGUUUAUGGCGAGACCAGAAGCCAAGUGUGCUAGGAUCUGCUCGACCACACGAAGGCGAGCAGAAUCCUAAAUCAUUGAAGAAUCUACCAAGGCAUGCAAAGGCUCGUCAAGUCUCAAAGCCUGUUUAUGGCGAGACCAGAAGCCAAGCAUGCCGGGAUCUGCUCGGCCAAGUAAAGGCCAGCAGACUCCCCAACAUCAAAAAAUUAUCCAAGGCAUGCAAAGGCUCGUCAAGUCUCAAAGCCUGUUUAUGGCGAUACCGGAAGCCAAGCAUGCCGGGAUCUGCUCGACCAAGUGAAGGCUAGCAGACUCCCCAACACUGGGAAAAUUAUCUAAGGCAUGAGAAAGCUCGUCAACUCUCAAGGCCUCCUCUGUGACGAGGUCAGAAGCCAAAUGGAUAAAUAAAUUAAAAUUCCAAUGCGAGGAAGCAAAUAAGAACAAUUUUAUUAAGCUCUUAAAAGUCUGCAAUUCUGUUACAUACAACGCUAAAAAAGCAAUUACAACGCAAGACAAGUUCAGGAGGACGGCGGAUCAGUAAACCGAGUAGCUUCGGUUGGCUGGUCCACUUCAGGGGUCGAGGGGGUGUCACCAGUUGCGUCCGGGGGGGUACUCGCCUCACCAACGUUAGCAGGGACUGCAUGAGGAGGAGAGUUUUCCUCCUCAACCACGAUUGGCUCCACCCCUUCGGCAUCCUCCUUUGCCGCCUCCUCGUCCAUGUGUUGAACAAUACUAGCCGCAAGGUCAUCCAUCUUCAGAUCAGGAUGCUGCUUCCCGAGGACGGCCAUGAUGCAACGAUAGGAAUGCCGAAGUCCCUGGUCGUACUGGUUGUCGGCUUCCUUCUCCAAGUUCUUGACCUGAACUCGGUGGGAAUCGCGGAGAGAUUCGAGCUGAGCCUCGUACAUAAUUUUCUGCCUUUGCAGAUCCUCCUUGACCUUAGUCAGCUCUUCCUCGAGAGUAACGGCCUAUGCUUGAGCAAGAGAUUCUUGCUCUAUCAGCUUCAGAUUCUCGAGAUUCAAGUCUCCCGCUUUCUUCUCGGCAGCAUCGGCUCUGGUCGUCGCCGAUUGAAUGUCCUCCUUCAUCUUCCGGUCGUAACGGCCAACCUUGGCCUUAUAGUAAGUGGUCAUGCAGCUGAGGUGGAAAGCGCUAUACUGCAUGGCCCCCACCAGCUCACCUAGGGUGCAGCCAUCAAAGUCCUCCAGGUCCUUCUUGCUCACGAGUUUAAAUAGCUCAUUGAGAUAGGGGACCAAGUGUUCUGCUCGGUGGUCAGAUAAACGAGAUCUAGGCCCGACAGGAGGAGAAGAGAAAGCAGGAUCAGUGGCAGCUCCACUAGUCUCUCUGACUUUGGCAGGAGGAGGAGGAGGUAGAGUCUGCAAGGGAGCAACCUGUUGCACGAUGUUCACCUGCUUUGCAGUAGGAGCAUCUUUAUUCUGGUCCUGCUUGGUCGUUGGAGGUCGAGAACGUUUCCUAGUCAGAGCCCCAAUCACAGCAUCCUCCAUCUUAUGGCCGGGAGGCACCAAACAAGACUCGAGCAGGUUAUAAGUAGUUAUCAGCUCUCGGCUCGAGCAGGAAUUGGCUAGUACAGCCUCGACCCGUUUGAGCUGGUCAGGUUUGAGCGGGAAGUAAACACCCCAAGAACCUGCAACACAAAUAGACACUUGGUUAGAGACAAACCAGUAUAGCGAGAACAAUUAUGGAUACAAGACAUCUAAAGCGAGCAGGCAACCUGAGAUCACGAAACGGGGUGGGACGCAAGAAUCCUUCCCGUCAAUUUGUGCAACUUGACCCCAGGAACCCCCAGCAAAAAAGAAUUUUUUCUUCCAAUUCCCACCACCACCAGUAAGAAGAUCGGUUAUGGGUUUCCUGGUCUUGGUACUAGAUUGGAAGUAGUACCAGCCGGCAUCUUUGGGGCUGCUCUUUAGCUGGUACAGGUGCUUCACCUCAUCAACUGUGGGCUUGCUUUGGCAACAUCUGUCCCACAAUAUGAACAGACCAGAGAGUACUUUCCACCCGUUGGGGUUCAGCUGACCAGGAGCUAGAUUUAGCCCGUUAAGCAUCCGGGCAAAGUAGGGUUGCAAGGGACACCUCAGCCCAUACUUAAAGCUCUCUAGAAACAGGGUAACGUAUCCCCUAGGAGGCCGGCUAGGGGUAUCCUUCUUUCCUGGGAUCUUAAGAGGUAUUUCACCAGGAAUACUAUACUUAAGCCGGAGGUCAGUGAGCUCGUCAAACGUGGUCGUGCACGUCAUGUAAUCAAUAGCGUAAUCCCGCGAUAGGGCUCUACCUCCUACUGUACUCUGCCCUUCUGGUCGCGAUGUUCAUAAUGGGGACACCUCACCAGAAUCACCUCUUCGAUCCUCACUCAGGGUGUUUUCCGAGCCAGAAAACCCCUCCUCACCGCUAUUUCUGCUCGAGGAGGUUGUUUGGGGGGACAUCCUCCUAGCGCUAGUACCAACACUAGGUCUAAUGGGUUCUAAGGGGAUCCCGGGGUCAAAAGCAGGAUCGGUGAGCAGACUAGGCAGGAAGUCCAACUCAUUGUCAUCAACCUCAAUGACCUUCUCUUUACCUUUCGACAUUCCCUAAGCUAUAACUAGAACACCACCACCAACUACUACCCAAGCAAAGCAAAGAGAAAAGAAAUUAUCUACAGCUAUCCGAGACUGAGGAGAUAGAAGUAAUACCUGAAAUAGUGGUUCAGUCGGAGAAGGACAGGGAUGGAGGCCUUUAUGCCGGAACUUCUUUGCCAGGGAGACAGGGACAGAGACGGGGUAAAUGACGAAUUUUCCUUUGGAGAGGUUUUAGGUUUUCCUAAUGGAGAAUAAACUCUUGGGUUGCCAGCAUUUAACAGCACCAAAUCCCGAGGGUCUCGUAACCGUUGGUUUGAAAUUCAAAUAGAGAGGUAGAUUUCUGUCACAUCACCUCGUCCGCAAUUAAAUGCGACACAACUCUUGGCAGCCUUUUUCCUAUCCCGCGCAAGCAAGAGCUGUCAAGUUUCUACUAUCGGCUUACUACGUUACCCAACACCAGAAACUGGGGGAUCGGUGUUUGUGGGAUAUGCUUCGACGAAGACCAGCAAUGAUGAGCAGACAUCUGGUAAUAGGGUUCCUCGAGCAGGUAUAUCUUGUAAGAGUCUAGUAUCCGGGGGAGCAGGAGCAGGAAUAUCCUGCUCAUCCGCGAGCACGUCAUCCACGAGGCCAAUCUCCUGUUGGAAGCAUAAAGUCAUUCAUGCUACAUUCCUGCUAAGGGUUGAGUCGAGGAGACCCGGUCAACGACAGUUGGCGAGAUGUGCUCUCCAGUCCGAGAAUCAAGGCACGAAGGCCACGCAACCACCCACGACUACGGAAAUGGGGCAUCCACUUUCGAGAGGUGGGAGGAUAACAAGCGCGAAUGGAGGGAAGGCCCGAGUUUAGAGGUGGCCUAUAAAAAGGUAGCCAACGAAGGUAAAAGGGUUAGAAUUUUUGACAUUGUAACAGAAAAAAAGAAAGCUCUAAAGAACUGAGACUAAAAAAGAAAAGCCAUAAGAUUUGUGGUUAGCGUUCCCAGAACCUUCAUAUCUGACUAGAGCGUCGGAGGGUUUACGCCGGGAAAAGAACCGGCAUACUCUGACCUGCUUCUGUAUACGCAGGAACUUCUGGAGAAGAAGCCUUACAAGGAGAGAUCCUGAUCGAGGUGGAGUUGAUCGAGCAGAGAUCCUGGUCGUAACAAGAGAGCAACCAGAAUCUCACAUCAACACAUAAUAUAAUAUAUAUAUAUAUAUAUAGAAAGCUGAAUUUAUUUAUUUACGCGCAUGUGCUAGUGCCCACUGGCAUCCACUUGAUUUGUAUCGGUUAAAUGUAUCAUACAAUACAAUAUUAGCUUGACUGUAGAAAAGAGGAGAACGAGUUGGUGUUGGUCUGAACUCUUAUCUUUGAAUCUCACGUGACUCCACUACUUUUUACUUGUUCUGUAGUCCAUUGUCGGCAGCUCAUACAAGGUCUUUUAGCUUUUUAAAAAGUUUUAGCUUUUUGGAUAAAUUACUGAUAAUUGUAAUCUAUAAAUAAUGAAAGGAAUUAAUUAAAUAUUUGGUAAAUUUUAUUUUUUAAAGUGUUAUGAGUUUUAAAAACGGUUGUAUGUAUAUAAAUUUAUUUACACAUAUAUUUAUAAAUAUGACUAUAUAAUAAUAUUUUAUGUGUACAUAUAAUAAUUGAUAACUAAAAUAAAUAUUUUUAUUUUAUUAAUGGUUUUUUCGUCUCAAUGUAGUUGGUAAUAAUAAUCUCUUGAGAUGUAACGAUUUUAUUUCCUAACUGAAUAAGGAAAAUUUUAGAUUUUUAUAAUAAAUGUUAAGAUAUAUUUAGAAUUACAUUAAGUAUGAAAUAAUCCUCAAAAUUAGAUUUUGAAAAGCAAUUCUUUUCUUGCCUUUAAAAAUAUGUCAUAUGAUGAGAUGAUUUUACUAAAAGUGAUUUUUUUUUAAAAAAUUACUAAACAUCAAAAUUAACUCUUAACUUUUUAAAAUCAUUUCUAAUCUUCUCAUCCUAAGUUCUCUAUUAUUUUGUACAAAAUCCAAGGUUUUGACUUUAAUAAAAUGCCCACUCAAAAAGAAAUUAUUUUCUAAUUAAGAUUUGUUGUUAAUGUAUAACUCGAAGUAAUAUUAGAUAUUUGUAAUUUUAUUUCAAAAAAUUUAUUCAAAUGAUAUGGCAAGCAAUGAACAAUAGUUGAUAGCAAUUUUUUUUUCUUUAACAAUGUUCAAAUCAAUCAGUUGCAUUAUCUCACCAUUUUUAUGAUGCCAUGUUAUUUUAAACGAUUUUUUUUUUAUAUAAAACAUACGACGUGUUAACAUCAUUUGCAUAACUUGACCUUUUUUUUUUUCCCUACAAAUAGUAAGUCAAAUUUACUCACCCUAUUUCUACCUAAAAUCUACCUAAAACUCAUGCAUCACUGCAAAACAAAUCCAAAGAUUGCGGUGCGUUUUUCUUGGUCAGAAAUCAAUAAUUAGGUCAAGUACUACUACUAAGCGUGCACAAUUAAUUCUAAAAUACGGUGAUCAAAAUCAUACUUUACGCAAGAGGAUCAGGGCUAAACUUCAAUUAGGCAUUAUUCAUCCAAAAAUCAUUGACUCGGCAUUCUUUGCAAGUUGUAGCAUGGGACAGCUAAGAUAAUUAGCAAAUGAUAUGGACCAUAUGCACCAAUACAUUUGUGACAUGUGAAUCUUGGCAUUAAAGGAAAGGCAAUGUGUCAAAAUUUAAUAGAGCCCAACUCUUCAUUGAAUGAUUAUCAGAUCCAAUACGCAUCCUUUGAUUGGAUUAUUUUAAGUCAAUUAUUGGUGGAUUGGGGCCCACUUGACUCUACCAAAUCGGGCUCGACCAUAUCACCUAUUAACGGCCACCUGUCCUUAUCAUAAAUAGCAAAUGUCACUUGUUUUAUUUUCUAUUUUACCAAAGUAAAGUCACUACGAACGCAAAAGAAAGUGACCUCAAUUUUGGGGGUCAUGAACUUUGGAUUAUUAUGGACACAAGAGACAAGCGCAAUGUUUCUCAUUUAUCACUGGAUAAGAUUUAAGUUAUCAACCCAAUAUUAAUAAAUUCUGCUUGAAAAGUAAAGUUUGAAGCUUCAUUUUGCGAAUAUUCAAUGGUUAACAUUUAAGUAAUUAACCUGAUAUUAAUCCAAUUAAACUUUUUAUGUAAUCCAAGUCAAAAAUAUAUUGAUAAACCUAAACUAAUCUAAUUGGACAUAUUAUUUCAACUUGAAAAGGUGAAUUUAUCAUUUUUCAAUUAAUUUUGAAUCAAGCUAUGUAAAAUAUAAGCUUAUUAAAGACAUAUUUGAAAAUUUCAAAUUGAAUUAUUUGACAAUUACAUUUCAACUAAGUUGUACUGCUAAUUAACUUCCUCAACUUAAAAUGUAUUUUUCUCAAUUAAUUCGUAACAAAGAAUGUUAGAUGUUUUGUUCGAAUGAUAACAUUCAACAUCCUUAUUCUUUAUGAUUAUUGCAUAAAAACAUAUUUUAUCCAUUUACGUCACAUAUGUUCCUAAAUUGUAUAAGAAAAUCACCAAAUUUACUCUUGUAAGUUACUAUAUCAAUGAACAUGAAACUAACUAAUCAUUAAAGUCUCGGAAUGACAUCAUGAGGGGGAUUCCGUUACAUUUAUUGAUAGGAUUAGAUAUAUGUCUUCCCAAAUAUUAGUAGGAGUAAUUAAACAGAUGCAGCUAUUAAAAAUAUGGAAUUACUUAUCUCGUCAAUAACUAACGAUAUUUUUUAUCUAUGCUCGAUAGGCGUCUGAGCUAUAUUAUAAAUUGUAAUAUUUGUAGAUUGUAACAAUUAUAAAAAAAAAAAAAAAAAGCUCCCUAAGACUAAACGACAACAGGACUGUUUUGAAAUAGAUAGAUAAAGUAUGCCCUUAUUUGAGAAAAGGUAAAACACUAGGGAUCUAAAUGUUAUUAUAAUCCCAUGCACAAAAAUGCUAGAAAAAACUAAUAACAACUAACCGAAAAUCCCAGGCGUCAUAUUCCUUUUUACCGCGUUUUAAAAUGCACAACAAUGAUAUUCUCACAAAAGUGGGUACAAAGGUUUGUACAACCAGGGUCUCUUUGUAAAUUAUUUCAAAGUUUUGUGUUAUUUUUUAAAUUUAUGAUUUUUAUUAAUUUUGAUUCAUUGGAGCAUUUCUCCUUCCAUCUCUUCUACAUCUAUUUUUAAAGUUUUUUAAAAUUUUGACUAUAUCUUUAUAGAGUUCUAAAUGAUUAUCUUUUUUCAUAAAAAUCUAUACUUAAAUUAAUCCUUGAAUUUAUAAUCAUUUAUCUUCUUUGAGUCAUAGACCAAAUUUUUUCUUCUAACAUAUCUAUGUAUACUCCUAAGCUAUCUUCAUGGCUUAGAUACAUUCUAUCAAAGCUUUCACAUAUAAAUUGUGAUUUGAGAUCUGCAUCUUGAAUCAACAUCUCUAUAUUAUCCAUUGUUUUACGCUCGAGGGUAGUUAAAAUUGAUUCUAUUAAUGCUAUCGUGUUUCUCCUUCAAAAGAAUCAAAUAUUUCUGGAUUAUUAAUUUCUUUUAUUUCUUCAUACAAGCAUUCGUUUGCCGUUAAUCUUGUUUUAAUCAAGGAAGCUGUAUAAGCAACUUGAUAUUCUUGACAAAAGUCUAAAUGAUCUAUUGCAUCUAGAAAUUUAUUAAUAGAUCUUUCCAUUUUUAAGAAAUUGAGUUACUCUUAUCACUUCCAAUCUUUUAACAUCUCAGAAAACAAACAAGGCCCAGCAUGCUUCCGUUUGUAGCUCAAAUAAAAGAAGAGUUCAGAUCACUAACCAAUGUACUAUCUCUCGGAAGUCUGAGAUAGACUCACUAAUUGCCUCUAACCAUAGAGAGGUCCAUGGUCAGCACCACCAUAGCUCCACACAUCAUACAAGAUCACUUCAACGACUGUUCCACAUGGCCUAAUGCAACACACAGCAGACUGGCCUAAUAGGAUAUGUCUAAGUGAUUUUCUUGCAGUUGUCUCUGGAAGAGUGCUUAGUAAUAGAAAAUCUUCUUCGUUUAGUACAAGUAUUGGUAUGUAAGGUUCUUGAUUAAUUUUCAAAAGAUGUAUAAGUGUUAGAGUGCAAUUUAUGCACUAGUUUUGCAUUAUUUACUUCCCUUAAUAUCAAUGUUUUGCACUUAAUAAUAGUGAUUUACUUGUGUUUUACUUUUGUAGGUCCAAUUCUAUUGAUUGAUGAUAAAAUUGAGCUAUAAGAUGAUGUUUAAGGAUGAUUGUUCUCUUGGAGAAAUUAUGAGCGUCAGAAGAACUUUGUUGAUAAGGCGUGGGCGCGUGCUGUCAAUUGCGGACCUGCAGUUUUUAGUUUAACGUGUUUUGUAUUUUUGGUUAUUUUUGUAAUUACGAAUUUAAUAUUUCAGAUAUUAAGAUUUUAUUUUAAAUAGAAUUCUAAAAGAGAAGAGAGAGAGAGUAUUUAAGGGAGGAAUCUAUUGUGAAAAAGGGGGAUUUUGGAUUGGAGAAAGAAAGAAACCCUAGAUCUAAUUUUUCUCUUCUCUCUAUGAAGAACUAAACUUAUUUUUCUAGUUGAAGGUUAACGAAGCUUUGAUUCAUCACUACUGUGAGAUCUUUCUUAUGCUUUAAUUGUUUUAUUACUUUUUGGAUAUUUGUUUAUUCUCUGAAUUUUUUUCAUGAUUAUGUUUGUUAAUUAGGUAAUUGGCCACUAUUUAAUUAUCAACUUAAUCUAUUGUCAAUUAAAGGAUUCAUCGUAUGAAGAAUUUAAUAUUUGUGACAAAUAACAUAGCAGAGAGUUGUGUUGUGAGAAUAAACAAUCUAAUUUAAAUGAAUCAUCAUAUGUGUUGAUUAGGAUUUGGGUCUCUCUGGUUUUUCAGGCUGUCAAUGAAUUAAAUCCUAUGAUCGUAUCUAGGGUUGUCCAUUGAUUAGGGAAAUAACCAACGGUCGUACCUUGGUUAUCGACUAGUAAAGGAGAGAUUGGCUAUUAGAGGGUCUCAAUAGCUAUAACCGGUCUAUUCAUAAGUAAUAAUAAUCUAUAUUUGAAUCAAUGAUCAGUAGUAGAAUCAAGCUGAGUUAAUUCCUUCAACCAGAGCUUUCUCCAAUUUGAAUUACAACUUUAAUUUGCAUUCUUGUUAUUUUGAUUUGAUUUUUAUUAUUGUCAACAAUUCCCCCAUUUUACGUUUUACGUUUCAAAAGGAUUUAAAUAAUUACCGAUCUCUGUGGACACGACCCUGCUCAAUCACUAUACACAAUUUAUUUAGAGUAGGAAUUUAUUUUUGUUCGCUUCGACACCACUGCUGCCUCGCCAACUAUUCCUUCUACAUCCGCACCACCUUUGAGCAUUCAGUUAGAGAAAAUAGAGCACAAGCUGAACAAGAUGGAGCAGAAUUUGGCCGCAUACUUCGAGAGUGUGGGUUUUACCCCACCAUUUCCGCCAAGCCCAUAGACGUUAUGUGGAUCAAAGCUCACAAUUCAGGGAAGUUUCUUUUUGCCCUUAAUCUUUUAUCCUUACGCUUUAAUUUUUAUGUGAGCUUUAAUUAUCUUACAUUGGGGACAAUGUAAGUUCUUGGUGUGGGGGAGGGAUUUUUGCAUUAUUGAUGUCUGGAAGUAUUAUUUUCACUCUACUCAUCUAUUUUCAUUCUACUCGUCCUUAAAUGAUUUUGGAGUUAGUAUGCUUCAUAUAUUAUUAUUUUUCUUUUCUUUUCUUUCUCACUACUUUUUUCCCAUCUAUCUCAAAUUAUUUACAUCUAUUUUUAUUCUAUCAUACUCUUUCAUCACUCACAUUUUAUCUUUCACUUUUCAUAUUACUACAUACAUCUUUCUCACUUCUUAUCAUUUUUACCUUUCCUUCACUCAUACCUUCUUCUCAUUCUACACCACUAUUGAUGGUUGAUUCAUUUGAAGAGUGUACAUGAUUUGAUGGCAAAUUUACCAACUUUGUGAGGAUUUGAGCCUAUGAGCAACCACUUUGCUCUAAUUAUUUUUAUUAUGUGAAUAUCAAUCUUAGUUUGUUUAUUCUAGAACUUGCUUUGUUAUGCAUGUUGAAGCCACAUUACGGGAUUUUUUGCAUUAAAAUGAUAAGGGCAAACCAUUUACCAUUUUUCUAUUCUCGCAUUUUCUUUUUUUUUUCUCUACCCGAAGACCUUGAUUUACUAUCUUUGUUUGAGCCUUAACCAUUACCCAUCUAAUUCUCUCCGUCUACUUAACCAUUUUUCUUCUUUUUUAGCCUCAAUUUAAGGAGAUUUUUGGACUCAUUGUGUGGAUAUAUUUUGUAUAUAUUUUGUUGCUUUUUCUACCUUGUAUUAAAGUUUCUCAAUUAGAUCAACAAGCAUUAUGCUUGAAUUAAAUUGUGCAAGGUUCAUUUCUUUUGUUUGAUUCAAAAAAAAAAAAGAAAGAAAAAGAAAAGGAAAAAGAAAAAAAAAGAAAAAAAAAGAAAAAUCGAAAAAAAAAGAAAAAGAAGAAAAAAAAAUGUUUACAUUCUUGGUGACUUGAGUAGAAAUAAGCGUUUCGAUAUCAUAAAGUUCGUUCAAUGAGUUCAUUCUUCUCAUUUUGAUCUCUUUUUCUUUCAUAAACCUUUCUUUUUCAUUUAACCCAUUUAACCCCGUUACAACCUUUUAAGACCCUUAGAUUUUUGUAUUUAAUUCAUGUUUUGUGGAUUGAAAUGUGAUAUAUAAGCAAGCUUAUGGUAAUAGCAUUCUUUGAUUUGAUUUGAGUGAAUAAAUGACACCCUAAACACUUUGAGUGCAUGGAGUGAAGUCAAUGAGAGGGCUAUUAAAUCUUGUUGCACUUGAAUUUUGAAUGGAUCUUCUUGGUGGUUGAAUGUUCUUAUUCUAUCUUAUGAGAUUCUAUGCUUUAAAAUCCUUGUCUCUCGAAUGUUGAUCGACUUAAUUUCUUGAGGUAUACUUGCUUAAAAUUGUUUUUGGAUGAGUUGAGAUGAGAAUUGAGUGGAGAUUUGGGAUUAGUCUUGAGUUAUAUGCUUGAGGACAAGCAUCAUCUUGGUGUGGGGGAAUUUGUUAGAGUGCAAUUUAAGCACUAGUUUUGCAUUGUUUACUUCCCUUAAUAUCGAUGUUUUGCACUUAAUAAUAGUGAUUUACUUGUGUUUUACUUUUGUAGGUGCAAUUCUAUUGAUUGGUGAUAAAUUAAGCUACAAGAUGAUAUUUAAUGAUGAUUGUUCUCUUGGAGAAAUUAUGAGCGUCAGAAGAACUUUGUUGAUAAGGUGUGGGCGCGUGCUGUCAACUACGGACCUGCAGUUUUUAGUUUAACGUGUUUUGUAUUUUUGGUUAUUUUUGUAAUUACGAAUUUAAUAUUUCAGAUAUUAGUAUUUUAUUUUAAAUAGAACUCUAAAAGAGAAGAGAGAGAGAGUAUUUAAGGGAGGAAUCUAUUGUGAAAAAGGGGGAUUUUAGAUUGGAGAAAAAGAAAGAAACCCUAGAUCUAAAUUUUUCUCUUCUCUCUAUGAAGAACUAAACCUAUUUUUCUGGUUGAAGGUUAAUGAAGCUUUGAUUCAUCACUACUGUGAGAUCUUUCUUGUGCUUUAAUUGUUUUAUUACUUUUUGGGUAUUUGUUUAUUCUCUGAAUUAUUUUCAUGAUUAUGUUUGUUAAUGAGGUAAUUGGCCACUAUUUAAUUAUCAACUUAAUCUAUUGUCAAUUAAGGGAUUCAUCGUAUGAAGAUUUUAAUGUUUGUGACAAAUAACAUAGCAGUGAGUUGUGUUAUGAGAAUAAAUAAUCUAAUUUAAAUGAAUCAUCAUAUGUGUUGAUUAGGAUUUGGGUCUCUCUGGUUUUUCAUGUAUAAGAUAUCUAGAAGAUGAUAAUUUCACUCAAAAGAGUUUUAUUUAUUUCAUUAUUGAAAUUGUUUACAGAGGAAGGUUACAGAGAAUACAGAGGUAAUUGAAGGUUAGACAUAUGAUAUCUUUCCUUUCUUACAUGCUUUCAUUUAUAUAUCUCUCUAGAGAUAAGAUUAUCUCUUUUACAUAACACAUGUUCGAUCCUUGUGGUGGAAUCUCGAUUUCCUUUUGAUAAGGUGACCCCUUCUUCAUCAUUGAAGCCAGUAGUUGUCUUCUUUUCAUGUUGCCAGACAACCUUUAUCUUGUUCUGGUGAGCUUUUUCUUUUUUGGAAUCUCUCUUUUUGAAUUAUUGAUACUUUUUGGAUAACACCUUUUAUCUUUUUCAGUAGUCCCCGUCACAUGCCAAUUAUCAUAUCUUCAUCUAUAGACAUGUCUUCCCCACUAGAAUCUCCUUUUUUUUUUAAUCCUUCGUAGUAGUAGCCACAUGAUGACUGAUGCUUUAGCACCUUAUAUAUCUCGUGGUGUGUCAGCAAGGUGGAUUCCACGAGAUUUUCGAAUAUGCCCUUUUUCUUUUUUAAUAUGGUAUGUCUGGCUAAAAUAUUUUCUUUUCUACUCAUAGAAAAGAUUAUAUGCUCUUUUGUGGCUUCAUGGAGCCAUAUUUUCUCCUUGUUUAUCCUCUCAAGAGAUUCAUAGAGGACUUUCAUUUCUAUGGCCCUUUUGUUGGUGAGAGCUUUUGGCUCGAAUAAUUCAGGAUCAUAAUCAUUGUAGACUUGAUGUAAAUCAAUGGUUGGACUAACUUUUCUACUGCUAAUUCCAACUUGAAUCAAGUGCUGUGCUGGAUACCACUUGUUACCAUAGUAUUCAGGGCAAGCAGUGAGGAUCUUGACAAAAAUCACUUCUUUUGUUUUAGACAUGAUUUUGAGAUCAUUAAUAGCCUCUGCAACUUUUGUGGGAAGCUCUUUUAUUUCUCUGCAAUCAUCACUUACAUAAACAAGGUUAAGAAAACCAUAUUCAAACAUGUCUUUUAUUAGUUUUAGAUUAGCUCCUGGCACAACGUUUAUCAUUGGAUAUAACCCUAAAUGAUCUAGUAUAAUAGUCUGGCUAGGACGAAUCCCAUAGGCUAUUUUACCAAUUCUUUUAUAAUCAUAAGCGUAGUCGCUUCCUAUUGGUAUUUUAACCAUAGGGACAGAUUGUCUGCUUUUAUCAUAUUGGGGUCUUAGGCUUACUGAAGAUCCCUGAGAUUCUUUUUUCUUUGUACAUUGAUCUUUAAGAUCAUUGAUUGUGAGAUAUCUCUCUGAAUGUGUGACCAUUGAUCUUUAAAAUACCAAUAGGAAGAGUAGUCGCUUCCUAUUGGUAUUUUAACCAUAGGGACAGACUGUCCGCUUUUAUCAUAUUGGGGUCUUAGGCUUACUGAAGAUCCCUGAGAUUCGUCUUUCUUUGUACAUUGAUCUUUAAGAUCAUUGAUUGUGAGAUAUCUCUCUGGAUGUGUGACCUUUAAGCUCUGCGAAGAACUCGAGGCAUUUUGACCCUCAAUUUGAUCUUUAAAAUGGACAUUUUUUUAGCAUAUUGCUAAUAUAUUGUUAUGAAGUUUGGAGUUCUGGAUGAUCUUGCAAACUUUUGUUUGGGCAAAGUUUGCUCAAUUCUUCAUGGGCAUCAUCUAUCAUGGCAAGCCCAUCAUAAAUCAUACUAUUGCCUUUGAGAAGUUAUUCUUGACCUUCAGAGCACAUUAUUAUGCCCUUAAUUAUUUUGGAAAUGCUCUGCUCCAUUGUAUUCUUGGCAAAGAUUAGAUCCUUUAAUAUAUUCAAUUUCAAAAUCAUAUUCAGCAAAAAACUGCUGCCAUCUAAUUAAUGUUUUCUAUUGAGGAAGAUUAGGCAAUUUAUUGAAUAUAAAUCCUUUGACUUGAGUGUUAUCGGAUCUUACCUUAAAUUUCUUUGGUAACAAAAAGAAAGUAAAUUUAGCUAUUCCUUUUUUAAUAGCUAAUAAUUCAUUUUCAUUACUAUGAUAAUUCUUUUCUAUGGGUUUGAAGGUCCCGCUAGAAUAUCUACAAAUUUUUUCUUGAUAUGUUUUUAAGACUGCUCGCCAGUGAUUAUCUGAAGCAGUAGUUUCAAGAAUUAAAUUAUCACUAGAGGUAGGGAAUCCUAACCUUAAGUAAAAAGCCAAAAAAAUUGACUUAUUUUAUUAAGUCAAUUUUUGAAAAUAUAAAUAAUGCAAAAUAUAAGAAUAUCAUCUACAUGAUCUAUCUUAUUAUUUGAAAAUAUAAGAAUAUCAUCUACAUAAAUAAUGCAAAAUUCAUGAAAUUUUUUUAAGAUGCUAAAUAUCUUUUUAUUUAUUAUAGAAGUAAUUAAUGUAUCUUUAUGAGGUAAAAAGUAUCCAUCGAAUUUGGUAUAUUUAUUUAAUUCUUUGUAGUUAAUGACCAUAUGAGCUUUUCCUCGUUUAAUUUCAGCAUGAUUUCUAACUGAUUAGUAUUAAAAAUUGUUUAAUUAUCAAGCGAUAAUAUGUUAUUUUAUGCUUAUGUUAUAAUUUAUAUUUGUGUUUAUGUAAUAUAUUAUGAAUUAUGAAUUAUGUUUUAAAUAUAUUUAAUUUUGUGUAUUUUUAUGUGUUUAUUAGGAAAAUUAUUAAUUUCACGUACUUUGAGGCUCCAAACAGAUAAACGGAGGUCAAAUUUGGAUUCCGGAGGUCCGAAAACCUUAAGAUCAGUCAAGAUCGGCUUAAAAUUGGGCUUGUGUAAAAAAAGUUGACUUUUCCUGUUGACCGAGCACUGAUUGGAUGAUGAAAUGAGCUUACAAUAGAUAUGAGUGCAUGGGAUAACUGGCAAUCUUGACUAAAUCUCAACCGUUCAUGAUUCAAUGGCCAUGAUUGUGCCACGUGGCAAUGGUUGGUGAAGCAAGUUGGAGGAUCCGAAUCUUUGUAUUCGGGUCGACCCGAUCCACCCAUUAACCCGCCAAAUCUCAACCGUUCUUUGGGCAAAUCGGACGAGUCAAAUGAUGCCAUGUGUGAUGUUGACUUUUGAAGUUUGACCAGCCAUUGGAUCUUGAUCUAAGGGUUGUGAGGAGCACAUGCAUGAAGCCUAUGAUGGACCGCAAAGCACUGGAUUAUGAAUUUAUUUUUCUAUAAAUAGGGCCUCAUUUUUAUGUUUUAAUCAUCUCUCUACAACUCUCUUCUUCUCAAAUUCUCUCCAUCUCCUUGUAAUCUUGAUUUCCAUAUGUGUUUUUAAUAUUUUGUAUAAUUAUUUUCAUUAAUAAAAUUAGUUUUAUUUCCAAUUUUAGUUGUUUUUAUUUCUUUUAAUUAUAAGUAAUUCAAUUUUACUACUUCUUUUUAUUUUAAUUAUGCUUAACUAAAUAAUAUUAGUUAGGGGAAGGUGAAACUCUUAAGAAAUAAAUAUGAUUUAAUCAAAUUCUAUGUUUAAUUUUAUAAAUUAAAUUAUUUUCUAUUUAAUUUUAUACAUGUUUUAUAUUUUGAAAAUUUAAUUUAUUGUAGACAAACAAAUGAAUUUGGCACAAUAAAUUCUUAAGAUCUUAAUAUAAGGCAUGGUGAAAUGGUAUUUUGACUUAUUGUAGACAAAUUAAAUUUUGGCACAAUAAAUACUUAAUCCAUCAUAAAAUUAAAGGGAAAAUAAUAAUAAUUUGUAUAAUUAAUCUUUUGAGUAAUAAAUCUAAAACAAAUUGGCAAAAAGAAUUUAUUAAGUUUUAUUUAUUUCUAAGAGUGGAUCCAUAACCCUAACUAGUUCAAUUCCAUAGUUUCAUUUAAAUUAAGUUGUUUAUAUUCAAGUUUUAAUUUCAAUUUUUAGAUAAAAUAAAAUAAACUAAUUAAAUCUUUUCUCUGUGGAUCGACCUCGGACUCACCGAGUUAUAAUACAACAAGACACUCUUAUACUUGGGAGUUAAAAUUUACUUUUAAGUUGUGUCAAGUUUUUGGCGCCGUUGCCGGGGAAAAGUUUUUUAUUUGGUUUGUUUUUCCGUUUUUUAUUUUUCUCUUAUAUGUAAAACUUCGUUUGCCCCCUUUUCCUUUUCUUAAAUUCUCCUUAGUCCCCAUGUCUUUCAUAUUUCUCGUUUCACCCCAACAAUUUCCUUUUCUAGCCCAAUCUUCUGGUAAUUACGUUCGGACCCCAACAUCUUUCAACUGUUUCACUUUCAUCCCAAAUUACUAAUUCUAAACUUCUAAAAAUUACAUUUUGACCAUAAAAUUAAAAAUAAUUUGCAAUAGAAUCCCUAGACGAAAUUCCUCAACAUAAUCAAGACUUGGACAUAUUUGGACAUACUUUGGACAUAUUUGGACAUAUUUGGACUUAUUUUGGACCAAACUAACUUUAACUACUAACUCUAAUUACUAACUCUUAACUUACUAACUGCUAACUGCUAACUGCUAACUUUUAUUUAAUUUCAGUUAUUUAAUUUUCUGCAUUUAUUUUAUUUCGUAUUUAUUUAUUUGUUUUUGCUUUAUUGGUGGGUUUAACCACCAAACUAACUACUAACUCUUAACUUUUAUUUUCAGUUAUUUAAUUUUCAGUAUUUAUUUAAUUUUGUAUUUUUUAUUUUUUUUAAUUGGUGGGUUCAACCACCAUUUUUUUUUAUUUUGCAUUUAUUUAUUUAUUUAUUUUUUACUUUGUUGGUGGGUUCAACCAUCAAAAUUGUUAUUUAAUUUUCUUUUGUAUACUUAUAUUAUUUAUUUAUUUAUUUUUUUAUUUUAUUUUGUUAUCAAUUUGUGUAAAUAUUAUCUUUAUAACAUAACCAUUGCAUGAGACGUUGGUCUCGAUCUUCAAGUGGCAGGUUAAUUCGUAGAUCUCAAUCUCCACCACCAAUCAUGGAUGAGAAUGAAGGCGAAAACGUUUUGGGCGAACUUAAUCCUCAAAUUGAUCAGGGAGACAACCAAUCUCAACAUGGGCAUGAUCAGAAUCAACCAAGGACUCUGAGAGACUACAUGAAUCCAACCAGAACCGGAGCACCGUCGUGUAUAGUAUUUCCUCCAGAAGCAUCUCGAUUCAACUUUAAACCAGGUAUUAUCCAACUUUUACCAACAUUUCAUGGUUUAGAAUCUGAGAAUCCGUACUUGCAUCUAAGAGAUUUUGAGGAAGUUUGUAAUACAUACACGGACCAAAAUUGUAGCAUGAACAUAAUUAGAUUAAAGCUUUUUCCUUUUUCAUUAAAAGAUAAAGCUAAAACUUGGCUACAAAACCUUAGAUCUGGAUCAGUAAGAACUUGGAAUAACAUGCAAGAACAGUUUUUUGAAAAAAUUCUUUCCACCUCAUAGAACAAAUUCUUUUAAAAGGCAAAUCACUUCUUUCACUCAAAAAAAUGGAGAAACAUUAUACCAAUGUUGGGAUAGGUUUACAGAGUUGCUUAACAUAUGCCCACAUCAUGGUUUUGAAACUUGGCGAUUGGUCACUUAUUUCUACGAGGGCUUAAUACCCCAAAGUAGACAGGUUGUUGAAAUGAUGUGUAAUGGUGAAUUUAGGGAUAAAAAUCCUGAAGAUGCACUAGAUUACCUUGACCAAUUAGCUGAAAAUGCACAACAUUGGGAUACUGUUGGAACUUUUGAAUUGACAAAUAAGCAACAAUCAUCUCCAUCUAGUGGAGGAAUCCAUAACCUUAGGGAAGAUCAUGAUUUACAAGCAAAAUUUGCAUCCCUAGUUAGGAAAGUUGAAGCUUUGGAGCAUAAAAAGAGUGAUCAAGUAAAAUCUGUUCAAGAAAUUGCAUGUAACAUAUGUAAUUCGAAUGAUCAUUUCACUCAAGAGUGUCCCACUUUGCCUGCACUUAAAGAAUGUCUAAAUGAUCAAGCUAAUGUCAUUAACACUUUCAAUAAACCAAACCCAUAUUCACAGACUUAUAAUCCUGGUUGGAGAAAUCAUCCGAAUUUCAGUUGGAGGAAUAAUAAUAAUGCACAAUCUUCACAAGCACCACCUCCACAAAAUUUUCAAAAUCCUCAGCCUUAUGCACCAUAUGUUCCACCACCCUGGAAAAAUCUGGAAGACACAAUGCAUUCAUUCAUCAGAAAGCAAGAUGUUAUUAACAAUCAAAAUGCACAAAAUUUUUCUGAUUUGAAAGAUACUCUUGCUAAAAUUGCUUCUGCACUCACCAUUCAAGAAAAAGGAAAAUUUCCAGCCCAACCACAACCAAAUCCUAAAAUUCAACAAAAUCCACCCACAGACCAAGUCAAGUCAGUUAUAACUCUUCGUAGUGGUAAGGUUGUUGAUAGACCUAUGCCUGAACCUUAUGAAAAUGAUGAAAAUUCAAAGGGUAAGGAAGGACUAAAUGAACUUACACCUAGUGAAGAAAUAACUAGUGUUCCACCUGAACCACCAUUUCCGCAUGCAUUGAAUAAACCAAAGAAAUCAAACCACUCUUCUGAAAUUUAUGAAAUCUUUAAGCAAGUGAAAGUUAACAUUCCUCUAUUAGAUGCAAUCAAGCAGGUUCCUUUAUAUGCCAAAUUUUUAAAGGACUUGUGCACUGUUAAGAGGAAAUUGAAGGUAAGAAAGAGUGCUUUCAUGGCCGAACAGGUAAGUACAAUUCUGUCUACUAAUAAUAAGUUGAAAUAUAAAGAUCCUGGUUGUCCUACCAUUUCUUGUAUUAUUGGUAACCACAGAAUUGAGCAUGCUUUACUAGAUCUUGGUGCUAGUGUUAAUUUGCUUCCAUAUUCAGUUUAUCUUCAACUUAAUCUUGGUGAGUUAAAAUCAACUUCAACUACACUUUUGCUUGUCGAUAGAUCAGUUAAAGUACCAAAAGGAAUAGUGGAAGAUGUUUUAGUACAAGUUGAUAAAUUUAUUUAUCCUGUGGAUUUUAUUGUCUUGGAAACUGAACCUGUUGUGAAUAAUUACAAACCAAUUCCUGUAAUUUUAGGUCGACCAUUUUUAGCAACUGCUAAUGCUUUGAUUAAUUGUAGGAAUGGUUUAAUGAAUUUAUCCUUUGGGAAUAUGACUUUGGAAUUGAAUGUUUUCAACAUGUGCAGGCAACCUAAUGAAGAAAAUGAGAAUGAAGAUGAUACUGAUGAACAAAAGGAAUUGUUUGAAUCUUGUAUCGAGGAAAAUAUUCAAAAAGGGGAUUUUUCUGAACUUUCAAAUGUUUGUUUAGUUAAUUCAAUUGAGUCAAAUAAGCAACUUGAACUUGAUAUUUCUAAUAUAAAUUCGUUGCUUGAUUCUGUGCAGACUUCACAAAAUUAUGAUGACGAGCCAAAAUUUGAGGAGCUUGGAAGUAUUGAAAAGACAGAACAACAAGAAGCACCUAAAAUGGAAUUGAAACCUUUGCCUGAAGGAUUGAAAUAUGCUUUUCUUGGAGAAGAACAAACUUAUCCUGUUGUGAUUUCUUCUACUUUAACAAGCGACCAAGAAGGUAAGUUACUUACUGUUCUUAAAAAGCAUAAAAAUGCAAUAGGAUGGACUUUAAAUGACAUUAAAGGCAUUAAUCCCUUAAUCUGCACACAUAGAAUUAAUUUGGAAGAAAAUGCUAAAAUAUGUCAACAACCUCAAAGAAGAUUAAACCCACACAUGAAAGAGGUAGUCAAAACAGAAGUCCUUAAAUUACUUGAUGUGGGAAUUAUCUACCCUGUUUCUGAUAGUAAGUGGGUAAGUCCUACACAAGUAGUGCCUAAAAAAUCUGAAAUCACUGUUGUUAAAAAUGAAAAAGGUGAAUUAAUUCCAACACGAAUUACAUCUAGUUGACGCAUGUGCAUUGAUUAUAGAAAAUUAAAUGAAGCCACUAGAAAAGAUCAUUUUCCAUUACCAUUCCUUGACCAAAUCUUAGAAAGAGUAGCAGGACAUCCCUACUACUGUUUUUUAGAUGGAUAUUCAGGUUAUUAUCAAAUUCCUAUAGCACUUGAGGACCAAGAAAAGACCACAUUCACAUGUCCUUUUGGAACAUUUGCAUUUAAAAGAAUGCCAUUCGGGCUUUGUAAUGCUCCUGCAACAUUUCAAAGAUGUAUGUUAAGCAUUUUUUGUGAUAUGGUUGAACAUUGUUUAGAGGUCUUUAUGGAUGAUUUGACUGUGUUUGGGAAUUCUUUUGAUGAUUGCCUUGAUAAUUUGGAGAAAGUUUUAAAAAGAUGUGUUGAAAAAGAACUCGUGUUGAAUUGGGAAAAAUGUCACUACAUGGUUACUUCUGGAAUUGUUUUGGGUCAUGUUGUUUCUAUUAAAGGAAUUGAAGUUGACAAAGCAAAAAUCGAAGUCAUAUCUAAAUUGCCACAACCAAAAACAGUUAGAGAUGUGCGAUCCUUUUUAGGACAUGCAGGAUUUUAUAGGAGGUUUAUAAAAAACUUUAGUGCCAUAUCUAAACCACUUUGUAACCUCUUAUUAAAAGAUGCACCGUUUGAAUGGAAUGAUGAUUGCCAAAAAUCUUUUGAAAAAAUAAUUUGUCUUUUAACAUCUGCACCUAUUAUGCAAUCUCCUGAUUGGUCUUUGCCAUUUGAAUUAAUGUGUGAUGCAAGUGAUUUUGCUGUUGGUGCUGUUUUAGGACAAAGAAGGGAUGGUAAGCCUUUUGUGAUUUAUUAUGCGAGUAAGACUUUAGAUAGUGCUCAAAUGAAUUAUUCUACAACUGAAAAAGAAUUACUUGCUGUGGUAUUUGCAUUAAACAAAUUCCGUUCAUAUUUGCUUGGCUCCAAAUCUGUUGUGUUUACUGACCACGCUGCUGUGAGAUAUUUGAUGAGUAAACAGGAUGCCAAACCGAGGAUAAUUCGUUGGAUUUUGUUACUACAAGAAUUUGACCUUACCAUCAAAGAUAAAAAGGGUGCUGAAAAUGUUGUUGCGGAUCAUCUAUCAAGACUCACAUCCGAAUUCUGCAAUGAUAUAACACCCAUAAAUGAUUCUUUCCCUGAUGAAUUUUUAUUUUCUGUUACUUCAAUGCCAUGGUAUGCUAACAUUGUUAAUUUCCUUGUUACAGGUAAAAUGCCUUUGCAAUGGAAUGCUCAAGAGAAGAAGAAAUUUUUUGUUGAAGUAAAGAAAUUUUAUUGGGAUGACCCUUAUUUGUUCAAAUAUUGCCCAGAUCAAAUUUUUCGGCGAUGUAUUCCUCAUAAUGAGGUAAGUAGUGUCAUUAAUUUUUGUCAUUCUGAAGCAUGUGGUGGUCAUUUUUCUUCAAGAAAAACUAUUGCUAAAAUUUUACAGUGUGGAUUUUAUUGGCCUACCAUGUUUAAAGACACAUAUGAAUUCUGCAAAAGUUGUGAAAAAUGUCAAAAAUUGGGAUCAAUUACAAAAAGAAACAUGAUGCCCUUAAAUCCCAUACUUGAAAUUGAAAUAUUUGACUGUUGGGGAAUUGAUUUCAUGGGUCCAUUUCCAUCAUCUUUUGGAUUUGUGUAUAUAUUAGUUGCAGUUGAUUAUGUCUCAAAAUGGAUUGAAGCAAUUUCUUGUCGAAAUAAUGACAGUAAAACUGUGAUUAAAUUUUUAAGAGAAAACAUUUUAAGUCGAUUUGGAAUCCCUCGAGCCAUUAUCAGUGAUGGAGGUAAGCAUUUUUGUAAUAAGUCAUUUGAGUCUUUAAUGAAGAAAUAUGGAAUUACACAUAAAAUUGCUACCCCUUAUCAUCCUCAAACAAAUGGUCAAGUUGAAUUAGCAAAUAGGGAGAUAAAACAAAUUUUGGAAAAAACGGUUAACCCAAACCGAAAAGAUUGGUCUCUUAGACUUAAUGAUGCACUUUGGGCUUACCGCACUGCAUUUAAAACAUCAUUAGGAAUGUCACCCUAUCGGUUAAUUUAUGGUAAACCUUGUCAUUUACCUGUUGAACUUGAACAUAAAUCACUUUGGGCUAUUAAAGCUUUUAAUUCAAAUUUGGAUGAUGCUGGUAAUGUGCGAAAAUUGCAAUUGAAUGAACUUGAGGAAUUAAGGAAUGAUGCAUAUGAAAAUUCAAGAAUUAUUAAGGCAAGAACAAAAGAAGAUUAAACCCACACAUGAAAGAGGUAGUCAAAACAGAAGUCCUUAAAUUACUUGAUGUGGGAAUUAUCUACCCUAUUUCUGAUAGUAAGUGGGUAAGUCCUACACAAGUAGUGCCUAAAAAAUCUGAAAUCACUGUUGUUAAAAAUGAAAAAGGUGAAUUAAUUCCAACACGAAUUACAUCUAGUUGACGCAUGUGCAUUGAUUAUAGAAAAUUAAAUGAAGCCACUAGAAAAGAUCAUUUUCCAUUACCAUUCCUUGACCAAAUCUUAGAAAGAGUAGCAGGACAUCCCUACUACUGUUUUUUAGAUGGAUAUUCAGGUUAUUAUCAAAUUCCUAUAGCACUUGAGGACCAAGAAAAGACCACAUUCACAUGUCCUUUUGGAACAUUUGCAUUUAAAAGAAUGCCAUUCGGGCUUUGUAAUGCUCCUGCAACAUUUCAAAGAUGUAUGUUAAGCAUUUUUUGUGAUAUGGUUGAACAUUGUUUAGAGGUCUUUAUGGAUGAUUUGACUGUGUUUGGGAAUUCUUUUGAUGAUUGCCUUGAUAAUUUGGAGAAAGUUUUAAAAAGAUGUGUUGAAAAAGAACUCGUGUUGAAUUGGGAAAAAUGUCACUACAUGGUUACUUCUGGAAUUGUUUUGGGUCAUGUUGUUUCUAUUAAAGGAAUUGAAGUUGACAAAGCAAAAAUCGAAGUCAUAUCUAAAUUGCCACAACCAAAAACGGUUAGAGAUGUGCGAUCCUUUUUAGGACAUGCAGGAUUUUAUAGGAGGUUUAUAAAAAACUUUAGUGCCAUAUCUAAACCACUUUGUAACCUCUUAUUAAAAGAUGCACCGUUUGAAUGGAAUGAUGAUUGCCAAAAAUCUUUUGAAAAAAUAAUUUGUCUUUUAACAUCUGCACCUAUUAUGCAAUCUCCUGAUUGGUCUUUGCCAUUUGAAUUAAUGUGUGAUGCAAGUGAUUUUGCUGUUGGUGCUGUUUUAGGACAAAGAAGGGAUGGUAAGCCUUUUGUGAUUUAUUAUGCGAGUAAGACUUUAGAUAGUGCUCAAAUGAAUUAUUCUACAACUGAAAAAGAAUUACUUGCUGUGGUAUUUGCAUUAAACAAAUUCCGUUCAUAUUUGCUUGGCUCCAAAUCUGUUGUGUUUACUGACCACGCUGCUGUGAGAUAUUUGAUGAGUAAACAGGAUGCCAAACCGAGGAUAAUUCGUUGGAUUUUGUUACUACAAGAAUUUGACCUUACCAUCAAAGAUAAAAAGGGUGCUGAAAAUGUUGUUGCGGAUCAUCUAUCAAGACUCACAUCCGAAUUCUGCAAUGAUAUAACACCCAUAAAUGAUUCUUUCCCUGAUGAAUUUUUAUUUUCUGUUACUUCAAUGCCAUGGUAUGCUAACAUUGUUAAUUUCCUUGUUACAGGUAAAAUGCCUUUGCAAUGGAAUGCUCAAGAGAAGAAGAAAUUUUUUGUUGAAGUAAAGAAAUUUUAUUGGGAUGACCCUUAUUUGUUCAAAUAUUGCCCAGAUCAAAUUUUUCGGCGAUGUAUUCCUCAUAAUGAGGUAAGUAGUGUCAUUAAUUUUUGUCAUUCUGAAGCAUGUGGUGGUCAUUUUUCUUCAAGAAAAACUAUUGCUAAAAUUUUACAGUGUGGAUUUUAUUGGCCUACCAUGUUUAAAGACACAUAUGAAUUCUGCAAAAGUUGUGAAAAAUGUCAAAAAUUGGGAUCAAUUACAAAAAGAAACAUGAUGCCCUUAAAUCCCAUACUUGAAAUUGAAAUAUUUGACUGUUGGGGAAUUGAUUUCAUGGGUCCAUUUCCAUCAUCUUUUGGAUUUGUGUAUAUAUUAGUUGCAGUUGAUUAUGUCUCAAAAUGGAUUGAAGCAAUUUCUUGUCGAAAUAAUGACAGUAAAACUGUGAUUAAAUUUUUAAGAGAAAACAUUUUAAGUCGAUUUGGAAUCCCUCGAGCCAUUAUCAGUGAUGGAGGUAAGCAUUUUUGUAAUAAGUCAUUUGAGUCUUUAAUGAAGAAAUAUGGAAUUACACAUAAAAUUGCUACCCCUUAUCAUCCUCAAACAAAUGGUCAAGUUGAAUUAGCAAAUAGGGAGAUAAAACAAAUUUUGGAAAAAACGGUUAACCCAAACCGAAAAGAUUGGUCUCUUAGACUUAAUGAUGCACUUUGGGCUUACCGCACUGCAUUUAAAACAUCAUUAGGAAUGUCACCCUAUCGGUUAAUUUAUGGUAAACCUUGUCAUUUACCUGUUGAACUUGAACAUAAAUCACUUUGGGCUAUUAAAGCUUUUAAUUCAAAUUUGGAUGAUGCUGGUAAUGUGCGAAAAUUGCAAUUGAAUGAACUUGAGGAAUUAAGGAAUGAUGCAUAUGAAAAUUCAAGAAUUAUUAAGGCAAGAACAAAAGCAUUUCAUGAUAAAAGAAUUUUUCGAAAAACAUUUGAGAUUGGUCAAAAAGUGUUGCUUUAUAAUUCUCGUCUUCAUUUAUUUCCAGGAAAGUUAAAGUCAAAAUAGAGUGGCCCAUUUGUUGUAAAAAAUGUAUAUUCAUAUGGGGCCAUAGAAAUUGAGAAUCCAAAUAACGGUGUCACAUUUAAAGUUAAUGGUCAAAGAUUAAAACCAUAUCUGGAACAUCACCCACGUGACGAGGACACCGAAAUUAAUUUGGAUGACCCACCAGUUCUUGAUUAAGUCUUUAAUGAUUUUUUUUUUUUUUACUAUUAUUUUACCGUUUCAUUGUUUGAUUUUUUUUCUUUAGAUUGAUGCACUGUACAUAGUUUUUUUUUAACAUUGUUUUUCUUGUGUAAGCGUGUUUGUUUGACAGUUGUACAUUCUCUCAUCAAUUUUCAUUUUACAUCAUGAGCACCUCAAUGAGAAAAUACCUAUUCGCACAUCUUAAAAGAUUUCGGCGUAUAAAAUUUCACUUAAGAGGCCUAAUACAAAGCUGUAAAUCACAUCCACUUUGGGAUCUGCAACCACCAGAAUUCGUGUCCUAUGUUGAGGAUCUAGAAGGACAACUCAGAACAGUAGAGAGUGGCAUAUAUGAAUUUCAAAUAGAGCUUGAGGUUAACUCAAUGAGAGGACGAAUGUAAGUUCAUUUUCCUUUUAUAUUGUGUGCUUUUUUUUUGCUCGCUUUCACGCUUGAUUUGAUUUUGCAGAUUUGAUUUUGGUGUGUUUUGAUUUAUUUUCCCGUAUAAAUGGCGGAUAACGGUACUCCGUGACUUCUUAAGUCGGUAUCUUCAGUUUCCCACAAUAACUGAAACCCCAAAAUCAAACAUGGAAGAAAUACAACAUAAACUCCAUAAGCAUUUUCCCUCUCUCCCUCAGAAUGCCCUCAGGAAAAUUUACAAAGCUCGUUGUGAACGACUGCGUUUGUUAAUGAUCAAUGGCAUUCUUUCUGACAUUCGUUGGUUAAUUGAAGCAAAGGUCUGAUUAGCAGGUGAGUUUUCUAGUCAAUUUGUUUCUUACAUGCCUGGUUUUGGUAAAAGUACGUUUGCUAAGAAAAGGAGAGCUAAACGACUUGGCUCAAAAUGUCAUAACUGUGUAAGACUUGGUUGCAAACGACCGGAUUGUAAAUCUUUAGGAAUGGUUUCUGAUACUCGUGAAGAUAAAAUUAAAUUCGUUAAAGAUGGCAUGAGUAAAGAAUCGUUGGAUGAUAUCUUACGAUCUCUUGAGACGCAUCGAAGCGGAAUUGUGCAAUGUGAGAUUUACAAUUUGUGGAUACUAUUCCAAAAACAAAGUGCACAGUUAAGUCUUGGGAAUCUGACUCAAAAAGACCCUGUUUGCCAGUUUAUAAGAAAACUGGAUGGGAAGCCGAUCCUCGACCCAUAGAGGGCGUUCAAGCCGUUACUGGACGUAAAACCAGAGGAAGAUGUGAGCCACAAUCACAACUACUAGUAAAUAUCCUUUCACUUCACUGUUAUUUUACUUUACUGUUAUUUUAUCAUUUGAAUUAUUGCAUUUAGCGAUGUGAUUUUGUAUUUAUUUGGUUUCUUUUACUGUUUGCUUUUUCUAAUCAUUACUUUUUUUUUUACUAUUUGUUUUUGAAUUAUUGAGCCACGAGCUUUCCUCGUCAUUUGACAAAUAUGCCAACCCAUUUACAGCUGUUUCUCUUUAUUUAUGUCACCAAGAUCUUUAAAUAUGAGCUCGUUUUUCAAACACUCACAACUUGUUUUUGAAAAAUUAGUCCAAUGGCAGCAUCUUCAAGUAAACAAUUCAAAAAUAUUUGUGUGCUUUCUGGGUUUCACUAUGGAAAGUACAAAGAGUUCGUUCAGGUAGCUGUAGAUCUUGGUCGUGUCAUAGCAGAGAGGAAACUGCAUCUUGUAUAUGGAGGAGGUGAACGAGGGUUAUCAAGACUUGUCUCAGAAGCUGUUUUUACCAGAGGAAGCCAAGUACUCGGCAUUAUCCCAAAACCCAUGAAACCGCUAGUGUGCAUGUCUGGCCCACCAAUUGGAGAAGAAUUAGUGGUAUCAAGUAUGCAAGAGAGAAUAUCUGAAAUGAUGAAUCAUGCUGAUGCUUUUAUUUUCUUGCCAGGAGAUCUUGCAACUUUUGAGGCACUAAUUACAUUUGCAUCUUGGGCCCACUUGAACAUUCAUCAAAAGCCCAUCGGUUUGUUAAAUGUUAAUAAUUUUUAUGACGGCUUGCUAACUUUUAUUAAUCAUGCAAUAAAGAAUCAUUUUGUUCCACAUUCUGUAAAAAAACUCUUUAUCUCUGCUUCUACUGCUAAUGAGUUACUUGAUCUUUUACAAGCUUAUACACCAGAGCCAGAUCCACAGACUGUUGCACUGAAUUGGUCGACUAAUGAUGGUAACGGUAACAGUAGCAGUAAUAAGAAGUGCGAUUUAGAUUUAACUCUCCGUUUGUAAAUAUUUGCUGUUGUAGUGUUCAUGUGAUGUCUUCUACACUCUUUCUAUUUCCUUUUAAAACAUUGAGGACAAUGUCUUUUUCAGGUUGGGGGGAGGGAAUAGUUGAUAAUUGUGGAAUGUCUUAGUCCUGGUUAUGUGUUUACAAAAAAAAAAAAAAAAAAAACAAUAACAAAAUUUUUUUUUUCUGUAAAGACUAACUUAGGACAAAUUUGAGUCGAAGAUGGCAGGAUAUAGAGAAUGUAGUCUCUCUAGAAACGCAUCUUCUUAAUCUUAAGGGUGUUGUUAAAAAAAAAAAAAAAUUGACUUUUUCUUCAUCUUUGUUAUCUACUUUUAAGCUUCUGCAUCAAGUUAAGGUGAGAUCUCCUAUUCUUCUUCUUUUAUUAUUCUCUUUUAUUUUUAUUUAUUAUUAUUAUUAUUUUUUUGCAUAUCUGUAAAAUUAUAAAAUGUUAGGAUAAUGUUUAGAUUAGGUUGUGGGGUGGGGAUAAUUGACGUAUGUUUUAAAUAUGUAUGUUGUUUUUUUCUCUUUUCUCUUUUCUUUUCUUUUCUUUGCCAAAAAAAAAAAAAAAUUGUUUUUUGUCUAGGAUGGCCGUGUAAAGAGUCACGACUUUUGAGACGCAUCCUAAUAGUCUUGUUGUAUUAUAUUUUGAUUUUGAGAUUCAUGGUAAGUUGUUUUUGUUCCCUUUUCUUUGAAUUACUCAAAUUUGUGAACUCUCCACUUGGUUAUUAAGUUAUUUAAUUGUUUACUCAUUUAACAGGUAUUAUUGAAUCAUUCUUCACACACACAUUAUGACACAUACUAGUGGGUUGUAAGUUAAAAUUUUACAGCAUUUAGUUCUUUUGAUUUAUUAGGAAAAGUAUCUAAGGUAGUAGAAAGUGUAUAGUUCCAAAAAAAAAAAAAAAAGUAGAAAAAAAAUUGUUUUUAAUUUUUCUAUAUCUAGAACCCGAGUAAUUAAGUCCGUAGGGGUGUUUCAACACCUAGUGCCCUAAGGUCAACUGGUCUGGGAGUCACUGGCCUAAAGCUCACUACAUGGGUAAUAGAUAUAUUGUUUGUUUAUUAGAAACCCGAGUAAUUAAGUCCGUAGGGGUGCUUUAACACCUAGUGCCCUAAGGGCAACUGGUCUGGGAGUCACUGACCCAAAGCUCGCUACACGGGUUAGAAAUGUAAUAUAUAAAAAAAAAAUGUGUGAAUAAUCUAUUGCCUAAAGAUAUAAUUUCUAAUGAAUUUUAGAACGAAAAUGUUGUUUUUCUUUUAAUGAAGCCCCAUAAGUAUUGUGUUAAUUACUUGAGCACAAAAGAAGGUUUGAUGAUAUUCUGGAUAAUGAGUGAACAUCAAUGUGGUAAAGGAAUUUGGGAGAGUUCAUUUAUUUGGUAAUUUAGAGGAUAGAUGAACAACUAUUAACUUGCAUGUGAAUUUUAUAAAUCUUAAUAUAACGCUUUAAUUGCUAGAGGGCUAGCAAUAAGCUGGUUGGGGGGUGUGAUUAGUAUUAAAAAUUGUUUAAUUAUCAAGCGAUAAUAUGUUAUUUUAUGCUUAUGUUAUAAUUUAUAUUUGUGUUUAUGUAAUAUAUUAUGAAUUAUUAAUUAUGUUUUAAAUAUAUUUAAUUUUGUGUAUUUUUAUGUGUUUAUUAGGAAAAUUAUUAAUUUCACGUACUUCGAGGCUCCAAACAGAUAAACGGAGGUCAAAUUUGGAUUCCGGAGGUCCGAAAACCUUAAGAUCAGUCAAGAUCGGCUUAAAAUUGGGCUUGUGUAAAAAAAGUUGACUUUUCCUGUUGACCGAGCACUGAUUGGAUGAUGAAAUGAGCUUACAAUAGAUAUGAGUGCAUGGGAUAACUGGCAAUCUUGACUAAAUCUCAACCGUUCAUGAUUCAAUGGCCAUGAUUGUGCCACGUGGCAAUGGUUGGUGAAGCAAGUUGGAGGAUCCGAAUCUUUGUAUUCGGGUCGACCCGAUCCACCCAUUAACCCGCCAAAUCUCAACCGUUCUUUGGGCAAAUCGGACGAGUCAAAUGAUGCCAUGUGUGAUGUUGACUUUUGAAGUUUGACCAGCCAUUGGAUCUUGAUCUAAGGGUUGUGAGGAGCACAUGCAUGAAGCCUAUGAUGGACCGCAAAGCACUGGAUUAUGAAUUUAUUUUUCUAUAAAUAGGGCCUCAUUUUUAUGUUUUAAUCAUCUCUCUACAACUCUCUUCUUCUCAAAUUCUCUCCAUCUCCUUGUAAUCUUGAUUUCCAGGUGUGUUUUUAAUAUUUUGUAUAAUUAUUUUCAUUAAUAAAAUUAGUUUUAUUUCCAAUUUUAGUUGUUUUUAUUUCUUUUAAUUAUAAGUAAUUCAAUUUUACUACUUCUUUUUAUUUUAAUUAUGCUUAACUAAAUAAUAUUAGUUAGGGGAAGGUGAAACUCUUAAGAAAUAAAUAUGAUUUAAUCAAAUUCUAUGUUUAAUUUUAUAAAUUAAUUUAUUUUCUAUUUAAUUUUAUACAUGUUUUAUAUUUUGAAAAUUUGAUUUAUUGUAGACAAACAAAUGAAUUUGGCACAAUAAAUUCUUAAGAUCUUAAUAUAAGGCAUGGUGAAAUGGUAUUUUGACUUAUUGUAGACAAAUUAAAUUUUGGCACAAUAAAUACUUAAUCCAUCAUAAAAUUAAAGGGAAAAUAAUAAUAAUUUGUAUAAUUAAUCUUUUGAGUAAUAAAUCUAAAACAAAUUGGCAAAAAGAAUUUAUUAAGUUUUAUUUAUUUCUAAGAGUGGAUCCAUAACCCUAACUAGUUCAAUUCCAUAGUUUCAUUUAAAUUAAGUUGUUUAUAUUCAAGUUUUAAUUUCAAUUUUUAGAUAAAAUAAAAUAAACUAAUUAAAUCUUUUCUCUGUGGAUCGACCUCGGACUCACCGAGUUAUAAUACAACAAGACACUCUUAUACUUGGGAGUUAAAAUUUACUUUUAAGUUGUGUCACUAACUAUAAAGGCUGGGUUACUUUGAGGACUUUUAGAUUCUCCAAAAUUUUUAUCAAGUUUUUCUAUUUUUUUUUUCAUAAUCUGAUAUAAUUUGAUUGAUUUUUAUAUUGUAUUCACCACGCUGGCUGCUUCGAAAAUGUAAUUUUCGAGUUGUUUACCUAAUAAGAUUAUAAAUUCUUGGUGUGGUGAUGGAAUGAUUACAUGGUGUUGUAAGAGUAAUUCUUUCGUUAGUCAUUAUAUAAAUGAACUGACAAAGGAAAUUGACUUCUAAAAGUAUAUAUGCUCCUAUAUGAUUAUAAGACCAUAAUAUAUGGAUACUUAAAAUGUAAUCUUCGAUUUGGAUUAAAGUUUUUAUCCUACAUGUUCCUAAAAUGAUUUGUUCACCAUUUAUUCCUUGUCCUGUUAAGGGUUUAUAAUCUUUCGAAUAUGAUUUUGGAUAAAUCCUUAAAUUAGGUAAGCUAACUCCUGAACCAGUGUCUAUUAAAGCAUGAAACCAUUCUGGCUUAUGCUUAUAAUAUGGUUUAAUCACUUUUAUAUAAACUAUAAAAAGAUUAGACAUAUCUUGAUAUGGUUUGCUUAAUUCCUUCAACUGUUAAGCUUAUUUUUCUAUCUCCUAUAGAAUAAGGAGUAAAAUUCUCAAGAAAGUUCAUCCCUAAUAAUAAAGGACUUAUUUAUGUUUCAUAAUCUGGUUCUAUGAAAAAAGAAAAGAUGAAUUCUAUCCCUUUUAUUCUUAAUAGUAUUUCACUAUAUUGACUUAAUGUCUUUCUUUCUCCAUUAAAUCCUACAUAAGUAUGAGGCUCAAUUAAAAUUUUUCUUUCUAAAUAUUUAAUAAUUUUAGAAUCUACAUAAGAUUUUGCAGCUCCUGUAUCAAGGAUAGCAAAAGUCUCGUGCCAUGAUUUUCCAUUAUUAUAUUCAAUCUUAAUUUUUAGAUUUUGAUUAUCCAGUAUUGCUAAAUUUACUGGACUAUUUGUCCUUUCUCGAAAAUGAGCUCUUAUCAUGACUUGAAUUCCUCCGAUAUGAACAUAUCCAAUUUUAAGUCUAUCACUAGAUUUUAUCUCAUUUAUCUUAUCUUUUAUAUCAGUUUUUAAUAAUAAUGGUAUAUUUGUAUUUCCUCUAGCAUACCUAAUUUCAAUAGGUUCUUCUCUUACAGUAGCACUAAGAUACAUUAUAUUUUUUCUUUUAAUCAUGUUAGCAAUGCCUUGUGCUAACUUAUUAACCGAAGUCAUAGAUGAUUCCAAUCCUUUUUUAUUAUUCUUGAGAUAUUGCUUUUUAUCAAAGAUUAAUUCUCUAUUAAAAGAACCUUGUUCUUCUAACUCUUCAUCUUGAUAUAAAUCUUUAUUUUCUAAUUCUUCUAUACUCAUUCUGAAUCAGAUUCUAAAUCAGAACUUCUCAAAGUUUCAUUAGAAAGAUAAUAUAUGCUAUCAUUUUCACUAAUAUCUUUGCUAUCGGUGAUUAAUUCUAAAUCAUUGAAAUCUUCAAAUAUUUUUAUAUUUGCUUUCUUCGUUUUAGGACAUUCAUUUGCAUAAUGUUCUUCUUCAUUACAUAACUAGCACUUGCAUUUUUUAGGUGCAUUGGUUUUGGAUCUUCUUUUAAAUUUAUUUUUCUUGUAGAAUUUCUUUUUAUAUUUAUUUUUCUUGUAAUAUUUCCUGUUGGCUUUAAAGAAUUUCUUCUUUUUGAAUUUUUUUUCUUGUGUUUAUAGAUUUUAUCUGAACAUCCAAAUCUUGGCGGAUCUUCUAAUUUAGAACAACAUAAUUCUCGAUUUUGCCUUUUCAUAAGUCUUCUAUCUCUUAUUUCAGAACACUAUUCAUUUAUUCUAUUUUGAGCAAAUCUAAUCCUAUUUCGUAAUGUAUAAGUUUCUGUAGUAUCUUUGUAUUCUUUGUUAUAUUCCAACAUAAUCCUUCUACCCCAUGGGUCUGGUAUCUUUACAAAAUAUAGAUCAUGGUAAUAGCAUAUGUUAUCCUCAUCUUUAUCAAAUUCACAUUUAUAAUAUAAUUCUUCGAAGCUACAUGUAUAUUCUUCUAAAUAACAUAUAUUACAUAUUUCAAGCCUUGUUAGCUUCAUUAAAUUUUCUAUCUGUUUUCUUUUUAUUUCUUGUUGAAAAUCAGUUUCCCAAUCUUCUCCCAAGAAUUUUUUUCUUAUUUCAUUUUCGAAUCUAUUUAAAACCUGAUCAACACUUUCGUUUCGAUUAUUAUUUUCUCCAUACAAUAUUCUAUUUUUAUGAUUAUCAUUUAAUCCCAUAAACCAAUGAGAAACAAUUCCUAUAAACGAAAUUUUAAGGAAUUCUAUACUAUUAUCCCUAUCAAUUUUGUGAAAUGCAAAAGCCAUUUUCAUAGAUUUAACCCAAGCGGUAAUCGUUUUAUCUCUAUCUUUGAUACAGUCUAAACCUAACCAUACACCAUCAUGGUUGAUUGGUCUUUCUCUAUAUUCUCCUGGAGUUUUAUGAUCUUUUUUAGGUUUGUUAAUCCUAAAAUAUUGACCUUGUGCUCUUUCCUGAGUUGGUAUUUCUUCCCUAACAUAGGAAGCUCUAUUACUAGUUUCUCCUUGUUAAAAACCGUUUAACUUUGGUUCAUUCAUUUUUAGAUGUUCUAUUCUAUUUUCAAUAUCCUGCAAAUUAAUGACUAUAUCAUCUUCUUCUUCGGAUUCAGAUUCUUUAUCAGAUAUCUCUUGAUUAGGUAAUUCUAUGUUUUCACUUAGCAUUCUUAGACUUAUUAAUUUUUUGUCUUUGUUUAUUUUGUUAAAUAUCGGUUUAGAUGUUGUUAUCAUUUCUUUAUCUUUAAGUUCAUUAUAGUAAAUUAUGGUAUCUUGUAAAAUUUUAUUUUGUUUAUUGAUCUUCUGUACUUCAAUCCUUUUGUAAUUUUCCAUUUAUGCUUAUAGCGAAUUUAUUACCAAUUUUUUCAUCGAUUUUUUCAAUUUUUUGUAGUUGAUUUCAAUCUUGUUGAAUUUAUUUUCAAUUGAACUUUUGUUCACAAUAUUAAAGAUUUCUUGUUUUAAUCUAUCUUGAUCUUCAAUAUUAAAGUCUUUUAUUAAUAGCUUAACAAAAUCAAAUUCUUCACUCAUUCGCUAUCCUAUCAUUUUGACUUGUCUUAUAUUUUCGGCAUCAAAGCUUUUAAUCUCAAGUAUCUUAUUUACACUUUCUAUAUCAUCUAUGGUUAAAUUAGGGUUUCCUAAUUUAUUUAAUAAAUAUAAUGAGAUCCAAUUUAAUUGAUUAUUUCCCCACAUAUCAGAAUCAUUUACUAAAUCAAAUGGUUGAAAUCUUCCAUAAGUAAAUCCUCUAUGCCUAUAGCUAGAAGGUGGUAAUAUGUUGGUUUCAAUAUUUCUAUAUACUUCUCUCCUGAUCCUAAAGAGAAGAAUAGGAUCAAUAUUUAAAUUUCUAAUUUUUAUUAUGAUGAGUUCUCCAAUUUUAAAUUCAUGAACUCUAACUAAAUAAAAUUGUAUUAAUUGUUUAUCAUCCAAUAUAUUAACUUCUGAAUAAUAAUAUUGUUUAUGUUUUGUUAUAUUAUCUUUAACUCCACACUUGUUUAAAAUUCAACACACAGAUGUGCCUCUUUCUUACUAUACUGGAAUCCUCGGUAAACUUUUUGUUUGCGCAAUUUAUGUGAGCAAAUUGUGUCUUCUUUUUCAUAUGUAAAUGUUUUUGAUAUCUUGAUGUGAAGGUAGAAAAUUGCAUGUUUUGAGUUUUUGCAUAUUUGAUGGAAACACAGAACUGUACCUGAAUCUUUCAGAACCCCCUUUUCUUUGAAGUUUGAACACUUUUCUUGAAUGUAUCAACUUUAUUUAUGGGAUAUGUUGCCAAAUUGGCAAAUCUAUUCGUUAUAAAACUUUCCUUUGACAGUUUAAUCUAAGCAGAUGUUAAUUAUGCAAAUAGAGUGUGCCUAAGAUUAGUUUCAUAGAUUUGUCUCCUUCUGUACAGUAAAAACUUUGAGCAUUUUCGCCAUAUUCUGAUCAAUACACUCCAACUAGUUAGUUCUUGAGGCGUUUUAUGGUUUCGUGGAGUGAGGCAAGAUGUAUACGUUUGCAAAUUGGCAAUGUCUUUUGCUUGAUGGGUUGAGAGUUGUGAGUGUCAACAGGAAACAAGACCUCUGUUUUAUGAACUCCAAAAAGUUAUUCUGUUAAAAAGAUCGAGACAGAGGCCAUACUAUAUUUAUUAUUGCUAUAAAAGUGUGAAAAAAUAUUCUUUGUUUAAUAUUCUAAACGAUUGAGCCAUUUAGUUAUGAUACUCUGCUGUAUUGGGGCUAAUAAUCUAAGUCGGUUCAAAGUGGUAAAUUUAUAAAUUGAUAGGUAUGCCUGGUAUGACCGCUUACGUUGGAUUUUAUGAGGUCUGCUCUCCUAAGCAAGGAGAGUGUGUCUUCAUAUCCGCAGCAUCUGGUGCAGUUGGACAGCUUGUGGGGCAGUUUGCAAAGUUAUUGGAUUGCUAUGUCGUCGGAAGUGCUGGAAGCAAAGACAAGGUAUGUAAUCUGUGUGAAGUACUUGAUUGUUUCCAUGUUACUUUCAAACAUUUAAAUUAAAAAGGAAAUUUUCAUAAUCUUGCCUUUUCUAUGAUUUUCAAAACCAAGGUUGAUCUACUGAAGAACAAGUUUGGGUUCGACGAGGCAUUUAACUAUAAAGAAGAAGCUGAUUUGAAUGCAGCAUUGAAAAGGUUAGCAUCAAUAAAUGCCUUAGCUUGAUGCAGCUUGAUGAAGUAUGAUACACAUUUCUGACCAAUAUACUGCGUUCCCUGAUCUCUUACUUGAAAUAUCUUGGUUUGAGAAUCUCAUGCCAAUGCCUUUAACAUUUUGGCAGGUACUUUCCUGAAGGAAUUGAUAUAUAUUUUGAAAACGUUGGUGGAAAAUUGCUUGACGCAGUGCUACCCAACAUGAAAAUCCGUGGUCGAAUUGAUGCAUGCGGUAUGAUCUCACAGUACAAUCUUGACAAGCCUGAAGGUGUGCACAACUUGAUGUAUCUUGUUUCGAAACGGCUUCGAAUGGAAGGAUUCAUUGUUCUCGAUCACUAUCACCUCUAUCCAAAGUUUCUGGAAAUGAUCAUUCCUCACAUCAAAGAAGGGAAGCUUGUAUACGUCGAAGACAUGGCUGAAGGUCUUGAGAGUGCUCCGGCAGCUCUCAUCGGUCUAUUCUCUGGCCAGAAUAUUGGGAAACAAGUGGUUGCUGUUGCUCCUUAAUGAAGAACAAGUUAGUGUUGUCUGUCCUUUUACCCUUUGACACAAAACUUCAAUGUUAAAGAGAGAAUGCUGUUCAUAUAUACUGCUUUAUAAAAUAAUCAAGUGAGUGCAAGUUUCAUGAUAUUUGCUGAAUAAAAUAUUGGAAAUUAAGCAGCUAGCCUAGCUCCUUCUUGUAGUUGCAGUUUGAAUGAUGCUGCUGCACAACUGCUGCCGAAAAAAUCCUUAAUAGAUGAUUAGCAAGGUUUCAAAAAUAAAAAUAAAUGUUUGUGCAAUGUGUCGAAUAUGACAGCC
Molecule: long non-coding RNA, 102175 nt
Filed under: Citrus maxima (pomelo)
Lineage: Eukaryota; Viridiplantae; Streptophyta; Magnoliopsida; Sapindales; Rutaceae
Description: long non-coding RNA (CMAX_LNC000716)
Source: RNAcentral